This 117015-nucleotide long non-coding RNA is filed under the name Populus trichocarpa (black cottonwood). RNAcentral describes it as "long non-coding RNA (PTRI_LNC004359)". Lineage: Eukaryota; Viridiplantae; Streptophyta; Magnoliopsida; Malpighiales; Salicaceae. The record is from RNAcentral.
UCAGAAGAACUAAGGAAGAAAAAAAAAUGGAUUCUCAUUUUAGAUGAUUUGUGGAAUAAUUUUGAGCUUGAGGAAGUGGGAAUUCCUGAGAAGUUAAAAGGAUGCAAGCUGAUUAUGACAACUCGAUCAAAAAUAGUUUGUGAUCGGAUGGCUUGCCACCCCAAAAUCAAAGUGAAGCCACUUUCCGAGGAAGAAGCUUGGACUUUGUUCAUGGAGAAACUUAGAAAUGACAUAGCACUUUCACGAGAAGUGGAAGGAAUUGCGAAAGCUGUUGCAAGGGAAUGUGCUGGUUUGCCAUUGGGAAUUAUUGCAGUGGCAGGAAGCUUGAGGGGAGUGGAUGAUCUACAUGAUUGGAGGAAUACAUUGAAUAAAUUAAGAGAAUCAGAAUUUAGGGACAUGGAUGAGAAGGUAUUCAAGUUAUUGAAGUUUAGUUAUGAUCGGUUAGGUGAUUUAGCACUAAAGCAAUGUCUCUUGUACUGUGCAUUAUUUCCUGAAGAUGAUAGGAUUAAGAGGAAGAGGUUGAUAGGUUAUUUGAUCGAUGAGGGAAUAAUUAAAGGAAAGAGGAGUAGGGGAGAUGCAUUUGAUGAGGGCCACACGAUGCUUAAUAGACUUGAAAAUGUCUGUCUAUUGGAAAGUGCUAAUUGUAAUAAUGGUAGACGUGUCAAGAUGCAUGACUUGAUUAGGGACAUGGCCAUCCAAAUACUGCUAGAGAACUCUCAAGGCAUGGUCAAAGCAGGUGCACAAUUAAAAGAGUUGCCAGAUGCAGAGGAAUGGAUGAAGAAUCUGACGAGAGUUUCAUUAAUGCAAAACAAGAUCGAAGAAAUUCCUUCCAGCCAUUCACCAAUGUGUCCAAAUCUGUCCACUCUAUUUCUAUGUGAUAAUAGAGGGUUGAGAUUUGUUGCGGAUUCAUUUUUCAAGCAAUUACAUGGGCUCAAGGUCCUCGAUCUGUCUUGCACAGGUAUUGAAAAUUUGCCAGACUCUGUCUCUGAUUUGGUGAGUCUCACUGCGUUAUUGCUCAAAAAGUGUGAGAACUUACGUCAUGUUCCAUCAUUAAAGAAGCUCAUGGCACUGAAGAGGUUGGAUCUCUCUCGUACUGCGCUUAAAAAGAUGCCGCAAGGAAUGGAAUGCCUAAACAACCUGAGGUAUCUUAGAAUGAAUGGAUGUGGUGAAAAGGAGUUUCCUAGUGGGAUAUUACCAAAACUCUCUCAGCUGCAAGUUUUUGUACUAGAAGAGCUUAAGGGGAUCAGUUAUGCUCCGAUAACAGUUAAAGGAAAGGAAGUAGGAUCCUUGAGAAAUUUGGAUACUUUGGAAUGCCAUUUUAAAGGUUUCUCUGACUUUGUGGAGUAUCUCAGAUCUCAGGAUGGGAUCCAAUCAUUAAGUGGAUACAGAAUUUCAGUAGGAAUGGUGGGUACAUAUUUUUGGAAAUACAUGGAUAAUUUGCCAUGUAAAAGAGUUCGGUUGUGUAAUUUGAGUAUCAACAGAGAUAGAGAUUUUCAGGUCAUGUCCUUAAAUGACAUUCAAGGACUGGUUUGUGAAUGCAUCGAUGCAAGAAGUUUAUGUGAUGUUUUGUCAUUAGAGAAUGCAACUGAACUGAAGCACAUCAGCAUUUGGGAUUGCAAUAGCAUGGAGAGCUCGGUUUCAUCUUCUUGGUUCUGCUGUGCUCCACCACCAUUGCCAUCAUGUAUGUUUUCUGGGCUUAAAGAGUUUUAUUGUGUUAGAUGUAAAAGUAUGAAGAAGCUGUUCCCACUUGUGUUGUUGUCAAACCUCGUAAACCUGGAAGUGAUUGACGUUAGAGAUUGUGAGAAAAUGGAGGAGAUAAUAGGAACAACAGAUGAAGAAAGCAGCACCUCCAUUUCCAUCACGAAAUUAAUACUCCCAAAGUUAAGAACUCUGAGACUGAGAUAUUUACCAGAACUGAAAAGCAUUUGCAGUGCAAAACUGAUUUGCAAUUCUCUUGAAGAUAUUACUGUAGAGGAUUGUGAUAAGCUGAAGAGGAUGCCAAUUUGUCUUCCAUUGCUUGAAAAUGGCCAGCCAUCUCCUCCCCCUUCUCUUAGAAGAAUGAAUAUAAAAUCAAAAGAAUGGUGGGAGACAGUAGUGGAGUGGGAGCAUCCUAACGCAAAGGAUGUCCUUCGUCCCUUUGUAAAGUUUGGGUUAGUUUGAGGAGCCAUCUCAUCCUUUCGUUAAUCCUUUCGUUGUAAGAAUACUAAUUGAUUGUAACCUUAAAUUUGCUCGUAUUCAAUAAUAUUCAAUUCUUUCAAUCAUUUUUGAUAUGAUUGAUGAAAAUAGUCCUUUAAAUCAACAAGGAUAUUCUUAUUAGUUAAUAUUGAAAUAAUCCUUCGUCCCUUUGUAAUUUAAAAUUUGAUUAAUAUUAUAUUUUCAUCCUAUUGAGGUUCUCCAAGAUGAAAAUCCAAAAAAUAAAAAAAUACUACAUUGAUUUAUCAUUAAAGUAACCUAAUAAAAUAAUAGAUGUUUUGAAAGAGGGGGUAUAGCGUUUAUUGUACUCCAAACUCAUUGACUGAUGUACCUCUUAAAUAAAAGCACACCAUAUACUGUCAAUAAAAAUAGUGAAUUAUUCUAUAUUAAAAUAUAUUAUUUUAAUGUAUUUUUAAAUAAAAAAAUAUUAAAAAUAACAACAAUUACAUUCAAUCUAAUUACACAAAUCUGACUUAAUACAUAUUAAAGUUUGUGAAGAUUGAAUACCUAGUCUUUAUUUUUUAGUUAUUCUAUAUAAAAUAUAUUAUUUUAAUAUAUUUUUAAAUAAAAACUACUUUAAAAAUUUUAAAAAUAACAACAAUCACAUUCACUUCCGCACUGUCAAAAUCAUUCUAAAAGUAGUAAUGUUCUUUAAAAAAUCAUUGUUUAUGGAUUCAGUAAUGUUUUUUCUAUUAAAUGGAUUAAUUGUUUGAUUAUAUUUAGAUCAUUUAUUUAUCUGUAUUAAUUUAAUUUUUUUACUAUAAUAUUGAUUUAAUAAAAAGAACUCCUACAACAUGCACUUAGCUGCCAAAAAAAUCCUAAAAUUGACUCAAUUGGAAAGGAUCAUGGUACUUACUAUCAAGAUUGUUAUGCCCGCAAUCAAAACAUAAUUUGUUUUUGUACUUAGAAUUAUGUUUGAGUGCAUUUAAAAAUUUGUUUAUUUAAAAAAAUAUAUUAAAUUAAUAUUUUUAAUAUUUUUUGAUAUAUUAAUAUUAAAAUAAAAAAAUAUUUUAAAGAGAAAAAAAAAUAUUUGACAAAGAAUAAAUAGGAAGCUUACGAAUAGUUAAGAGUCGUAUUGCAAAGUAUAGUUUACCGGUUGACUCACAGAUUAACUGAUUAACCCCAUCAUAUUAUUUAUUUAUAAAAACUAAAAUAAUAAUGUUUUUUUUUAAUAUUAUCUUUUUAAAUAUUUUUAUUUUAAAAAAGUUUCACGUUGUAGAUAAAAAAAUGUUUUAAUUUAGCAACGAUAGAGCAUCCACAAGGAAGAUGUUUUGCCUCUUUUUUUUUAAUUUGUUUUUGUUUAUUUGAUUAUAGGCUGGUUUAGAAUUCAGCUAACAUCUAAUAAAAUAUUUUUAUUCUUAGAAAUUUUGUGAAAAACAAUCAGAAAACUAAUUUAAUUAGGGAUUAUUAAUUGAGUAAUUAAUUACCUUAACCUUACAGAGGAUUUUCUUUUCUUUUAUUUUAUUUUUAGAAACAGCUAAUUUAAUCAAACCCCAAUAGCCUGAUUCUUGGAUCACAGAAGCUUGAGACAUGGCACGUGCUACAAGGAAAAAAGCAUGAUUGUGUUGAAAACCUUUAAGAUUGGACUGUCGCAUUCUAACAAUAAUGUUUGUACCAUUUAAUAAUAAUUGGACCCAACUUCACUUCAACUUUAUUUUAUAUUUAUAAUAAAUAAAAAGCAUGAUUGUGUUGAAAAUCUAUUUUCUGUUUUUAUUUUUCAAUUUUGAGAUGACUCCUCAGGAAACAAUUCCAACCAAUUAUUUGCCCUGGAAUUUGGAUGAUGUGUAAUUCCAAGCGGGCACGCUGCAUUUCUUAGCCAGGUGGAGCAAGAAUUGAGGUAGCUUGUUUCUGGCUUUUGCUUCUCUGGGUAUGAUUUAUUGGGCUACUUUAUAGGAUUUUUUAUAAAGCAUUUUGUUUUUAAUUUCAUUUGAUAAUUUAUUUCAAUAAGCUUGUUAUGGAGCUCUUGUGGUCUAAGAAGAAAAAACAAUUCAAUGUAGAGGUGAUUUUGUUCAAUUUAAUUGAUUAAAAAUAAGUGAAAUUUUGAAGGUCAAAUUUGAUAUUAAAAUUAUAUUCAAGACUGAAUGUGAUAUUAAAACUAAAAAUAAGUAAAAAGUUUUUACACUGGUAAAUGUUAUGAAAAGAAAUUGCUAUCCAGCUGGUGUACAGAUUGGAUAGCAAAUCAAGCGUUGAAGUUUUCUACUGCAGUGAAGCUCCCUCUCGUUUUGAUAAGUGUUCGAAAAUAUUUUAUUAUUUGUUUGUUUUUAUGGUUUAAAAAUAUGUUAAAAAAAUUAAUUUUUUAUUUUAAAUUUAAUUAAUUUUUUUGUGUUUUGAAAUUGUUUGGAUGUAUUGAUAUUACAAAUAAUUUUUUAAAAAAUAAUAAUUAAAUAUUAUUUUGAUAUAUUGUUAAACAAAAAAUAUUUUUAAAAAUAAUUGAUACUGCACUCUCAAACACCCCUCAAUGCUAUAUUAUUGAAAUAAAAUGCUAAAAUGUGAAUAGAAAUAAUAGAAAUUAAUGUGUAUUUUUUAAUUGAAUUUCUAUUUACUUUAUAUACUCUUAAACAGGUCUUUAUGUUUGACUUCAGAGUUUAUAGAAAAGCAAGUCAAGACCAAUCAAAUUCGAAGGAGUUAACCUAAUUUAACUGAUUAAAUUUUAAGUUUAUUCUUUAAAAGUUAUUAAUUUAAGUUUAUUUAUCCGUUAAAUUCACUUGGAACCAGCCUGGAUACACUAAAAGUAGUAAUGUUUUUUUUCUCUUGAAAACAGCCUGGAUGCACUUAAGUAUUUUAAUCACAACUUUCCCCUCACAUAUCAGCUUGCUGUGAUUCAUGACGCGUUGGAAAGGUAUCUUAAAGGGCUACAAAUUAGCCUCUAAUGAGGAUUUCGAAAAAAGAACUCCUAAAGCAUUUACGUGGCUGCCUAAGAAGUCCUAUAAUUUAGGUUUCUGAUGAAAACGUGCGGGAUCAUGGAGACGUGAUGAAAAAGGAGGGCUGCCUCUUUUAGAAAAAGGGGUAUUUGUUGGCAAUUGCGCCAGAGAAAAAAAGAAGAAGGAGAACAGGCAAGGAAAGGAAUGGCUAAUACAGUGAAGUAGUAAUAUUUUUUUUUGAUAUAUUGAUAUUAAAAAUAAAAAAAAUAUUUUGAUUACUAAUAACGAAUAGUUAAGAGACGUACUGGUGGACUUAACCUGAGUAAAAAACAAAACCACAUCAUAUUAUUUAUUUAUAAAAACUAAAACGAUGGUAUUUAUUAAAAAAAAAACUAAAAUAACAAUGUUUUUUUAAAUAGUAUUUUUUUAAAUAUUUUUAUUUUAAAAAAGUUUCACAUAGUUGUAGAUAAAAAAAAAAAAGAUGUUUUAAUUUAGCAACAAUAGUUAAGAGACGUAUUGGUGGACUCACAUAUUAACUGAUUAACCUGAAUAAAAAACAAAACCACAUCAUAUAUAUAUAUAUUGGGUUGGUGUUUAAUUUUAUAAUUAUCUAUUUUUAUUAUUAUAUUAUUAAAUAAAAACAAUUUUAAAAAAAAUUAUAAUCCUAGUUGAGUCCAUAACCUGGUUCAUGAGUUUGAUGUGCUAGACCAAGUGACCUGAUUCACAAAUUUGACAGGUUUACUACUGAUCGAAUAUGUUUUUUUUUUUGUUUAUGGUCUUUUAAUUUUUUUAAUUGAUUUUUUUUAUUUUGUCCUUCAAUAUUAUAUUGGUUUCGAAAUAGACUGCAUGAUUUAUUUUUGUUUGUUUUCUAUAGGAUUAUCAUAAUUUUAAAUAAAUAUUUAUCUUAGGGAUAAUACUCAAUUUUAUGAGCAUAUUUUUUUUUCAUAUAAUUAAAUAAAAAAAGCUUAUAAAAAAUUACUAAACCCAAUAAAAUCCAUGACCCGGGUCGCAAGGUACCGAGAUCGAUCAAAUCUGUUAUUAUUUCAAUAUUUUUUUUAAAAAGGUUGUUGUCUAGAGUUUUUUUCUUAAAGCUAAGCCAUGUUUUACUGAUCUUCUAAGUUAUAUUUGGAUAUUGAUCAAUUUAAAUUGAGUUAAUUUCCAUAUAAUUUAAUUAAAAACUUAAAUUAAAUAAAUUAUUAGGUUAAAUUUUUUUAAUAUUAACUACCUAACCAGGUUUAAUAAUAUCGCCAACAAACUUUCUUCACUCUUAAUAUCUUAUAAUAUAAUGUUUGGUAUGUAAAGUAGUGGGUUGCUUCCUAGCAACUUCCCUCCUAUCAAACAAAACAAUAAUUUGUGUAUACUGCAACUUUAUUAUUUUUCUAAAUCAUAUAAUCUUCUCUGAUCUGUGAUUUCUCUUCUGUUUUAAUCCUCAGGACGUACUAAUCAUCUUCUACCUCUUUUCCUUUCCACACCUCACCAGUGCGAACUAGAUUUAUGUGAUUUCUCUUCUCUUUUUUUUGGCUGAUUACUUCUCAAGCGAACCAGCACUUGAAUCCAGGUAAAUUAUUUGUACUUCAUCUUGUUGGUGUUUUUGUUUUUAUAUAUUUAACUAUGGUUUGAAUCUUUAAAGUAAUCCAUGCCUAGUGGAGAGUUCAUAUAUACUAAUUAAUACUGAAUUCAUUGCUUUCAUCUUUUCAAAAUUCUUUGCUGUUUUUAACUCAUUAUUUUAGAUUCACCCUUUUCUUUUCCAAUUAAUGGGACUGCCAUUGAUUUUUAUUCAAUAUUUUUCAACUUGAACAUUAGUAUUAUUUUCAACUAAUUAAUACUGAAUCACCACUGAUGACUCGAGGAUUCCACCUCUGGACCAUUAGCAUAAACUAGCAAUUAAUUAGAUUAACAUAAUUAAUUAUCUUGGAUUCUACUUCAUUAAUUGGGUACGUAGACGCUGCGAUCUGGCCCCCUGGAAACUUGAGGGGCACUUAUUGACAGUGGCUAACAUUAAUGUGACCCCUUCAUGAAUAUAUAUGAUUUCUUCUGGAUUCUUGUGAAGAAUACUGUUUGGUGUAGAUCUUUAGCCCCUGUGAACUUUCAGGAAAUGCUGCCGUGUAACUGUUAGCUUUUUUUUUUUUUUAGUUUAACAUGGGUGUCCGGGCCAGCUUGCACGUACCUCGACUAAUCCCAUUGGCCCUGAAGUUAACGAUCAUGUAAGCCUCCAAUGGUCAUCAUAUACACAUGACUCGAACCUGAAAUUACAAAAAAAACAAAUUUCUUGUUCCCAAGCUCUUACCAGUAUAACUAUUAGCUUUCAUUUAACCGAUCUGCUUAGUGACCUCACAAAUAUGGGAACUGGGAUCCAUAUUUAAUUAUGACAAAAAAAAAAAAAAAACCAACCCUUUUCAUGUUGUCAUCAACUUUAAAUGAACUGAUAGUGCUUCAAUUAUUCCUCUGGAGUAGACACCCAUGUUACUUUUAUGUAUUAAAUUAGUAUGGUUUGCUAAGAAUACCUUCUUGAAAAAAGGAACCAUAAGUAAUGGGAUUAACCUACCCAAGGUUAGGGUUAAGUUCAAAAUGGCCUUGGAGUCAUAAACUUAAAUAAAAUAAAAAACAUAUUAUAAGAUAUUACGAAUCCUUUUCAGAGGCUUGUACUUGAUGCUGCAGAAUAUAAGUUAUAGUAAAAAAUGGAAAUGGGACUUUGCGUGAUAAAUUAUAUGUUAGAAUAAUGUCACACAAGGGCAGGGGAAUCUUAACAAGCUAGCAAGGAUAUAUACAUAUAUAUAUAGUACACCACCAUAACAUCCAACAUACCUCACUAAUUAUUAAUUAAUUCUCGAACUUUGAGAACUUAAAGAAUAAAAAAUAUUCGCAAUCAGUUAAUUACCCCUCUCUUCACUGUAUUAAAGACCUCCAAAACAAUCAGCUCUUCUACCUUCAACAGUUAUCCUGCAUCUUUCUAUCUAUCAUAAAAAUAAUUUGAGUAUGAUAAUUUAUCUUAAAAGACAAAGGAUUAAAUCAUUAACAACAACAUUUAUAUUUCAUAUUUUUCAUCCGAAUUUCUUUAACAAACAAGAAAGUCAUAUAUAUAUAUAUAUUCUUUUCUGAUCUGUGCUUUCUGUUCUUUUAAGACCUCAGUUUUUUUUGUCUUUUCUGAUCUUUUCUGGUCAGAUGGAAGAGUUCCAACCAUCUUUUAUGGAGGAGGUUGACAACAUGACAUGGGAUCAGCUGGGUUUUCAAUCAGAAGAAGAUACAUUCAAUAUGUCUGAGCUUCUCUCGUACGUCAUUCUUAAGCAUAUUUUAUCAGAAGAUGAUUGCUUGCAGUUUAGUUAUUCUUCAGUUUAUCCUAUUAUUCCCAAAAAACAAUAUAAUGUCGUCACUGUCCAUGGAAGCAGGCCGCCACCGGAGGUUCCAGUCAACCAAAGCUCCAUAUCAUGCAAUGAUCAAGGUGGACAGAACAAUGUGAUCAACAAUAGUAUUCAACAAACAACUCCGUUUCCAACUUCAUUUCCUGAAACAAUGGUGAGUACUCCAAGCUUACUCCAAUUUGCUACAAUGUCCAUUGAAUUAGCAAGUGUUUGUAUUAUACAAAAAGUUUUAUGUUAAACAAACAGACAACAAUUGAGAGAUUUAGACAUUUUUUAUGAUAUUUUUUAUCAUUAAGUUUUAUAUAAAAUUGGCCUCAAACUCCAUCAAGGCAUCAUAAUUCCUUUAUUCAUCAACCUCAGCCGGGACAUGGCUAUAUGACACCGAACGCAACCACUUCACAACAUGGUGGCUUCAAUCAACCUGGACCUUCUUUUCCUCCUCCCCGGUAUCCAAUUUUUCAUGUUUAGUAUUUUCUGUAAAAAAAAAAUAGUUUUUCAAUCAUUAUUUAACUUCUUCUUCCUCCUCCUCUUGUUGUUGUACUUAUCAGUGAAUUCAUUAACAAAUGUUGCUAAUUUAGGGACCAACAAUGGACUCAUUAUCUGUUACCAAUGAGCAAUCAAGUGCCUGCGAUGCUACCUGGACCUCAACCUCCAAUGAAUCAAUGGUAUUAACCUCGAAUUUACGCUUUUUUAAUCAUGAAAACAAUAAACUUGACCAAAAUUGACGAGGAUCUUUCAAGUCUUUUUGAGCUCUCUAUCUCUCUUUUUUUGUGCACAUAAUGGAACUAGAAAAUCAACCAAGUGAGCAUAACAGUUCUAAGUUUAACUAUUUGAAUAUUCUUCAGGCAUCAGAACUCCUUUAUUCAUCAACCUCAGCCGGGACAUGGCUAUAUGACACCGAACGCAACCACAUCACAACAUGGUGGCUUCAUUCAACCUGGACCUUCUUUUCCUGCUCCCCGGUAUCCAAUUUUUCAUGUUUAGUAUUUUCUAUAAAAAAAAAUUAGUUUUUCAAUCAGGAAAGAAACAUCAUAGCUUGAACAUGAACCCAACAAGCUAAACAUAUUGUUUGCAAAUGAUUUUGGAUUCAGGAGUCAAUAUUUUUCUAAUCAAGGACAAGUCGAUCAAGCUGCUGUAAUUCCUAACAUGGACAAUGUGCAACAAGAGAACUUCGUGCCUAGGUACUGAGUGACUUCUAGCUGUUGUGUUUUAACACCAUUAACUUUUACUGCUUAAGAGAGACUACCAAUUAUGGAAAGGUUUUAUAAUAUGAUCACUUCAUUUAUAUAUAGGUCAUAGAUAACCUCCAAGUCCGAGGAUUGCGAAAUCAAACUGCUAGGCCAAAUGCCUCAAAUCCUGGCCUUGGAUUGCAAGAUCAAACUGCUAGGCCAAAUGCCUCAAAUCCUGGCCCUGACACCUCCCUGCAAAGUCAAAUUAGGGGUUUAAAUACUCAACAAGUAAGAAGUCUAACUGAAUUAUCGUAGUCUUUUUCCCCUCUAUGAUUGUGCAAUAAAAUACCUAUCAAUUUUAAUAGCAAAAUAAGGGUAACAACACUGAAGUAGUUUCUUAUCCAUCCGGAUAUGGUGUAACUUGAUUCGUUAAUUUUUAUUCCAUAUUUUGACUGAUUUUUAUUCUAUACUUUGACUUCUUUUUUCUCUGUAGGUCGAAAUGGUUGGAUCAAAUGAUCCGUUUUGGAAUUAUAUUGAAAAAAAGUCUGAUGGUAGCAUGGAGUGUAAGUUUUGUCAACAUACAUGGGCCAAUAAAACUUCCAUUUCAAGGUUCAAAUGGCAUUUAUCAGGAGAGGAACGACAUGGUGUUGCCAUUUGUCGUGAGGUGACUAAAGAAGUUCAAGAAGCAGCCUUUCUAGCUAUGUGUUGUGGCAACAAAAGACAUAAAAUCACAGCAAGUUCAAUCAAUGUUAAUGAUUGUGGAAUUUCAACAAUGGUAGGAGGUAUUGGAAGGGUACAAAGAGAAGUUCAGGUUGUAGAACCCGGGGUAGGGGAAGAGAGGAUUUCUUCUCAUGCAAUAGCAGGAAACGACGUAGUAAGCAUGACCGGAAUGUGAGCACAAGAAGAUAGAGUUUUCGAAGGGACACUCGAGAGCAGACUGAGGACAGAACCAGUGGAUCGAGCGUUGGAACAAAGCAAUGCAGUGCUGGAAGGAUACAAGUGGGAGUUCAGGGCAUGGAACAAGGUCCCGGAGAAGAGAGAAUUCAGUCGCAUUUACAAGCGGAAAAUGGCAUGGAAAACACUGGUGAAGGAUCUUUUCGGCAUGAUGCAUUUGCGACUAUACCAGGAACAGAGCAAGUGCAGCUUCUGGAGCCUCGAGGAGAUUCAUCCCAAUUUUGUCUUGACACUGGAAGAUGUUAUGAUCAACCUUGUGCUCCAUCAGUAAACGAUGAUGUAACUAGGCAUGAUGCACUGGACAUGGUUAGAGUGAGGACAGAACCAGUGGAGGAGGAGGAUGCGGAGAAUAAUGGAAGAUCAGUAGUCCAGGCUGGCGCAGGAGCUAGAUCUUCUGAAAGUCUGAAAUACAACAAGACUAGAGGAGUUCCAUUACCUACUAGCUCUAUAAAGCCAGUGGGCCAAGCAUUUAAAGAAAAUACGAAGGUGCUAUGGUCUUUGAUAAUGGACGGUAAAGUCCCAAUCAUUGGCAUUUAUGGGAUGGGGGGAGUUGGUAAAACAACAAUACUGCAACAUAUCCAUAAUGAACUUCUACAAAAACCAGAUAUUUGUGAUAAUGUUUGGUGGGUGACUGUGUCUCAAGAUUUCAGCAUUAAUAGAUUGCAAAAUCUUAUUGCCAAACGUCUUGAUCUAAACCUUUCAAGCGAAGAUGAUGAUCUACUUGGAGCUGCCGAACUGUCAGAAGAACUAAGGAAGAAACAAAAAUGGAUUCUCAUUCUAGAUGAUUUGUGGAACAAUUUUGAGCUACACAAAGUGGACAUUCCUGAGAAGUUGGAAGGAUGCAAGCUGAUUAUGACAACUCGAUCAGAAACGGUUUGUCAUCGGAUGGUUUGCCAGCACAAAAUCAAAGUGAAGCCACUUUCUAAUGGAGAAGCAUGGACUUUGUUCAUGAAGAAGCUUCGACGUGAUGUAGCACUUUCACCAGAAGUGGAAGGAAUUGCGAAAGUUGUUGCAAGGGAAUGUGCUGGUUUGCCAUUGAGAAUUAUUACAGUGAUAGGAAGCUUGAGGGGAGUGGAUGACCUACAUGAAUGGAGAAAUACAUUGAACAAAUUGAGAGAAUCAGAAUUUAGGGACAAGGAAGUAUUCAAGUUAUUGAGGUUUAGUUAUGAUCGGUUAGGUGAUUUAGCACUACAACAAUGUCUCUUGUAUUGUGCAUUAUUUCCUGAAGAUCAUAGGAUUCAGAGGGAGAGGUUGAUAGGUUAUUUGAUCGAUGAAGGGAUAAUUAAAGUAAAGAGGAGCAGGGGAGAUGCAUUUGACGAGGGUCACACGAUGCUUAAUAGACUUGAAAAUGUCUGCCUAUUGAAAAAUGCUAAAAUGAUGCAUGUUGCUUGUAGAUUUGUCAAGAUGCAUGACUUGAUUAGGGACAUGGCCAUCCAUAUACUGCUAGAGAGCCCUCAAUACAUGGUUAAAGCAGGUGCGCAAUUAAAAGAGUUGCCAGAUGCAGAGGAGUGGACGAAGAAUCUGACGAUAGUUUCACUAAUGCAAAAUAGAUUUAAAGAAAUUCCUUCCAGCCAUUCACCUAGGUGUCCCUAUCUAUCAACUCUAUUGCUAUAUCAAAAUCAUGGGUUGGGAUUUAUUGCGGAUUCAUUUUUCAAGCAAUUGCAUGGGCUCAAGGUCCUCGAUCUGUCUUGCACAGGUAUUGAAAAUUUGCCGGAUUCUGUGUCUGAUUUAGUGAGUCUCACUGCAUUAUUGCUCAAUGAUUGUAAGAAAUUAAGACAUGUUCCAUCAUUAAAGAAGCUCAGGGCACUGAAGAGGUUGGAUCUCUUUCAAACUUUUCUUGAUUGGAUGCCGCAUGGAAUGGAAUGCCUAACCAACCUGAGGUAUCUUAGAAUGAAUGGAUGUGGUGAAAAGGAGUUUUCUAGUGGGAUAUUACCAAAACUCUCUCACCUGCAAGUCUUUGGACUAGAGGAAACGUUAAUUGAUCGAAGAUAUGCUCCGAUAACAGUUAAAGGAAAGGAAGUAGGAUCCUUGAGAAAUUUGGAAACUUUGGAAUGCCAUUUCGAAGGUUUCUUUGACUUCAUGGAGUAUCUCAGAUCUCGGGAUGGGAUCCAAUCAUUAAGCACAUAUAAAAUUUUAGUAGGAAUGGUGGAUUAUUGGGCAGACAUUGAUGAUUUUCCAAGUAAAACAGUUAGGUUGGGUAAUUUGAGUAUCAACAAAGAUGGAGAUUUUCAGGUCAAGUUCUUAAAUGACAUUCAAGGACUGGAUUGUGAACGCAUCGAUGCAAGAAGUUUAUGUGAUGUUUUGUCAUUAGAGAAUGCAACUGAACUGGAGGAAAUCAUCAUUGAGGAUUGCAAUAGCAUGGAGAGCUUGGUUUCAUCUUCUUGGUUCAGCUCUGCUCCACCACCAUUGCCAUCAUAUAAGGGUAUGUUUUCUGGUCUUAAAGUGUUUUAUUUUAGUAGAUGUAACAGUAUGAAGAAGCUGUUCCCACUUGUGUUGCUGCCAAAGCUCGUAAACCUGGAAAGCAUUGGAGUUAGUGAGUGUGAGAAAAUGGAGGAGAUAAUAGGAACAACAGAUGAAGAAGAUGAAGAAAGUAGCACCUCCAAUCCCAUCACGGAAUUAACACUCCCAAAGUUAAGAACUCUGGAAGUGCGUGCUUUACCAGAACUGAAAAGCAUUUGCAGUGCAAAAUUGAUUUGCAUUUCUCUUGAACAUAUUAGUGUAACGCGUUGUGAGAAGCUGAAGAGGAUGCCAAUUUGUCUUCCGUUGCUUGAACAUAUUGUUAAUCCUUCCGUUGUAAGAAUACUAAUUGAUUGUAAGCUUAAAUUUGCUCAUAUUCAAUAAUAUAUCAUUCUUUCAAUCAUUUUUGUUAAAAAUCAUGUGCAAAACAUAAUUAUUUUCGAUAUGAAUGAUGAAAAUAAUCCUUUAAAUCAACAAGGAUAUUCUUAUUAAUUUAUAUUGAAAUAGUCAUUCGUCCCUUUGUACCAUUUUUUUUAACUCGAUAGACAAAUAAUUAUAAUUUGAAGUUUGAUUAAUAUUAUAUUUUUAUCCUAUUGAGUUUCUCCAAGAUGAAAAUCCAAAAAAAAAAAAAAUACUAUAUUGAUUUAUCAUUAAAGUAACCUAAUAAAAUAAUAGAUCUAUUCACUAGUAUAAAUCAUCUAAAAUCAUUAACUAGCAAUAAAUUAUUUUUUCAAUAUAUAAUACAGAUUAAAAAGAAUAAAGAGAGAGAGAGAAGACACUUUUAUAAGGAUAUAUUUAGAAUAAAAUUUCAUACCUCUAUCUAUUCUAUUUUCCUCGUACAAAAAUUCAUUCUAUUUUUCUAUAUUUCUCAGGAUUUUUUAAUCUAUAUUUUUAAGUUUUUUCUGUUUUUAUAAACAACAUAUAUAAACAAAAACUAGAAGGAUUGGUUAAUCAAUUCCUCAAGAUUUUUUAAUUUGUAUUUUAAAGUUUUUUCUGUCUUUAUGAACAACAUAAAAAAUAAACUAAAAGAAUUGGUUAAUCCAAAGACGGGUGUUUCUAAAGGUUGUGUUUUUUUUCAUUUGAUGUUAAUAUCAUAGAAAUUGUGAAGGGUGCAAAAGCUAAAUUGUGAAGGGUGCAAAAACUGCAUAUUGCAUCUGGUUGUGAAGGGUGCAAAAACUGCAUAUUGGCGGCAACAAGUGCCUGGUGGUUUUGUCUGAGUAAAAGGGAUAGAUGCUAAGUUAAGAGUUCAAGGAAGAGAGACAAAAGGUGGAAGGGACAAUUGUGUCGAUUGUUGGUUACAUUAUUGUUAAUAAAAAUGUAAGAAUUUAGGAGCAUGAGAGAACAUUUUCACAAUGAAGAUUAAUUCAUCUCCACAGCAGAAUACAGGAAAAAAAAAAUUAAAUCAAUAAAAGUAAGGUAUUUCAUCUCUUCGAACAUUCUUGAAUUCUGGUCAAUUCAAAUCACAACAAACAUCGUAAACAAUGUCAAAAGUAUUCUUCUACCUCAGUGAAUUUCAGUACAACUACUGCACACAAGAUGCUUAAUUCAUCAAAUGCUAAUUCCUGUCUAUCAACUCGGUUUGGGAAAAUAACUGAAAAACUCUGUUAAAUGAGUUCCUGUGGUUUUGAUGAGUCUAUGAAAGUGCAUUCUAUCAUUGGAAUAAAAUGCUAAAAUGUGAAUAAAAAUAAUAGAAAUUAAACAGACAAGUCAAGGCCCAGGAGUCGUGAAAUUCACUUUGAACCAGCCUCCACACACUUGAGUAUCUUAAUCAUAACUUUCCACUCACAUAUCGGAUUGCUGUGAUUCUUGACGCGUUGGAAAGGUAUCUUGAAGGGCUACAAAUUAGCCUCUAAUGAGGAUUUCAAAAAAGGAACUCCUAAAGCAUGUACGUGGCUGCCAAAAAAGUCCUAAAAUCUAGGCAAUUUGUUUCUGACACAACGGGGAUCAUGGAGACGUGAUUUUAGGGAUUUAUGUAGUUUAUGGAUUCACUCAUGUUUCUUCCAUUAAAUGGAUUAAAUCUUUGAUUAUAUUUGGAUCAUUUAUUUAUCUGUAUUGAUUUGAUUUCUUUACUAUAAUAUUGCUCUUAGUAUAUUGUGGUAAUUAAUUUAAUAUAAAAAAUCUAAAUUAGUAGUCUUUGAGGUUACUUAAAUUAAAUAUUGGUGCCUAGCUUUUAUUUAUUUAUUCAUUUAUUUCUAAAUACUGACCUUAAAAAAUUAUUGAAUUUGUAAUUCAACCAAAUAAAAUAUUACCAAUCUAGUUCAUAUCUAGCCAGAUUAAUAAAAAAGGAUAAAAUGAUAUUUACUGUACAAAGUGAUUGUUGGCAAUCAAUUCCUGGAUCAAGAAGAUAAGGUCCAGCCAUGGAGUAUAUACUUGGAUUGAAAAAUAAAAACUAAUAAUCUACAGAAUGGGUUCAUGUUAACUGAGGAUGAGGUCUGAUGCACCUAGCUACCGACUUUAAUAUUUUCAUUUAAGGAAUUGCAGCGUUGUGUCCCGAGGGAGGCCAACAGGCAAAUACUAAUAUCAUUUUUUUAUUUUUUAUUUUUUAUUGUAAAUUUAUUUUUGAAAAAAAAUUAAAUUUUUUAUUUUAAAUUAUUUUUUUAAAUAUUUUCAAAUUAUUUUAAUAUACUGAUAUUGAAAAUAAAUUUUAAAAAAACAAAAAUAUUAUUUUUAAUAUAUUUUUAAAUAAAAAAUAUUUUAAUAAUCAACCGUGAUCUUAAUUUCAAACUGUCAGUGCCCUAUACCAAACUAUAUUAUCAACAAGAUUUUCCUCAGAUGAAUUAAAGCAUUCUGCAUUUGACACAACUUGAAAACAUGUUUCUUCUUAAAUUAUUAUACCUGUGUUUUUUAAAAUCUAAAUAUUUGAGAAUGUGGCCGCUGAAAGCUUACCUGAUCGUUAAAUUCAGGACCCAUAAAAAUUAAUCGAGAUGCACGUACGUAAGCUGGCCCGGACACCUCACGUGAAUAAAAAAAACAAUGCAUCAAUUAAUUAUUAUUUGAGCUGAUUAUUUUAUUUUUAAUUUUAUUUUUAUAGGGAUUUAAGGCUGAUAAUUUGUUUUAAUUAACUUAUUGUGAAGUUCUCAAGGUUAAAAAAAAAAUAUUUGAUUUGAUAAAAUUUUGUUCAGUCUAAUUCAUUAAAAAUAAUUGAAACUUUGAACAUCAAAUAUGAUACUGAAAUCAAAAGGUAGCCUGGUGUGUUUUUCAAAAUUCUGUUUCUAGAGUUUUUGCAUUUUUUAUUUUUAAUUUUGAUUUAAAAUUUUAUUUUAUUCACUUUUUAGUUUAUAAAUUUGAGAUUAAAAAAAAUCACUAAAAACUCGGAAAAAAAUAGAAAAUUAUUGGCCGACAAUUUUGGCAACAAGAAAACACGAUCAUCUUUGUAUUAAUGAAAAACUAGUGUGUAGAUUGGAUAGCAAAUCAUACUUUAUAGGUCGAGGGCUAAAAAUAUAAAUUUGUAAAAGGGUGUUCGAAAAAAAAUAAUUUCCAUGGGUAUGGAAAAGUUCAAUAAGUCCUGGUUGAAGAGGCUUAUAUACGAAACGCCUCAAAAUAAUCCCUGGAGCAGGAGAUUCAAUUAACCGAGAUUCAGGAGAUGAAAUUGCACCUCAACCGUCAAUGGGUUUAGCCAGGGCAUUUAUAACACGACCCAAAUACGCCUCACUCACUGGUAUCUGAGCAAUUUUUCCUGUUGCUUUUACAAAACUUCUCUCUUGUAUCAUCAAGCCGUCACCCAUUAAUACAACACCAACAUUAUUUGAUUCCAAAUUAAGAGCAAUGCCUAUCGUACCCUCUUCAAAUUCUACCAAAUCACCUGCCACAAUGCCGUCACCCACAUGAAGUACAGUCCCAGUAUUUACAAUCUUUACUUCCCUAUUAUAUUGCUCAAUGCUUUCACGGAUAAUACUACUAAUCUCGUCGGCUCGAAUGAUUACCAUGAGUAUUUCUUAUUUUUUUUUUUUGGAAAAAAAAAUAAUGCCUACAGUAGAAGGUCUGAUUGGUGGAAUAACUAUCAUAGAAUAAGAUAAUAUUUGAUGUUGCGACAAUAAUAAUUUUUAAAAAUAUUUUUUAUUUAAAAAUAUAUUAAAAUAAUAAUUUUUUAUUUUUUAAAAUUUAUUUUUAAUAUUAACACAUUAAAAAAUUUAAAAUUAUUUAAAAAAUUAAUUUAAAACAAAAAAAUAUUAACAUACUGUGACAUUAUUGUUAUUUUUUUCGUGGUGUUGUUUGUUCUAGGUAGGGCCGGAAAGGUCACGGAAUGGAGAGUUGCUGCUAACCAUUAACCCAUGACAUGGCUCAAAUGAGUGAGACUAAUUAAAAGUCUGUAAAAAUGUAUCAAGUGACUGUUUGCAAUUAAUAUUUUUGAAUUGUUUUUGGUAUAGAAGUUCUUUUUUAACCUACUCUUAAGGUAAAAUACUUCUCGUCUACUUAAUAAUUCUGUCAUAACUAGCCUCACUCAACCCACAAUCCGACUUGAUGGUGAACUUCUGUGUCACAGCCGACAAUUUACUAUAAUUAAUGCAACCAUUCCAUAAUGGUUCAUCGGAAUCUUUCAAUAGAUAAAAAAACCUGGCCGCAUCUGCAUUAAGUUCUUCUUCUACAAUUGGACAUUGACUAACAUUACCUUAAUUCAUUCUCAUUGCAUCUAUAACCAUAAUCUUGCAAGGAUUACUGUUGUCAUUUACAACUCCAUGCACGUUGCUAGCACUAGAAGUUGACCCAACCAUUCUUUUUAUCAUGCUCUCAUUACGAACAAAUAAUUCUUUGUGUAACCAAUACAAGUAAUCCUCCAUAAACCGGCCACUUGUGUGGAAGAUGCAUCGUUACAACAUCUGGAUGCAUAUACUUUUUAUUUUUACACUUUCUGCGUGGACACCUAAUACUGCCCCCACUAAAAUUUCUCAGAAUAGAUGUUGCAAAAUUAAUAAAACCCUGAACCCCAUUACAAUAAUCCAUCGAUGAACGACCAUCCAUGACCUCUAUAAAAUAAUGAUGACAACAUGUAUUGAUUAAUUAUGUUAAGUAAAUAAAUUUAUAAAAAUAUUGGUUUAACUCGAGAUUAUCCAACAAACUAAUUAAAACUUAUCUUAAAUUUUAAUUAUCAAUUAUCAACGUCCAUACAAAUUUAUACACAUAAAUUUACAUAAAUUACAACUCCGCAAUAGCGUUGAUAAAAAUUAAAACGGAUACAUUAAACAAGCUAUUAUUUAUUUAUUACAACAUAUCUAAUACGGUAAUUCGACAUAAAUUUCAACAAUUUAUAAACAAAUAUAAUUUUACAAAAUCUAAAACAAAACAUAACAAGUACAAAAUUAUACAUUCAUACUACAAGUUUGUUUGAGAAAAAAUUAAAACUUGUACUUACCCUAACAAAAUACAUAUACUAAAAAAAAUUAAAUAAUAAUAAAAUUGACAUUUUAAUAUUAAAAAUAAAAAAUAUAGAUUUACUUAUAAAAAAUAACAAAACCACAAUAAAUCAGAACACGGAUAUUGUGACUACAAAAAAUAAAGAAGAAUUAUUUGUGUUGAGAAGUGAGGGAUGUUUUGGGGGUGGUUAUUUGCAGCUUGGGAGGUGAGAGUUUGUUUAGAUGCAUGUAUGUGGAAGAAGAAGGAGAAAUAGGGGAGGGGAGGUUCGACAACUUGGUGAUAUAUUAACUUUUACCGAUGGAAUCACCGACGAAAAUAUUUUAUCGAUGAUUCCAUCAGUGAUUCUGACGGUAAAGGGGUCAUGUCACUGUACGGAGAUCCUGGUUUGAAUCCCUCGGUAAUUUCGUCGGUAAAAUCACUCGCAAAAUCUUCCACGUCAAUGACCUGCUUUUUUUUCUUUCAAAAUUCUAUAUAUUUCGUUCGUAAUUCUAUCGGUAUAUACCGACAAACGUAUUCCGUCAGUAUAUACCAACGGGUUUACUGAUUGAUUUACAUCCGUCGGUAAUUAUUACCGCAAAUUACCGAUAGAAAAAUAUUGUCGAUAAUUCCGUUGGUUUUAGUCGAAUUUCUAGUUGUGAUAUUGAUUUGGUGAAAUUUGAUCGAUUCAAUCAAACCAAUCUAGUUCAUAUCUAACCAUAUUAAUAAAAAAAAGAAUGAAAUAAUAUUAUUUUAAUAAAAAUAAUUAUUCUGAAUUAACUUAAUAAAUGACUUAUAAGUUAUUAAAUAUCUGGUGCUAUAUUAAAAAAUUAACUUAAUAAAUGACUCAUAAGUUAUUGGCAAAAUACAGGUAUAAUCGGAGUACACCAUGUUGUCAAAAAGACACAAGUCUUGAAUUUUACUUUUAUUCUUGUUUUUUUUUAAAAAAUUGGAAAGGCAGGUAUACUAUCAAUAUUUUUUUUUUUUUACUUUGUAUGCUUUCCUCUGUUGCUAAUAUCCACCUCAGCAUGUACCAUCUGGUUAUAAACACCUUGGGUAAAUCAAGAUAUAAUAGAAAAACAUUCACUGUAGUUUGUCUCACAAAAAUUUCAUGGUUUUUGUCCUUUAUAACUUGAUAGAUACGAGGCAAGGAGUUAGGAGGUAGUAGCUUUUAUUUAUUUAUUCAUUUAUUUCUAACUACUGACCUUAAAAAAAUAUUGAAUUUGUAAUUCAACCAAAUAAAAUAUUGAUUUGGUGAAAUUUGAAUGAUUCAAUCAAACCAAUCUAGUUCAUAUCUGGCCAGAUUAAUAAUAAUAAAAAAUGAUAUUGACUGACUAGAUUAUUUGGUAUAACAGCAGUGCACCAUGCUGCCCAAAAGACACAGUCUUAAUUUUAUUUUUCCCUUUUUUUUUUGAAAACCGGGAAGGCAGGUAUACUAUGAUUGACUUCGGCAGUCGGUAGGAAUUAUUUUUUAAAGCAUUUUUUUUCAUGUGUAAAUAUAUUAAAUAAUUUUUUUAUUUUUUAAAUUUAUUUUAAUAUUAAUGUUUCAAAAUAAUUCAAAAAUAUUAAAAAAAUUAAUUUAAAAUAAAAAAAAAUCAAGUUUUUUUUAAAAACAUGAUUCCACUGUGAAAUUAUUAUUAUUUUUGCCGGGGAGUUGGUUGUUCUACGUAGGGUCGGAAAGGUCACGGAAUGAAGAGUUGCUGGUAACCAUUAAUCCAUGACAUGGCUUAAAUGAGUAAGGCUAAUUAAAAGUAUGUAAAACUGUAUCAAGUGACUAUUUGUAAUUAUUAUUUUUGAAUUGUUUUUACGUGGUAAUAUAAAAAAAAUUAAAAAAAUUAUUAUUGAGCUGACCUUACUAAUAAAUAGUAUUAUUUAAGGGAGCUAGCGGCUGUAACGUUCUCUUCCACAUCUCAUCUCAUUAUACAAUUCCCUAUUUUCCUUUCCCCAUCUCAUGAUCUGUGAUUUCUCUUCUUCUUUUUUUCUAAGCCAUAUAUUUUUCUAAGCCAUAUAUUCUUCUCUGAUCUGUGAUUUCUCUUCUUCUUUUUUUGGCUGAAUACUGGUCAAGCGAACCAGCACAUCUUGAAUCCAGGUUAAUUAUUUGUACUUCAUCUUGUUGGUGUUUUUGUUUUUAUAUUUGUAACUAUGGUUUGAAUCUUUAAAGGAAUCCAUGAUAAAUAAAUUGAUCUUUUUCUCGGAUUUUAUAAUCCAUGCCUUGUGGAGAGUUCAUACUAAAUCAAUACUGAAUUCAUUGUUUUCGUCUUUUCAAGAUUCUUUGCUGUUUUUAACUCCUUAUUUUAGAUUCACCCUUUUCUUUUCCAAUUAAUGGGACUGCCAUUCAUUUUUAUUCAAUAUUUUUCAACUUUUUUUUUUCUUACAAUGAUUCAAUGAAUUAACUUGAUCAAUAAUUACCUGAAUCUUUUUGAACAAAACAAUAUCCUAUUAUUUUUGUGUCUGUUUUAUAAUGUGUAACUAAGGGUUAAAAUAGAGGAAAUUGAUUUUUGAAAUUAACAAAAAUAAUCUUGCUUUCGUUUUGCUCUUCUACUUUCCUUCCCUUGCUUUCUUCAACAGUUAUCCUGCGUCUUUCUAUCUAUCAUUCUAGAGUUUUAGGAUCUCGUGUCAUAUAAAGAAUUUGAGUAUGAUAAUUUAGCUACAAAGACAAAGGAUUAAAUCAUUAACAACAACAUUUAUAUUUCAUAUUUUUCAUCCGAAUUUCUUUAACAAACAAGAAAGUCAUUCAUAUAUAUAUAUAUAUAUAUAUAUAGAUAGAUAGAUAGAUAGAUAUUCUUUUCUGAUCUGUGCUUUAUGUUCUUUUUAGACCUCAGUUUUUUAUGUCUUUUCUGAUCUUUUCUGGUCAGAUGGAAGGGUUCCAACCAUCUUUUAUGGAGGAGGUUGACAACAUGACAUGGGAUCAGCUGGGUUUUCAAUCAGAAGAAGAUACAUUCAAUAUGUCUGAGCUUCUCUCGUACGUCAUUCUUGAGCAUAUUUUAUCGGAAGAUGAUUGCUUGCAAUUUAGUUAUUCUUCAGUUUAUCCUAUCAUUCCCAAAAAAACAAUAUAAUGUCGUCACUGUCCAUGGAAGCAGGCUGCCACCGGAGGUUCCAGUCAACCAAAGCUCCAUAUCAUGCAAUGAUCAAGGUGGACAGAACAAUGUGAUCAACGAUAGUAUUCAACAAACAACUCCGUUUCCAACUUCAUUUCCUGAAACAGUGGUGAGUACUCCAAUUUGCUACAAUGCCCAUUGAAUUAGCAAGUGUUUGUAUUAUACAAAAAGUGUUUGCAUUUUUGUUUUUAAUUUCAUUUGAUAAUUUAUUUCAAUAAACUUGUUAUGGAGCUCUUGUGGUCUAAGAAGAAGAAACAAUUCAAUGUAGAGUUGAUGUUUGACUUAACAAGAUUUUGUUCAAUUUAAUUGAUUAAAAAUAAGUGAAAUUUUGACCGUCAAAUUUGAUAUUAAAAUUUUGAAGAUAAAUAUUGAAGACUGAAUUUGAUAUUAAAACUAAAAAUAAGUAGAAAGUUUUUACAAAGGUAAAUGUUAUGAAAAGAUCGAAAUUGCUAUCCAACUGGUGUGCAGAUUGGAUAGCAAAUCAAGCUAUGUUGAAGUCUUCUACUGCAGUGAAGCUCCCUCUGGUUGCUUGAAGCUAAUGCCUGAUUGUUGCGUUCCUGGGUUUUGAUAAGUGUAUGAAAGUCUAUUUUAUUGUUUUUGUGUUUUAAAAAUAUUUUUUAAAAAUUAAUUUUUUAUUUUAAAUUUAUUCUAACUCUUUUGUUUUAUCAUUCUCAAAGUCCAAACAACAACGGUACUGUCAAGAUUGUUAUGCUUAUGCCCGCAAUCGAAACAUAAUUUGUUUUUGUACUCAGAGUUAUGUUUAUUAAAAAAUCUGGUUAUUUUAAAAAAUAUAUUAAAUUAAUGUUCCAAAGUUUAGUAGUUAAGAAAUGUAUUCCAAAGUUUAGUUUACUGGUUGACUCACAUAUUAACUGAAUAACCUGAGUAAAAAAAGAAAACCACAUCAUAUUAUGAUGGUGUUUAUUAAAAAAACUAAAAUAACAAUUUUUUUUUAAUAUUAUCUUCUUAAAUAUUUUUAUUUUAAAAUUUUUUCACAUAAUUGUAGAUAAAAAAAAAAUUGUUUUAAUUUAGCAACGAUAGAGCAUCCACAAGAAAGAUAUUAUACGGUUAUUAAUUUUCAUUAAAAGAAAAGCUAAGAGACUUGGGAGAACUACUAUAUAUCCACACCUAUUUCAUAAAUUACAAUAGUACGUAAUUCAAGGUGUUUUGCCUUUUUUGUUUUGUUUUUUUAAAAUUUCUUUUUGUUUAUUUUAUAAUAGGCUGGUUAUAAUUCAGCUUUAAUUUAUUAAUUUUUAUUCUAUUUUUUUAUAAGAUUAACGUAAUUUAUAGGUUUGUUAAAAUAACUUAAAUUAUAGUUUUCAGAUUUGGUGGGAUAUUUUUUUGUUUAUUAAUUAAAAGAAAAACUAAAAGGUGUAAGAGAAUCACUAUUUACCCACACUCAUUUCAUUAUGGAUUACAAUAGUAAUCUAUAGUGUUUUGUCUUUUCUGUUUUUUUUCCUUUCCUUUCCUUUUUUUUUAUCAUUUUUAAAAAUAAGUUUUUGUCUAUUUCAUAUUUGGGCCGAAUUAGCAUAUAUAUAUAUAUAUUGGGUUAGUGUUUAAUUUUACAAGUAUAAGUAUCUAUUUUUGUUAUCAUAUUAUUAAAAAAAAAUAAUUUUUUAAAAAAGUAUAAUCCUAGUUAAAUCCAUAACCUUGUUCAUGGGUUUGAUGUGCUAGCCCAAGUUACCUGAUUCACGAGUUUGACAGGUUUAUCAAUUGAUCGAAUAUGUUUUUUUUUUUGUUUCUGGUCUUUUAAUUUUUUUAAUUGAUUUUUUUUUUAAUUUUGUCCUUCAAUAUUAGAUUGGUUUGGAAAUAGACUAAAUGAUUUAUUUUUAUUUGCUUUCUAUAGGGUUAUCAAAAUCUUAAAUAAAUAUUUAUUUUAGGGAUGAUACUCAAUUUUAUGAGCAUUUAUUUUUAUCAUAUAAUUAAAUUAAAAAAAACUUAAAAAAAUUACUAAACCCAAUAAAAUCCAUGACCCAAGUCGCGAGGGACCGGGAUCGAUCAAAUUUGUCAUUGUUUCAAUAUUUUUUUUAAAAAAAAAAAGUUGUUGUCUAGAAGUUUUUUUAAAAAAACUAAGCCAUGCUUUACUAGUUUUCUAAGUUGUAUUUAGAUAUUAAUUGAUUUAAAUUGAGUUAAUUUCCAUACAAUUUAAUUAAAAACUUAAAUUAAAUAAAAAAUUAGAUUAAAAGAUUUUAAUAUCAACUCCCCUAACCAGGUUUAAUAAUAUCGCCAACAAACUUUCUUCACUCUUAACAUUUUAUUUUUAUAUUUUAAAAAAAUUAAUCCCCUAAAAAAAACUAUGACAUAUUAUUGAGUGUAGGUUUUGUUUAUUAAGAGUAAGGAUUGAGUCUUUGACUGCAUGUAAUGGCAUCGACUGAAAACCUUUAAUCACAUGCUAUUAAUCACAUAUUUAAUCUGUUAUUGUUAGAGCACAUGCUUUUCAAAAACUUUGAAUUUUUUCUUUUUAAAUUAUUAUUUUUUUAUUAAAAAUAAAUUUUAAAAAAUAAAAAAAUUAUUAUUUUAAUUAUUUUAAAUAAAAAAUAUUUUAAAAAGAAAAGUAUAUUAUUGUUUCUCAUAUUCAUGUGUUUACAUUUUCUAGGCAUCUUCUUCUAAGCUUCAUAAUUGGGUAGGUAAAGUAGUGUUUUCAACUCCUUAUUUUAGAUUCACCCUUUUCUUUUCCAAUUAAUGGGACUGCCAUUCAUUUUUAUUCAGUAUUUUUCAACUUUUUUUUUCUUCUUACAAUGAUUCAAUGAAGUAACUUGAUCGGUAAUUACCUUACAUUAAACAAAAUAAGAAUAAUUAAAAUAUCAAAUGUGUUCAUUAAAGUAGCAGGAGAAAUCGCUAUAUAGCCAUCCGAAAAGGAAAAGUUAAAGAUUGCAGGUUUGCUGCUCAAUUCAACUAAAUAUUUUGAAGUUAGAACUCGUUUGUUUUUUUUGUUUUAAAAAUAUUUUUUAAAAAAUAAAUUUUUUUAUUUGUUUUAAAUUAAAAAUUUUUCUAUUUUUAAAUUAUUUUGAUGUGUUGAUCUCAAAAAUAAUUUUAAAAAAUUAAAAAAAUAUAUAUCAUUUUAAUAUAUUUUCAAAUAAAAAAUACUUUAAAAAACAAUUAUUAUUACAUUCUCAUAAUUUUCGCUUUAAGAGUAAACUUCACUUUUGCUCCUAUAAAUACACCAACAUUUCACUUCUACUCCUAUAGUUUUAUAUUUCUCAUUUGAUGCUAAAAGUUUUCAAAAUGUUUCAAUAUUACCCAUUCCAUUUUUUUCCUACCACAUAGAUAAGAUAAUAUUGAAUAAUUUCAAGCUGUAGGGUCAGAGUUUGAAUCCUCAUCGAUCUACAAGUAUAAACAUGCUAUAAUUUACCCUUGCUGUCUUUUCCCAAACUAAGUUAUUUUGAAAUCCUAUAUCUUAAAAUGAGGCAUUUUAAUGUGUUCAAGGGAUUCCGACUAUCCAUCUGCUGUUUGUAGAAUUUAAGCACUUUUUUCAUUAGUCACUUUUAUUAAAUCAUUUAAUAUUUGCGUUUAUUCUUUUAAUUUGCUUCAAUGUGGAAUCGACACUCCAGAGAAUGUGAGAUUAUUUUCUUGAGGCUUUCUGCCCUCUCUCUAGUAAACUAAAAAACAGCAACGGUACUGUCAAGAAUGUUAUGCCCGCAAUCAAAACAUAAUUUAUUUUUAUACUCAGAAUUAUGUUUUUGUACUCAGAAUUAUGUUUGAGGGCAUUUGAAAGUCUGUUUAUUUUGAAAAAAAUAUUAAAUUAAUAUUUUUUGAUAUAUUAAUAUUAAAAAUAAUAAAAAAAAAGCUUUUCUUUUCUUAGAUUCACUCUUUUCUUUUCCAAUUAAUGGGACUGCCAUUAAAAUAUGCUUUUCACCAUUUAUUUGUUUUUCUUUUAUUUUGACUUACGUAACGUGUGUACCCAGUAAUCCACUCAUAUAUAUAUAUUUUCUUUGCUAUGUGCUUUCUGUUCUUUUUUCACCUCAGUAUGUACUAAUCAUCUUGUACUUUUGGUCAGAUGGAAGGGUUCCCACCAUCUUCUAUGGAUGAUCUUGAAUCACUAUUUCUCUCGUACGUCAUUCUUAAACAUAUUUUAUCAGAAGAUUAUUGCUUGCAAUUUAGUUAUUCUUCCGUUUAUCCUAAUAUAUUAUUCCAUGGAAGUAGGCCGGCACCGGAGGUUCCAGUCAACCAAGGCUCCAUAUCAUGCAAUGAUCAAGGUGGACAUAAGAAUGUGAUCAACGAUAGUAUUCAACAAACAACUCAGUUUCCAACUUCAUUUCCUGAAACCAUGGUGAGUACUCAUGCUUACUCCAAUUUGCUACAAUGUCCAUUGAAUUAGGCAUCAUUAUUCCUUUAUUCAUCAACCUCAGACGGGACAUGGCUAUAUGACACCGAAUGCAACCACAUCACAACAUGGUGAAUUCAAUCAACCUGGACCUUCUUCUCUUGCUCCCUGGUAUCCAAUUUUUCAUGUUUAGUAUUUUCUGAAAAAAAAAAAAAAGUUUUUCAAUCAUUAUUUAACUUCUUCUUCUUCUUCCUCUUGUUGUUGUACUUAUCAGUGAGUUCAUUAUGUUUGAAUAUAUAUAGGUAUCGGCCUAAUCCUAAUUUAUUUGAUCCUCAAUGUGCCAAUCCUUUGAGGUAAGCUAAAAUGAUAUCUUAGUAGAUUAAUAGCAAAGAAUUAUGCAUAUGUAUAAAGAAAUUACUAACAAGUGUUGCUAAUUUAGGGACCAACAAUUGACUAAUUAUCAGUUACCAAUGAGCAAUCAAGUGCCUGCGAUGCUACCUGGACCUCAACCUCCAAGGAAUCAAUGGUAUUAACCUCGAAUAUAUCUACACUUUUUUAAUCAUGAAGACAAUAAACUUUUGAAGUCUGUUUGAGCUCUCUAUCUAUCUUUUUUUGUGCACAUAAUGGAACUAGAAGAUCAACCAAGUUAGAAUAACAGUUCUAAGUUUAACUAUUUGAAUAUUAUUCAGGCAUCAGUACUCCAAUAUUCAUCAACCUCACACCCGGACAUCGCGGCGACCAAUUAAAAAUUAUCUUGCAUGGAAAGAACGGAUUUCUGGCAUCCUAUUCUUCGAUGGUGAAUGGUCUUUGUUUAAGGAGUCGCCACCUAGUAUUACGGUUACUAGGAACCCUAACUGGUCAACAGAGAUUCUAUGGUCCGAGACUGGUUACGUAAAAGGGAAGAUAUUAUCACCCCUUAAACGUCCUGCCUAAGGCAGGCUGCAUUGCUGAUCUUUGUAAUUAAUUGCUAACAUUUUUUUUUGUUGGUUUAUACUAUGAUUGUUUGUGUGUAAUAUUCCUGGCUCUGGCGCCAGUGAAUAUUCAACUACAGAUAUUUCCAACUCUGGCGUUGGUAAAUAUUACGUAGGUAUGAAAAUAAAUAAAUUUAAAUCAUCAUUUUUUUUAUUCCUGACUCUGGCGUCAAUGAAUAAACAAAUAAAAUCAAUUUUUUUUUUACGCAAUCGCAUUAUUUUUAUUUUUAUGUAGCUAAAAAAAAACAAAAUAAAAUAAAAUAAAUUUACAUUAGUAUCUUUAUUCCUGACUCUGGCGUCAGUGAAUAAACGAAUAAAUUUACAUUAGUAUCUUUAUUCCUGACUCUGGCGUCAGUCAAUAGUUUUAUUCUGACUCUGGCGUCAAUGAAUAAAAACAAUAAAUUCAUAUUUAUUUUUUAUUUAUACAUACACACUUCCUUUUUUAUUAUGUAUUUUUUAUUUUUUAUCUUUUUAUUUUUUUAUUUACAUUUUUGGGCUGGGAUUAGUCACUGGCUCAAAUCAGUACCAAGUAGCAGGCGUGCAUGACAGCGCACGCCUGCUACAGAAACAAAGGAAUUGUAAAAGUAAAAUUCACUGCUACAGUAGCAUGUGAAUUAUAAUUCACAGCUACUGUAGCAAAGCAAAUGAAAUAUAAGGCAACAGAGAAGAACAAAGGAACUUACCUGAUGCGCGGAGACGAAGUCGAAGACGAGGGUAAUGGCGUGCUCUGGUCCUUGCUUCUGUUUUUCUUCUCUGGUUUUCGGGUCCUUAUUCUCUGGUUUUUCCUUCCCCGGCCUCUGCUGCGCUGCUGUUGUUGUAGUUGCUGGUGCAGAAGGAAGAAGCUUGUUGCUGUUGCCAGGGGAAUUAAUCCUGUUUUCUUUGCAGUUCACGGCUGAGAAGACAAAAUGUCAUUGCAACGUGCUGCUGGAAUGAAUAUUAACUGGGGGCUGCUACGGGAAGAAGAGAGGAAAAAAAGCUGGGGGGGGACUCGGCCGCGCUUUUUUUUUCUUUGUAAAUGUCUUUUUUUAUGUUUUUUUUAGGUUUCUGGUAAUGGCCUUCUUUUGGUUUUUUUUUUCUUUUAGGGUUUCUCUCUAAUCCUCCCUCCUCUAUUCGCAUAGACUGGGAUCAGUAUUUAUAGUGUAAGAGUCCUAUCGCUUGUAAGAAGUAAAGUCUCAAUCAAACUCAUUUUCUUUUUUAAAUUCAAAUUAGAAUCGAAUUCGAAAUCAUACAACUUUCAUUAUCUUGAAGGUAAGGAUUAUCUUGAAAAUAAGGAUCAUUUUGAAAGUAAGGAUUAUCUCAAAGAUAAGGAUAGAAUGGCAAAAGCACAUUAUAGUCCUUAAUUUUCAUGCAAGUUGACAAAUCACACUUUUCAUCGAAAUAAGUCUCUGAUCUUUUAAUUUUACAUUUUAAACCCUGUAAAAAUUAAAUUAAAAGCCAAUGGGCCAAAAUUGGGUUAUGACAGUUGCCCCCUCUUUAUAAUAUUUACUAUGCAAUGAUAUUAGAAAAUUUCAUUUUCUUUUAGCUUUGUGUAGUAAAUUUAUAAAGAAAAUUAGAUACAGAAAGAAAUUUUGCUUCUUUUUUAUUUUUAUUUUUAGUUUUGAAAACUUUGAAAAUAGUAGAUUGACACAUGACCUUUACAGAGAGAUGUAGAAAUCAAGAAACAAAUGAUUUGGGAGACGACCCUUUUUUUUUUUGAAAUGGAUCAAAUUGUUUUAGGCAACCUGCCCAAUGAUAAAAGAAACGCGAAGAAUUUCGCGAGUGGUCUAAUUGUUCCAGGCGACCUGCCCAGUGAUUGAAAAAUACGAGGAUUUUUUUUUUUGUGAUGGUAUAUUGUAAUGGGUUACCGGCCCAGAUGGUCACAUUGUAAUGGGUUACCUGCCCAGUAUAGGAUGGUAUAUUGUAAUCGGUUACCGGCCCAGAUGGUCACAUUGUAAUGGGUUACCUGCCCAGUAUAGGAUGGUAUAUUGUAAUGGGUUACCGACCCAGAUGGUCACAUUGUAAUGGGUUACCUGCCCAGAUGGUCACAUUGUAAUGGGUUACCUGCCCAGUGGAUGAUAUAUUGUAAUGGGUUACCGACCCAGAUGGUCACAUUGUAAUGGGUUACCUGCCCAGUUGGUCACAUUGUAAUGGGUUACCUGCCCAGUAUAGGAUGGUAUAUUGUAAUGGGUUACCGACCCAGAUGGUCACAUUGUAAUGGGUUACCUGCCCAGAUGGUCACAUUGUAAUGGGUUACCGGCCCAGUUGGUCACAUUGUAAUGGAUUUUUCAGAUGGUUACAUUGUAAUGGGUUACCUGCCUAGUGGAAAAAUACGAGGAUUUUUUUUUCUAAGACAUGAUAGGGCUCGAAGGCGCAUUAUUCAAUAGAUGGAAGCUCGAAGGAAAUGAGGGCUCGAAGGCGCACUCAAAAGGAGGUAGGAUAGGAAAUGCAGUACCUUUGAUAGUCGAGGGCUCGAAGGCGCUCUCGAAAUGGAGAUAAGACGAGGGCUCGAAGGCGCGCUCGAAUGGAGAUAAGACGAGAGCUCGAAAGCGCGCUCGAAUGUAGAUAAGACGAGGGCUCAAAGGCGCGCUCGAAUGGAGAUAAGACGAGGGCUCGAAGGCAUUCUCGAAUGGAGAUAAGACGAGGGCUCGAAGGCGCGCUCGAAUGGAGGUAGGAUAGGAAAUGCACUACCUUUGAUGGUCGAGGGCUCGAAGGCGCGCUUGAAAAGAAACAAGACGAGGGCUCGAAGGCGCGCUCGAAUGGGGAUAAGACGAGGGCUCGAAGGCGCGCUCGAAUGGAGGUAGGAUAGGAAAUGCACUACCUUUGAUGGCCGAGGGCUCGAAGGCGUGCUCGAAAAGAAACAAGACGAGGGCUCGAAGGCACGCUCGAAUGGGGAUAAGACGAGGGCUUGAAGGCGCGCUCGAAUAGAGAAUGGAAGGUGGUGGGAAAAUACAGAUAUUUUUCAGGUGGCCUAAUUUUCAUGGGCGGCCUGCCCAGGUUGAAAAAUUCUCAAAAGUGAAAAUUUUUCAAAAGCUAUUUCAAUGUUCUCCAUUUCAAGUUGGCCUUCCGCUUGAUGGAUUCUGUUAGAAUUUUCUCUAAUAAAAUUUACAACACUCAUUGUCCAAUGUCUCAAAGUUUAAAUGAUAUGCAUGCAUCUUUACCUGAUUUGAAAUAUAGGCCCCCCAUUUCUUCUUAGUCUUCUCGUUGCUUGGUUGGUGAGAUCUUGCUAUCUCAUUUGAGUCAUCUUUGUCGUUUGGCUUUCUAGCCCACUCGAGUUAGCCCAUGUAAGUUUAUUUCCAGAUUUGUUUACAUAACUCAGCUUUUGCGGUGCCCAUCGUGACCCACUUGCUUGCUAGAGAUUUUCUAAUCUCGUCAAAUAAUUUGAGAGGAUUAUUCAUUACCCCUCGUCUCACUGCUAAAAACAUUCGGUAUCACUUGCUGAAAGGAUCGAGCUGUCUUUUAUAAACCAAAAUGCCCCCUUGUCUUGUUGUAAGGGAUGAUAGAUUUUCCUUAAACACAAUAUUGCCCCCUUGUCUUGUUGUAAGGGAUGAUAGAUUUUCCUUAAACACAAUGUUGCCCCCUUGUCUUGUUGUAAGGGAUGAUAGAUUUUCCUUAAACACAAUGUUGUCCCCUUGUACUGAUCAUUGCCCCCAAGUGUGUUAUGUCACUGACUUAGAUGAAUAAUGGUUUUAAGAGGCCAUUCUCUCAUUUGGUGAAGGAAUAUGGGUCUAGAAUGAAUCUUGAAAUCUUGAUCUUGCCUUUUGACAACAAAAAUUGUUUUGAUAUGAAUUUAAAACAAUUUACUUUUGAAAUCUUGCAACUCCUUGGUUAUUAUCUUUCUUGGAAAAGAGAUUAUUUGCUCUUGUGUUUGGUAAUGAGGUCUUUGAUGAAAAUACAUCAUGAGAUGACCUUUUGUUUCAAAGUGAAGGGCUUGAGCAAAAGCUCGAGGUUUUGUACGAGAAAAAAAACUUGUCUUUUUUUUUAACAUUUAUUAUCAACAUGAAUAAUAAUGAGUAGUUCUUUCUUGAUGUCAUGAAUCUUAUAAAAAAAAUAUUCUUUGCAUUUUGAGAGCAUUGUUUAUUGUUCUAGGUUGCUUGCUUCCUUGAUUAGAAAGGACUUCUAUAGGCACGUAACGUAGGCUGUGGUUUUUGGCUAUGAAAGAAAAGGAUUCAUAAGGCUCAAAGAGUGUUUCAGGGUUUCAAAGACUGAAGAUCACGAUCAAUAGUUUGACUUUUGACGUCAUUCAUAUUUUCUUUUGCCGCUCUUCUUUGAUUUGCUGCUUCUUUUUUUCUUUUUCAUUGCUUUGCUAGAGCAUACUCACUUUAUCUUGGUUAUCAUUUUUUCUUGUGAUUUGGGCAUGCCCUCUAGCAUUUGAGUUUUUUGGGCUCUUUUGCCUUUUGGCUUUCUCACGGCUCUAUCCUUUUUCUUGAUUAUUGAAAUUUCACUUGCCCCCUUUUUUUUUGUGAUGUGGGCAUGAUUCCUAGCAUUUGAGUUUCUUGGGCUCUUUUGCCUUUUGGCUUUCUCACGGCUUUAUCAUCCCUCUUGAUCAUUGAAAUUUCACUUGCCCCCAGUGUAGGGUGUGAUCUUAGUCGGAAUUUUUUUAUGAAAGAAAAAAUAAAUAAAUAAAUAAAUUCUUCAAGCUCAAAAAGGGUUUGCAAGGAUGUACUUAUUUUAGAACGUAAAAGGAAUAACAAAGAUAGCCUUUCCUCAUUUCAAGCGCAAGCAGCUAUGAUUAAUAAACUUUGACCUCGUAUAAUGUGAUGGUUUAUUCUUUGCAAAGAUGCAUUUGGUGAGUUAUGAGCAACAAGUUCACUACAUACCAUUAUUCAUACAUUUAAAAACACAUGAUUCAAGAGUAAUGGGGUAAGGGUGUUUAUUCUUUUUUUUUUCACAAUUGUUUUUAUAAUUUAGUCACCUCAAUGAUGGAGUUGCUUGAUUCACUUGUCAUUCUACAAGUAGAAUGUCAAAAAUAUCAUUUUUGAAUAAACAUCAAAUUAUUUUUUGAAAUCAAAAUGCCAGAUCAAUUUUUUUCAUCCUAUUGGAGUGGGAGCAUCCUAACGCAAAGGAUGUCCUUCGUCCCUUUAUAUCUUUUUUUUAACUUGAAUGAUAAAUAAUUAUGAUUUGAUGUUUGAUUAAUAUUAUAUUAUCAUCCUAUUGAGUUUCUCCAAGAUGAAAAUCCAAAAAAUAAAAAAAAAAUACUAUAUCAUAAAUCAUCAGUGAAAGUAUUCUUCUACACAUUUUUAAAAUGUCCAAGAGAGAGUAUGAAUAUGGCAGAUUGAAGUUUGUGAGUGUAGGAAAAUGGAGGAGAUAUUCUUCUCUUAAAGAACUCUGAGAUUGGAUUGGUUACCAGAACUGAAAAGCAUUUACAGUGCAAAACUGAUUUGCAAUUCUCUUCAUCCCUUUGUACCUUUUUUUUUAAAACUCGAUAGACAAAUAAUUAUAAUUUGAAUUUUGAUUAAUAUUAUAUUUUCAUCCUAUUGAGUUUCUCCAAGAUGAAAAUCCUAUAUUGAUUUAUCAUUAAAGUAACCUAAUAAAUGUAAUGUUUUUUUUUUUCUUGAAAACAGCUUGGAUGCACUCAAGUAUUUUAAUCACAACUUUCCACUCACAUGUCAGAUUGUUGUGAUUCUUGACGCGUUAUCUUGUUUGUAAACGUUGUGUUUUUAAAAUUUUUGAUUUGUUUUAAAUAAUUUUUUUAUAUUUUUAAAUUAUUUUAAUAUAUUAAUAUUAAAAAUCAUUUUAAAAAAUAAAAAAAUAAUUUAAUAUAUUUUUAAAUAAAAAAUAUUUUAAACCACAACUACUCCUUCUUCCAACUGGGAAACUCCUUCUUCCAACUGCUUCCCAGGCUUAAAAAAAAGUCUCGACGAGGAUUUCAAAAAAAGAACUAAAGCAUGUACGUGGCUGCCAAAGAAGUCCUAAAAUUUAGGUUUUUGAUGAAAACGUGUGGGACACGUGAUGAAAAAGGGGUUUAAAAGUGGUUUGCCCAUAAAGAAGACGUGUGGGAAUUGCAGUAAUGUUUAUGGAUUAAGAAAAGAAAAAGGGAUUAAUGUAGUUUAUGGAUUCAGUAAUGUUUCUUCUAUUAAAUGGAUUAAUUGUUUGAUUAUAUUUAUUUAUCUGUAUUGAUUUAAUAAAAAGAACUCCUAAAGCAUGUACGUGGCUGCCAAAAAAGUCCUAAAAUUUACUCAAUUUAUUUUUAAAAAAAUUAAUUUUUUAUUUUAUUUUUUUAUUAACUUUAAAUUAAUAUAUUUUUAGUGUUUUCAAAUUAUUUUGAUGUGCUAAUAUGAAAAAUAAUUUUUUAAAAAUAAAAAAAAUUAUUGACAUGUAUUUUGGUAUGAAAAGUUAUUUGAAAAGCAAUAAUAAUUACAUUACUAAACAAGCUAAAAAAUGUGGAAAUUGCACCAGAGAAGGAAAAAAAUACAAGAAAAGAAAAGGGAUUAAUGUAGUUUUUUCUGUUAAAUGGAUUAAUUGUUUGAUUAUAUUUAGUUCAUUUAUUUAUCUGUAUUGAUUUAAUUUUUUUACUAUAAUAUUGAUUUAAUAAAAAGAACUCCUAAAACAUGUACGUAGCUGCCAAAAAAAUCCUAAAAUUGACUCAAUUGGAAAGGAUCAUGGUGCUUACUGCCAAGAUUGUUAUGCCCGCAAUCAAAACAUAAUUUGUUUUUGUACUCAGAAUUAUAUUUGAGUGCAUUUAAAAAUUUGUUUAUUUAAAAAAUAUAUUAAAUUAAUAUUUUUUAAUAUAUUAAUAUUAAAAUAAAAAAAAUAUUUUAAAGAGAAAAAAAAAAUAUUUGACAAAGAAUAAAUAGAAAACUUACAAAUAGUUAAGAGUCAUAUUGGAAAGUAUAGUUUAGGUUUUUGAUGAACUAAAGCAUGUACGUGGCAGCCAAAAAAGUCCUAAAAUUUAGGUUUUUGAUGAAAACGUGUGGGACACGUGAUGAAAAAGGAGGUUUAAAAGUGGUUUGCCCAUAAAGAAAAGAAAAGGGAUUAAUGUAGUUUAUGGAUUCAGUAAUGUUUCUUCUAUUAAAUGGAUUAAUUGUUUGAUUAUAUUUAUUUAUCUGUAUUGAUUUAAUAAAAAAAACUCCUAAAGCAUGUACGUGGCUGCCAAAAAAGUCCUAAAAUUUACUCAAUUGAAAAGGAUCAUGGUACUGCCAUGAUUGUUAUAUGCCCGCAAUCAAAACAUAAAUUUGUUUUUGUACUCAUAAUUAUGUUUGAGUUCAUUUAAAAAUCUGUUUAUUUAUAAAAUAUAUUAAAUUAAUAUUUUUAAUAUUUUUUAAUAUAUUAAUAUUAAAAUAAAAAAAUAUUUUAAAGAGAAAAAAAAAUAUUUGACAAAGAAUGAAUAGAAAGCUUACGAAUAGUUAAGAGUCGUAUUGCAAAGUAUAGUUUACCAGUUGACUCACAGAUUAACUGCUUAACCCCAUCAUAUUAUUUAUUUAUAAAAACUAAAAUAAUUAUGUUUUUUUUAAUAUUAUCUUUUUUAAUAUUUUUAUUUUAAAAAAGUUUCACGUUGUAGAUAAAAAAAAGAUGUUUUAAUAUAGCAACGAUAGAGCAUCCACAAGGAAGAUGUUUUGCCUUUUUUUCUUUAAUUUGUUUUUGUUUAUUUGAUUAUUGGCUGGUUUAGAAUUCAGCUAAGACAUCUAAUAAAAUAUUUUUAUUCUUAUAAAUUUUGUGAAGAACAAUCAGAAAACUAAUUUAAUUAGGGAUUAAUUGAGUAAUUAAUUACCUUUACCUUACAGAGGAUUUUCUUUUCUUUUAUUUUAUUUCUAGUAACAGCUAAUUUAAUAAAACCCCAAUAGCCUGAUUCUUGGAUCACAGAAGCUUGAGACAUGGCACAUGCUACCAGGAAAAAAGCAUGAUUGUGUUGAAAACCUUUUAAGAUUGAACUGUCGCAUUCUAACAAUAAUGUUUGGACCAUUUAAAGAUUGGACCCAACUUCUCUUCAACUUUAUUUUAUAUUUAUAAUAAAUAAAAAGCAUGAUUGUGUUGAAAAGAAAUUGCUAUCCAACUGGUGUGCAGAUUGGAUAGCGAAUCAAGCUAUGUUGAAGUUUUCUACUGCAGUGAAGCUCCCUCUGGUUGCUUGAAGCUAAUGCCUGAUUGUUGCGUUCCUGGGUUUUCAUAAGUGUAUGAAAGUUUAUUAAUUUAUUAUUAGUUUGUUUUUGUAUUUUAAAAGUAUUUUUUAAAAAUUAAUUUUUUAUUUUAAAUUUAUUCUAACUCUUUUGUUUUAUCAUUCUCAAAUUCCAAACAACAACGGUACUGCCAAGAUUGUUAUGCCUGCAAUGAAAAUAUAAUUUGUUUUUGUACUUAAAAUUAUGUUUGAGUACAUUUAAAAUCUGUUUAUUUUAAAAAAUUAUUAAAUUAAUAUUUUUAUAUAUUUUUAUAUAUUAAUAUUAAAAAUAAAAAAAAUAUUUUGAUUAUGAAUAGGAAGCUUACGAAUAAUUAAAAGACUGAUUUCAAAGUUUAGUUUACUGAUAUUUAAAAUUAAGUUACUUAAAAAAUCUGAGUCAAUGAGGACAUUGUUUGGUAAAGUGAUGGACCGUAACAAAAACAUCAUUUUUUAUGUUUUUAUUGGCAAAAUAAAGGUAUAACCAUAUUACAUCAUGUUGCCAAACAAACACAAAUCUUGAAUUUUAUUUUUAUUUGUUUUUUUUGAAAAUUGAAAAGGCAAGUAUACUAUCAUGGACUAAGAUAAUAUUUGAUAUUGAAGUAAUGAUUUUUUUCAAAGUGUUUUUUGUUUGGAAAUUUAUUGAAAUAAUAUUUAUAUUUUAUAUUAGUAUAUCAAAAUGAUACAAAAAUAUUAAAAAAAACAUUAAUUUGAAACCAAACAAAUAAUAAGAAUAUUUUCACCUUGGAUUGUAUCUCUUCAUCUUUAAAAUUGUAUCUAAAAAAAUAACUAAUAAAGUGUAAUUAAUUAAUCUAAUGCUGGAAUUAUUAUUUACCCUGGAAUAUGGAUGACGUAUAAUUCCAAGUGGGCAUGCUGCAUUUCUUAGCCAAUGAAACUAUAAUUUCUUCAUAAUUUUUCAAGUUCCAACAAUAAAUGUAAUUUUCGAACUAUUAAAUAUAUUAAAAUCUUAAAUGAUAACUUGAAAAAUAAAAUCAUUCAUCAAUCAAUUUAAGAUUUCUACACUGUAAUUUGUUAAUAUUAGUUAAAAAAAUAUAAAUUUUAUGUAAAUAAAAAUAAUUUAAUUAACUGGUGUGGUGAAUCUCAUUUCAUAACGAAUUCAUAUAUCGGUCCAAUAAAUUAGGUCCAAUUUAAUUAACUGGUGUGGUGUAUAUAUAUAUAUAUAUAUAUAUAUAUAUAUAAAAAAAAAUAAUCAUCAAUAGUUUUGACAUUAGAAGUCAAUUCACCAACAACUUAAAAAUUCAACCUCUUUAAUAAAAAUACUUUUUAUAUUAAAAAAGUUGAAUUUUCCAUGAAUGAUUGGUGAGAGAAUUUUUAUUGAUUUCAUAUAAUAAUAAUAGUUUUUUUUGUAAAAAUGAUACCGAGAAAAAAUAAUCACAAGUAUACAAGACAAAAUUCAACCUCUCCACAUUGAUGUGUUAGGUUGGAAUCCUUAAACUGUUUUUGCCACAGUUCUUCGACUAGGUUUUAAGUUUAGAUUUUGACUUGUUAUAUAUUUUUUAAAUUGAUUUUUUUUAAAAAAAUCAUUAAUAUCUUUCCUUACGGUAAAUAAAAAAAACAUAAUUCAUUCUUCUAUUUAGAAGAUAUUUGGAAUCAUUUGCUGGAUCUAUUUUCUGUUUUUAUUUUCAGAUUUUAAAAUGACCCCUCGGAAAACAAUUCCAACCAAUUAUUUGCCAUGGAAUUUGGACGCUGUAUAAUUCCAAGUGGGCAUGCUGCAUUUCUUAGCCAGGUGUAGCAAGAAUUGAGGUAGCUUGUUUCUGGCUUUUGCUUCUCGGGGUAUGAUUUGUUGGGCUAGUUUAUAGGCCUUUUGCACUAGGGUUUUUGUCCUUUCUGCUAAUUUAUCUAAAUAUAGGCUUUAGAAUCUUUUUAGAUUGUGUUUGGUAUUGCGGUAGUUGUUGUGGUUAUUGUUUAAAAAAAAUUGUUUUAUAAAAAGUACUUUUAGUUGUGAUUGGUUUGAAAAAAUAGGUGUUUGGUUAAAACUGUGGUUGAAAUUGAGGUUGAAGAAAAAGUAGUUUAAUGUGUUUGGUUAAGAAUGUUUUUGAAAUUGAGGUUAUAAAAUAAUUUAAAAAAAUAUAAAUUAAUAUUGAUGGUUUUUAAUUUAAAUAUUGUGGAUUUAACUAUUGCGGUAACAUUAUGAAAUAAAUCAUACUUUAUAUAUAAAAAAAUUUAUUGUUCUAUUAAACUAUCUACAAUUCCAUUACGUACAAAAUUUAUCUGACAAGAACUACAGUUUCCAUAAUUUUUUAGCGUGUAAUAAAAUUAGAUAAAAUAUUAUCAUGUAUAAAAUUCACUCUAAAUUAGUUUUUUUUAAAAAAAUUAACAAAAAAAAAACUUAACACACUAAAAAAAAAAAAUAUAUUCACGCAGUGCAAGUGAACAGUGCAAGAAAAGUGCACUGUUCACUAUUUUUAACAUGAACAGUGCACUUUUCGUGUACUGUUCAUGAACAGUGCAUCAUUUUGCGUUGUUUAUGUUAAUUGCACUGUUCAUUGAACAGUGCAAUUACGUGAACAGUGCAAAAAAGCAUGUAAUUCUUGCUUUGCAAAUACUGCGUUUCCAACGCAGAAAACAGGUGGGACCCAGUGAACAGUAAACUGUUUUUUUUAGUAACCAAACGGCUACAACUGCGUUUUAAAAAAAACACAGCCGCAGAGCCGAACGGGCUCUUAAUGAAACUAGCGUUCUUGAUUUCUUGGAGGUAGAAAUAACAGGACUAUUAUUAAAUUAAAAUUAAAAUUAAAAAAAAGUCAGCUCAGACUUUUACCAUGUACCAAUAGAGAAAACACGGCGUCUCUCUGUUUUUUUUUUAAGCAUUUUUGCUUUUAAUUUCAUUAUAAUAAUUUAUUUCAAUAAGCUUAUUAUGCUUAUUAUGAAGCUCUCACAGACAAGUCAAGGCCCAGAGUCGUGAAAUUCACUUUGAACCAGCCUGCACGCACUUAAAAUAGUAAUGUUGGGGAGAUGAUUUUUAAAAUUUUGAUCCCUAGAGUUUUUGCAUCUUUUAUUUUUAAUUUUAAUUUUGAUUUAAAAUUUCAUAUUAUUCAUUUUCAUGUUGUUCGUUUUUUGGUUCAAGAUGAAAGAAAGAAAGUAACAAAAAAAACUUUGAAAAAGAUAAAAAAUUAUUGGUCGACAACUUUCCGGCAACAAAAACACGUACAGUAUCUUCGUAUCAAUGGAAAACUGGUGUGCAGAUUGGAUAGCAAAUCAAGCUUCACAGUAGAUGUUGAAGUUUUCUACUGCACUGAAGCUCCCUAUGGUUGUUUGAAGCUAAAGCUUGAUGGCGUUCCUGGGGUUUUGAUGAGUGCACGAUAUUGCAUUCUAAAUGUUCUAUCAUUGGAAUAAAAUGCAAAAAUGUGAAUAAAAAUAAUUGAAAUUAAAGGGUAAGUCAAGGUCCAGAGUCGUGAAAUUCACUUUGAACCAUCCUGGACGCACUUAAAGUAGUAAAGUUUUUUUUUCUUGGAAACAGCCUGAAUGUACUUUUAAGUACUUUAAUCACAACUUUCCACUCAUAUGUCGGAUUGCUGUGAUUCUUGACGCGUUGAAAAGGUUUCUUGAAGGGCCACAAAGUAGUCUCUGACGAGGAUUUCAAAAAAAGAAGAACUAAAGCAUGUACGUCGCUGCCACAGAAGUCCUAAAAUCUAGGUUUUUGAUGAAAACGUGUGGACCAUGGAGACGUGAUGAAAAAGUGGGGCUGCCUCCUUUAGAAAAAAGAGGGCUGCCUAAUUUGAAAAGAAGGGCAUUUGGCGUCAAGGAGACGUGUGGGAAUUGCACCAGAGAAGAAAAAAAAAAAACAAGGAAGGAAAAGGGCUUAAUGUAGUUUAUGGAUUCAGUCAUGUUUCUUCUAUUAAAUGGAUUAAUUCUUUGAUUAUAUUUGGAUCAUUUAUUUAUCUGUAUUGAUUUAAUUUCCUUACUGUAAUAUUGGUCUUGAGUAUGUUGUUGUUGUCGUUGAAUUUUCUUAAUAGGUAUAAUCAUUUGCGUAUUUAGGAGCCGUUUGGGAUGCGGUUCAACCUGUGUUUCUAAAAAAUUUGAAUUUUUUUUUUGCUAAAAUUUAAUAUGAUUUGUACGUUUUAGAUCAUUUUGAUGUGCUAAUGUUAAAAAUAAUUUUUUAAAAAUAAAAAAAACAUCAUUAACAUACAUUUUAAUACAAAAAAUUAUUUAAAAAACACCCGUAACCACACUGUUAAACUCUCUUAAAAGUGAUGAAUGAUAUUUCAAAAGAGGAAAUUCUGGGAACUGAACUUCCAAUUGAAUUAUUUAAAAGUGAUUCCCGACGCUCUACUGUUUGUAGAAUUCCAGUUGUGCUUUCUCCAUUAGUCACUCUGCUUUAUUUUAAUUUGCAUUUAAAAUUAGAUUUUAUUCUCUAUUAAAUCAUUUAAUAUUUUCUUCUAUUCUUUUAAUUUGUCACUAUGUAAUAUUUUCUUCUAUUUUUUUAAUUUGUCUCCGUGGAGACUCGAUACCCCAAAGUCGGGCUACAAUCACCCCAAAAAUCUUUAUAUUUUUAACUGACAAAAAGUCACUGAAAAACUCGGAAAAAGAUGGAAAAUUAUUGGUUGAUAAUUUUUGGCAAAAAAUGAAAAAACUAUCAUCUUUGUGCUAAUGAAAAACUGGCGUGCAGAUUGGAAAGCAAAUCAUACUUUAUAGAUCGAGGGCUAAAAUAUACAUUUGUAGAAGGGAGUUGGGAAGAAAAUAAAUUUUCAUGGGUAUGGAAAAGUUCGAUGACGAGAUGUUUUGAAAGAGAGGGGUAUGACGUUCAUUGUACAUUGACUGAUGUAUCUUUUAAAAUUUUGUUUUUAGGAUUUUUAGAUUAUUUUAAUGUAAUAAUAUUAAAAAUAAAUUAGUGUAAUUAAUUGAUUUUACUCGCACUAUUGAUGUGAACGUGAACAAUAAUUUUUUUUUGUUUUUUUUUUAAAUUAGUUUAAGGUUAAUUAAAUUUGCUUGUACUGUAAUCUCAAUUUUAUUCCUGAUAAUAUUUUACCUCAUUUUGUAGUUCUUAUCUGAUGAAUUUUGUAUGUAAUGGAAUUGUAAAUAGUUUAAUGAAACAAUAAAAUUUUUUUAUAUAAAGCAUGAUUUAUUUCAUGAUGUAAUAGCAAUAGUUAAAUCCACAAUAUUUAAAUUAAAAACCAUCAAUAUUAAUAUAUAUUUUUUAAAAAUUAUUUUAUAACCUCAAUUUCAAAAACACUCUUAACCAAACACAUUAAACUACUUUUUAUUCAACCUCAAUUUCAACCACAGUUUUAACCAAACAACUAUUUUUUUCAAACCAACCUCAACUAAAAAUACUUUUUAUAAAACAAUUUUUUUCAAAGCACAACCACAACAGCUACCGCAAUACUAAACACACUCUUAAUCUAGCCUUGUCAAAACUGAUUUAUCUUUACAGUCACAAUGUGUUUUUUUAAAAUUUUGAUUUUUUUAAAAAUAAUUUUUUAAUAUUUUUAGAUUAUUUUGAUGUGUUGAUAAAAAAUAAAUUAUUUUAAAAAAUUAUUUUAAUAUAUUUUUAAAUAAAAGAUAUAUUUUUAAAAAAUUCACAGCAUGCAGAAAUAUGCUAUUCAUUUUAGAAAAUUUCAUGUGUUUAUAUUUUCCUGGCAGCUUCUUCGAAGUUUCAACAUUGUGGUGGGUCCACACGUUAAUUUAUCAUUAUUGAGGCGACCUUACUAAUAAAUAAUAGUAUGUAACUUCUCUUCCACAUCUCAUCUCAUUAUACAAUUCCCUAUUUUCCUUUCCCCAUCUCAUGAUCAGUGCGAACUUUAUUAUUUUUCUAAGCCAUAUAUUCUUCUCUGAUCUGUGAUUUCUCUUCCUUUUCUUUUGGCUGAUCACUGCUUAAGCAAACCAGCUAGCACUUGAAGAACAUCUUGAAUCCAGGUAAAUUAUUUGUACUUCAUCUUGUUGGUGUUUUUGUUUUUCUGUAUGUAACUAUUGUUCGAAUCCUUAGAGUAAUCCAUGAUAAAUAAAUCGAUCUUUUUCUCAGAUUUUGUAAUCCAUGCCUUGUGGUGUUCAUACUAAAUUAACCCUAAACCUUGAAUUCAUUGUUUUUGUCUUUUCAAAAUUCUUUGCUGUUUUUAACUCCUUAUAUAUGGGAUUUCUUUUCAAAUACUAGAUUUUGUAAUCCAUGCCCUGUGGGACUGCCAUUAAUUAUUUUUAUCCAAUAUUCUUCUGACAUAAUGAUUCAAUGAAGUUGUUUUUUACUGAUUCAUGAAUUAACUUGAUCAGUAUUAAUUACCUUUCAUUAAACUUGUUUACAACAAGUGACAAAUAAUUUAGCAUUAAAACAAAGAAUUAAAUAAUUAACAGCAACAUUUAUAUUUCCUAUUUUUCAUCCGAAUUUCUUUAACAAAUAAAUAAGUCAUAUAUAUAUAUUCUUAUCUAAUCUAUAUAUAUUCUUAUCUAAUCUGUGCUUUCUGUUCUUUUUUAAACCUCAGAUGGAAGGAGUCCCACAAUCUGCGGAGGAUGAUGUCAACUUGACAUCGAAUCAGUUUGAUCUUCAAUCACCAGAAGAUACAUUCAUGCUUGACCCUGAGCUUCUCUUGUACGUCAUUCUUAAGCAUAUUUUAUCAGAAGAUGAUUAAUAGCAAAGAAUUAUGCAUAUGUAUAAAGAAAUCACUAACAAAUGUUGCUAAUUUAGGGACCAACAAUGGACUGAUUAUCAGUUACCAAUGAGCAAUCAAGUGCCUGCGAUGCUACCUACUAGGUACUGAUCAAACUUUGGCAAUAUAUAUGCUGUCGUGUUUUAACACAGUAUUAAUACCUUUUUCUCUCGUACGUCAUUCUUAAGCAUAUUUUAUCAGAAGAUGAUUGCUUGCAAUUUAGUUAUUCUUCAGUUUAUCCUCUAUAUUAUUCCAUGGAAGCAGGCCGGCAGACAACCAAGGCUCCAUAUUAUGCAAUGAUCAAGGUGGACAGAACAAUGUGAUCAACGAUAGUAUUCAACAAACAACUGAUCAGUCUCCACCUUCAUUUCCUCAAACCAUGGUGAGUGCUCAUGCCUACUCCAAUUUGCUACAAUGUCCAUUGAAUUAGCAAGUGUUUGUAUCACCCAUUGGAUCAAAAAGUUUAUGUUUUCGUGGAUCAAUUUAUCUCGAGCAUCUUCAAAAUGUUUAUUGUUAAACAAACAGACAACAAUUGGGAGAUUUAGAUUAUUUUUUUUUGUGUGUGUUUUAUGAUGUGUAACUAAUUAAGGGCUAAAAUAGAGGGAAUUAAUUUUUGCAAUUAACAAAAAUAAUCUUGCAUUUGUUUUGCUCCCCAAAUUAUGAAUAAAUAGGAGUUGAAAGAGGUUUUUGUUCACCCCGUCAAAACAAUCAGCUCUUCUACCUUCCUUCCCCUGCUUUCUUCAACAGUUAUCCUGCAUCUUUCUAUUGAUUAUUCUAGAGUUUUAGGAUCUCGUGUCAUAAAAAGAAUUUGAGUAUGAUAAUUUAGCUUUAAAUUCAAAGGGUUAAAUCAUUAACAACAACAUUUAUAUUUCAUAUUUUUCAUCCGAAUUUCUUUAACAAACAAGAAAGUCAUAUAUAUGUUCUUUUCUGAUCUGUGCUUUCUGUUCUUUUUAAACCUCUGUACGUACUAAUCAUCUUAUACUUGUGGUCAGAUGGAAGGGUUCCUACCAUCUUCUAUGGAGGAUAAUGUCAACUUUACAUCGAAUGAGCUCGAUUUUCAAUCACUAUUGCCCGACCUUGAGCUUCUCUCGUACGUCAUUCUUAAGCAUAUUUUAUCAGAAGAUGAUUGCUUGCACUUUAGUUAUUCUUCAGUUUAUCCUAUUAUUCCCAAAAAACAAUAUAAUGUCGUCACUGUCCAUGGAAGCAGGCCGCCACCGGAGGUUCCAGUCAACCAAAGCUCCAUAUCAUGCAAUGAUCAAGGUGGACAGAACAAUGUGAUCAACGAUAGUAUUCAACAAACAACUCAGUUUCCAACUUCAUUCCCUGAAACAAUGGUGAGUACUCCAAUUUGCUACAAUGUCCAUUGAAUUAGCAAGUGUUUGUAUUAGACAAAAAGUUUUAUGUUUAGUGUAUCGAUCUCGAGCAUCUUCUAAUUGUUUACUGUUAAACAAACAGACAACAAUGGGAAAUGUGAUCAACGAUAGUAUUCAACAAACAACUCCUUUUCCAACUUCAUUUCCUGAAACCAUGGUGAGUACUCAUGCUUACUCUAAUUUGCUACAAUCUCCAUUGAAUUAUACAAAAAGUUUUAUGUUUUAGUGUUUAUUGUUAAACAAACAGACAACAAUGGGAGGUUUAGAUGGAACAUCAUCAUUAUGGAUCAACCAAAAUGAACCAAAUUGGCCUAAAACUCAAUCAAGGUAUUCAUCAUUAUUGCCAAUUUAUCGACGAGGAUCUUUUUUAAUCAUGAGUAUACACUUUUUUAAUCAUGAAAACAAUAAACUUGACCUAUCUUUACGGUGGUGUCAAAUUCUUAGUUUAACUAUUUGAAUAUUUUUCAGGCAUCAGAACUCCUUUAUUCAUCAACCUCAGCCGGGACAUGGCUAUAUGACAGCGAACACAACUACCUCACAACAUGCUGGCUUCAAUCAACCUGGACAAUCUUUUCCUGCUCCCCGGUAUCCAAGUUUUCAUAUUUAGUAUUUUCUGUAUAACAAAAACAUUAGUUUUUCAAUUAGGAAAGUAACAUUAUAGCUUGAACAUGAACCCAGCAAGAUAAUCAUAAGUUUGUAAUGCUUCAUAUUGCUUGGGAAUGAUUUUGGAUUCAGGAUUCAUUUUCUUUCUAAUCAAGGACAAGUCGGUCAAGCUGCUGUAAUUCCUAACAUAGACAAGAGAUACUGAUUGACUUUCUAGCUGUUGUGUUUUAACACAGUAUUAAUACCUUUUUGAUAAUUCGAUACACCAUUGAUUUUUAUUGCUUAAGAGAGACUACCAAAUAUUGAAAGGUUUUAUAAUAUGAUCACUUCAUUUAUAUAUAGGUCACAGAUGGAUAACCUCCAAGUCCGAGGAUUGCAAAAUCAAACUGCUAUGCCAAAUGCCUCUAAUCCUGGCCUUGGCACUUCCCUGCGAAGUCAAAAUAGGGGUUUAAAUACUCAACAAGUAAGAAGUCUAACUGAAUUAUCAUCGUCUUUUUUUCCCCUUUGAUUGUGCUAUAAACUAACUAUCAAUUUUAAUAGCAAAAUAAGGGUAACAACACUGAAGAAGUAGUUUCUCAUCCAUCUGGAUAUGGUGUAACUUGCAUUAAUUUUUAUUCUUUAUUUUGACCUACCUUUUUUUUUAUAUAGGUUGAAAUGGUUAGAUCAAAGGAUCCAUUUUGGAAUUAUAUUGAAGAUAGGACUGAUGGAAGCAUGAAGUGUAAGUUUUGUCCACGUGCAUUUGCCAAUAAAACUUCCAUUUCAAGGAUCAAAUGGCAUUUAUCAGGAGAAGAAGGGCAUGGUGUUGCCAUUUGUCGUGGGGUGCCUAAAGAAGUUCAAGAAGCAGCCUUUCUAGCUAUGUGUGGUGGCAACAAAAGACAGAAAAUCACAGCAAGUUCAGUCAAUGUUAAUGAUUGUGGAAUUUCAACAAUGGAAGGAGGAAUUGGAAGGGUACAAAGAGAAGUUCAGGUUGUAGAACCCGGAGUAGUGGAAGAGAGGAUUUCUUCACAUGCAAUAGCAGGAAACGACGUAGUAAGCAUGACCGGAAUGAGAGCACCAGAACAUGGAGUUUCCGAAGGGGCACUCGAGAGCAGACCGAGGACAGAUCCCGUGGAUCGAUCGUUGGAACAAAGCAAUGCAGUACUUGGCAAUUUGGAAGGGGGUGCUGGAAGGAUACAAGUGGGAGUUCAGGGGGUGCUGGAACAAGGUGCCGGGGAAGAGAGAAUUAAUCGGGUUAUAGUGAGGACAGAACCAGUGGAGGAGGAUGUGGAGAAUAGUCGAAGAUCAGUAGUGCAGGCUGGCGCAGGAGCUAGAUCUUCUGAAAGUCUGAAAUACAACAAGACUAGAGGAGUUCCAUUACCUACUAGCUCUAAAAAGCCAGUGGGUCAAGUAUUCGAAGAGAAUACGAAGGUGAUAUGGUCUUUGUUAAUGGAUGAUAAAGUCUCAAUCAUUAGCAUUUAUGGGAUGGGUGGGAUUGGUAAAACAACAAUACUGCAACAUAUCCAUAAUGAGCUUCUACAAAGACCAGAUAUUUGUGAUUAUGUUUGGUGGGUGACUGUGUCUCAAGAUUUCAGCAUUAAAAAAUUGCAGAAUCGUAUUGCUAAACGUCUUCAUCUAGACCUUUCAAGCGAAGAUGAUGAACUACAUAGAGCUGGCAGAUUGUCAAAAAAACUAAAGAAGAAACAAAAAUGGAUUCUUAUUUUAGAUGAUUUGUGGAACUAUUUUGACCUACACAAAGUGGGAAUUCCUGAAAAGUUGGAAGGAUGCAAGCUGAUUAUGACAACUCGAUCAGAAACAGUUUGUGAAGGGAUGGCUUGCCAGCACAAAAUCAAAGUGAAGCCACUUUCUAAUAGAGAAGCUUGGGCUUUGUUUAUGGAGAAACUUGAACGUGAUGUAGCACUUUCACCAGAAGUGGAAGGAAUUGCGAAAGCUGUUGCAAAGGAAUGUGCUGGUUUACCAUUGGGAAUUAUUACAGUGGCAGGAAGCUUGAGGGGAGUGGAUGACUUACAUGAGUGGAGAAAUACAUUGAACAAAUUGAGAGAAUCAGAAUUUAGGGAAAAGAAGGUAUUCAAGUUAUUGAGGUUUAGUUAUGAUCAAUUAGGUGAUUUAGCACUACAACAAUGUCUCUUGUACUGUGCAUUAUUUCCUGAAGAUGAUAGGAUUGAAAGGGAGGGGUUGAUAGGUUAUUUGAUUGACGAGAGAAUAAUUAAAGGAAUGAGGAGCAGGGGAGCUGCAUUUGACGAGGGCCACUCGAUGCUUAAUAUACUUGAAAAUGUCUGUCUAUUGGAAAGUGCUCAAAUGGAUUAUGAUGAUAGAAGAUAUGUCAAGAUGCAUGACUUGAUUAGGGACAUGGCCAUCCAACUACUGCUAGAGAACUCUCAAGGGAUGGUUAAAGCAGGUGCACAAUUAAAAGAGUUGCCAGAUGCAGAGGAGUGGACAGAGAAUCUGAUGAGAGUUUCACUAAUGCAAAACGAGAUCGAAGAAAUUCCUUCCAGCCAUUCACCAACGUGUCCCUAUCUAUCAACUCUAUUGCUAUGUAAAAAUAAUCUGUUGGGAUUUAUUGCGGAUUCAUUUUUCAAGCAAUUGCAUGGGCUCAAGGUCCUCGAUCUGUCUUGGACAGGUAUUGAAAAUUUGCCAGACUCUGUCUCUGAUUUGGUGAGUCUCUCUGCGUUAUUGCUCAAUGAUUGUGAGAAGUUAAGACAUGUUUCAUCAUUAAAGAAGCUCAGGGCACUGAAGAGGUUGAAUCUCUCUCGUACUGCACUUGAAAAGAUGCCGCAAGGAAUGGAAUGCCUAACCAACCUGAGGUAUCUUAGAAUGAAUGGAUGUGGUGAAAAGGAGUUCCCAGUGGGAUAUUACCAAAACUCUCUCACCUGCAAGUCUUUGUACUAGAAGAGUUAAUGGGGGAAUGUUAUGCUCCGAUAACAGUUAAAGGAAAGGAAGUACGAUCCUUGAGAUAUUUGGAAACUUUGGAAUGCCAUUUCGAAGGUUUUUCUGACUUCGUGGAGUAUCUCAGAUCUCGGGAUGGGAUCCUAUCAUUAAGCACAUACAAAGUUUUAGUAGGAGAGGUGGGUAGGUAUUUAGAGCAAUGGAUUGAAGAUUAUCCAAGUAAAACAGUUGGGUUGGGUAAUUUGAGUAUCAACGGAAAUAGAGAUUUUCAGGUCAAGUUCUUAAAUGGCAUUCAAGGACUGAUUUGUCAAUGCAUCGAUGCAAGAAGUUUAUGUGAUGUUUUGUCAUUGGAGAAUGCAACUGAACUGGAGCGCAUCAGCAUUCGGGAUUGCAAUAACAUGGAGAGCUUGGUUUCAUCUUCUUGGUUCUGCUCUGCUCCACCACGUAACGGUACGUUUUCUGGUCUUAAAGAGUUUUUUUGUUAUAAUUGUGGAAGUAUGAAGAAGCUGUUCCCGCUUGUGUUGCUGCCAAACCUCGUAAACCUGGAAAGGAUUGAAGUGAGUUUCUGUGAGAAAAUGGAGGAGAUAAUAGGAACAACAGAUGAAGAAAGCAGCACCUCCAAUUCCAUCACGGAAGUCAUUCUCCCAAAGUUAAGAAGUCUGGCAUUGUAUGUGUUACCAGAACUGAAAAGCAUUUGUAGUGCAAAACUGAUUUGCAAUUCUCUUGAAGAUAUUAAGUUAAUGUAUUGUGAGAAGCUGAAGAGGAUGCCAAUUUGUCUUCCGUUGCUUGAAAAUGGCCAGCCAUCUCCUCCCCCUUCUCUUAGAACAGUCUAUUCAUGGCCAAAAGAAUGGUGGGAGACAGUAGUGGAGUGCGAGCAUCCUAAUGCAAAGGAUGUCCUUCGUCCCUUUGUAAAGUAAUAUAAUAUAGUGUGCUUACAAUUACAUAAAUAACAUUGUUCAUUUUUUUUAUUUCAUUAGUCAUAUUUUUGUUAACUCGAUAGAUAAAUAAUUAUAAUUUGAAGUUUGAUUAAUAUUAUAUUUUUAUCCUCAUUGAAUUUCUCCAAGAUGAAAAUCCAAAAAAUAAAAAAAAUACUAUAUUGAUUUAUCACUUAAGUAACCUAAUAAAAUAAUAAAUAAUCAGUGAAAGUAUUCUUCUACACACAUUUUUAAAAUGUCUAAGAGAGAGUAUGAAUAUGGCAGUUUUGGUUUCUAAACCUGAAACUGCCAUAUUCAUAAACACAUUUUUUAAAUAACUGAAACUUCUAAUACCAAAUUUAAUACUAAAACUAGAAAGUAGCAUAGGCGUGAUUUUUAAAAUUUUGAUCCCUUUAAUUUAAAUUUUUUUAAAAAGUCCUAAAAUCUAGGCAAUUUGUUUUUGACACAACCUGGGAUUAAAUAUAAUUUUUAAAUAUUUUUAAAUAGUUAAGAUUAAAUAAUUUUUUAAUUUAAAACAAUUCAAUUUCAAUAAAAUAUCAAAAUAUUAUGAAAUUAAAAUUAAUAUUUAAAAGAAGGUUUAAAGGUGGUUUGCCCAUUUAACCAAUACCCAUUUAAAACGCAAUAGCAAACUGGGAUUAAGCAACACAGAAUUAAUCAAAUAGUUUUUUGGAUAAUGAUAAUUUUGUUGGGCCACGGAAUUAGGUCACUGAAGAACUUUUUAGUAAAGGAUUAAUUACUAUGCUCUUAUCCACACAAUCCUUCAUCACCAUCCAAUCCCAUCACUGGAAAACUUAUCCUCUUUGAUCUCAAUGCCCUUCUGCCAUCCCCAAAUAUAUGCUUUUAUCCCUUUUCCUUUGUAUCUUGUCGUUUGUGUCUUUGUCCACUGGCUUAAGGGUGUUUAGUAAUUCUACAUACGGUUUUUUUAAAAAUAUUUUUCAAAUAUAAAUAUAUUAAUAUAAUGUUUUUAAAUUUUUUUUAAUACUAACAUAUUAAAAUUAUUAAAAAAAUAUUUUUUAAUCUAAAUACAUGCAAGCAAGAUGAUACAUAAUUCCUGCAUUUAAAAAAACACAUUUAUUAAUAGAGUGUUUGAAAAAUAUAGUACCAGUUAUUUUUUAAUUUGUUUUUUUAUAAAUAUAUUAAAAUAAUAUAUUUUUUUAUUUUUUAAAAGUUAUUUUUAAUAUGAUUAUAUGAAAAUAAUUUAAAAAUAUUAAAAAAAAUAUUGAUUUAAAAUUAAAAAAUAAUAAUUUUUUAAAAAUAAAACUUUUAAAAAAUAAAAAUAAAAAUAAAACACCAACCCUGACAUUAACCCAAUGUGAACCCAAUGACCUCAUCAUUUCUUUCUGUACAUUUUGCGUGUGUUAAAGGACGCUCCUAAGGCCAAGCUCAUAACAGGACACACGUGUCUAUCCAUACAAAAAUUGGUAUUAAAAAAUGUGUUGACACCAUUCGCUCUCUCCCUUUCCCACCUUCUUUCACUGUAUGUGUGUAUUAUUUAAGAAUGUGUGUCACCCGUCGUACCAAACCUCAAAUUUUAUUGAUAUUCACGGUAGGUUAAUUUGGUUGUUAAUUUUAGAAUUUGUAGAAAUUAAUAAAGAUAUAUAUAAGCUGGUUUGGAUAUUUUAUAUAAAUAAAAAAUAUUAAAUUUUAUUUUUUUAAUUUAAAAUUUGAUAUGUAUAACACAAUAUCUUAACUUAUUCUCAUCCUUUAUCUUUUUUAAAAAACAAAUACAUUAAUCAUGACGAUAAAUCCUCUUAACAAUGAGUAUUACAUUUAAUUCCAAUGCAUGUAAUUUUUCAAAUAUUAUUCUUUAUGUGGCAAUCUCAUUUAAUAAAUAAACUUUAUGUUUAUUAUUUGUGCUAUAUAGAUGUGUUUUCUCAAAUAAAUUGAGGUGCGUAUAAAUAGAAAGCAUCAUAAUAAAUAAAAUCUUUUUAAAAAUAAUAUACUUCAUAAUGGAAUUAAGUUUCAUUUUCAAUACAUGAUCCUUGAAUUUAAAUGAUAGCAUACUCUUAGUUAAAGGAUUUAUGAUCAUCAAUUCAAUAUAAAUGCGCUUAAUGAUGACUUUUUUUUCCUAUGUUUACUUUGACUACAAUUUUUAUUAUUCUUGGCCUUCAAAACAACAAAACCGAUUGACGUGCUGCUGGUAUUUUCAUUGUGUAUACAUGGAUGCAAGGUGUACGUAGAAACUUUUGGUAAAAAAGAGGGGGUAUACUUAGCAUGAUCUUGUUUAAUUGAUAAAAUGUUUUAAUUAAUAAAAGAAUGACGAGUUUCAAAUCCUACUAUAACCAAUUUGAUCUUGUUUUUUUUUUUUUUUUUUUGUCAAAGUACCUUGUGGGUCAGAUUGGGUUUUGACUGGAUAUGGUUACUGAAUCUCUUAUUUGGUUAAACUUCAAAUCUAGCCCAGCUUUCAUGUCAAUCUACUAGGUCUAGAGUUGAAUUUAUUAAUAUGAAAUAUUUCUUUUUUAUAUAGUGUGCUUACAAUUACAUAAAUAAUAUUUUUUAUUUGUUUCAUUAUUUUUUAAGACUAUUAAUGAAUUGUCAUAUUUUUUUUAACUCGAUAGAUAAAUGAUUAUAACUUGAAGUUUGAUUAAUAUUAUUUUUCAUCCUAUUGAGUUUCCCCAAGAUGAAAAUCCAAAAAAAAAAAAAACUAUAUUGAUUUAUCAUUAAAGUAACCUAAUAAAAUAAUAGAUCUAUUCACUAGUACAAAUCAUGCAUCUAAUAUCAUUAACUAGCAAUAAAUUAUUUUUUAAAAUAUAUAAUAAAAAUUACCAAGAAAAAGAGAGAGAGAAGACACUUUAAAAAAAUAAUAACCAAGUUACAUGACUUGAAAUUUUAAAAAUUUUAUAAGAAUAUAUUUAGAAUAAAAUUUCAUACCUUUAUCUAUUUUUCUCAUGUCAUCUUAGUCUUAUUCGGAGGAAAAAAAAUUUAAAUUCAUUCUAUUUUUUUAAUUUUCCUUAUGAUUUUUAAAUUUUUAUUUUUAAGCUUUUUAGGUUUUAUGAACAAUAUAAGAAAAACUAAAAAGAUUGGUUAAUCCACUGUACAUGAAGACACAUGUUCCUAUGCAUUAUAUUAAGGAUUUGUUUAAGAGCGUGAUAAAAAUUAUAUUGCAAAAUGUGUUUUUAUUUAGAAAUAUAUUAAAAUAAUAUAUUAAAAUUUUUAAAUUUUUUUUAAUAUUAUCACAUUAAAAAAAUAGAAAAACACACAAAAAAAAAUAAUUUAAAUUUUAUUUUUUCCAAAAUGGUAAUGAGCAUUUUUCCAAUCUGUUGGGGGUGAUGCUGGUGGGCUUGGUGUUGCCUCAUGUAGCUUUCCAAAGUUUUAACAUUACAGUUAAUAGCUCCAAUUCUUUUGCACAUUACCUUGCUUUCAUGUAAUAUUAUAUUAUUUAUUAUACAUGUAAUAUUUUCACAGCAAAGAAUAUUGUAAUGUUAAAUACGUACACGUAGAACUUCACGAGAUGGGGUAAUCGGUUAAGCACGUCAAACAAUCAUAAAAUCCUUGUUCUUCUGCUUUCAAGAAUGUAACAAUAAAAUAAUAUUUUUUUAUUUUUUAAAAUGUAUUUUUAUUCAACAUAUCAAAACGGUACACAAAUAUAAAAAAUUCAAAUUUAAAUAAAAAAUAAAAUUUAACCAAUACCCAUUUAAAACGCAAUAGCAAACUGGGAUUAAGAAACACGGAAUUAAUCAAAUAGUUUUUUGGAUAAUGAUAAUUUUGUUGGGCCACGGAAUUAGGUCACUGAAGAACUUUUUAGUAAAUGAUUAAUUACUAUGCUCUUAUCCACACAAUCCUUCAUCACCAUCCAAUCCCAUCACUGGAAAACUUUUCCUCUUUGAUCUCAAUGCCCUUCUGUCAUCCCCAAAUAUAUGCUUUUAUCCCUUUUCCUUUGUAUGUUGUCGUUUGUGUCUUCGUCCACUGGCUUAAGGGUGUUUAGUAAUUCAUACGGUUUUUUUAAAAAUAUUUUUCAAAUAAAAAUAUAUUAAUAUAAUGUUUUUUUAAUUUUUUUUAAUACUACAGCAUCAAAAUUAUUAAAAAAAUAUUUUUUUAUCCAGUACAUACAAGCAAGCUAAUACAUCAUUCCCGCAUUAAAAAAGAACACAUUUAAUAAUAAAGUGUUUAAAAAUAUGGUAAUGGUUGAUUUUUAAAUUGUUUUUUUCUUAGAAAUAUUUUAAAAUAAUAUAUUUUUUUAUUUUUUAAAAAUCAUUUUUAAUAUCAUUAUAUUAAAAUAAUUUAAAAAUAUUAAAAAAUAAUAUUUUUUUUAAAAUAAUACUUUUAAAAUAUAAAAAUAAAACACAAACCCUAACCUCAAUAUUAUGUGAACCCAAUGACCUCAUCAUUUCUUUCUGUACAUUUUGCGUGUGUUAAAGGACGCUCCUAACUCCUAAGGCCACGCUCAUUUUUUUUCCCUGUUUGUGGGACUCCAAUUUAUUCUGAACUCUUGUCAGUCUUGACACCUUUCGCUCUCUCCCUUUCCCACCUUCUUAUUCAAUUAUUCAAUUCAAUUAGGAACCUGAUAGGAGUUGGAUUUUAAGUCUAGAUUUUGAUUUAUUAUAUAUUUUUUAAAUUGAUUUUUUUUAUUUUCUCCAUUAAUAUCUUUCUUUACGGGUAAAUAAAAAAACAUAUUUCAUUAUUCUUUUUUAGAAGAUAUUUGGAAUCAUUUGCUGGAUCUAUUUUCUGUUUUUAUUUUCAAAUUUUGAAAUGACUCCUCAGGAAACAAUUCCAGCCACUUAUUUGUCAUGAAAUUUGGAUGAUGUAUAAUUCCAAGUGGGCAUGCUGCAUUUCUUAGCCAGGUGUAGCAAGAAUUGAGGUAGCUUGUUUCUGGCUUUUGCUUCUCGGGGUAUGAUUUGUUGUGUUUUCGUUUUUUUUGCUAAUUUAUCUAAAUAUGAACUUUAAAAUCUUUUAAAUGAAACUAGCGUUCUUGAUUUCUAGGCGGUAGAUAUAACAGUAAUAUUAUUAAAAUGAAAAUAAAAAUAAAUAAAUAAAUAUGCUCAGACUUUUACCAUGUAGCAAUAGAGAAAACACGGCGUCUCUCUGUUUUUUUUUAAGCAUUUUUGUUUUUAAUUUCAUUAUAAUAAUUUAUUUCAAAAAGCUUAUUAUGAAGCUCUCACAGUUUAAGAAAAAACAUUUCAAUGUAGAGUUGAAGCUCUCACAGACAAGUCAAGGCCCAGGACUAGGAGUCGUGAAAUUCACUUUGAACCAGCCUGGACGCACUUAAAAUAGUAAUUCUGUUUUCUUAAUUUUACGAAUAAUUCACUCAAGGAGAGAUUGCUUAUAGAACUCCCUUUUGUUCAUCAGAAUAAACAAAGGGGGAUUUGGGAUAUAUGCAUUACAAAGAUGCGGAGCUUUGUCCCUUCAUAUAAACUCUCAUAUAUAGAAAUCAUCGGAUGAGGAAAUAGAUCGAAACAUAGCUAAUUAAUAGUAUAUUAAAGUAAUAUAAUUUUAGAAGAUGGAAAUAUUAUGAGAACCCACUAAUUAUAUGUAUGCAAAAAAACAAUCAAUUUUGAAUAAACUUGCAAAACCAGGUGUUUGCUUUGGCUUAAGGAAGUGCCUUCUGGUUUUUAGCACCAAAUUAAAAGAGAGGUGUGCAUAUAUAUAAGAAACUUCACAGAUUAAAUUGACCAGAAACUCUAAUUGUUGUCAUGAUUAAUUGCAUGUAGAAAAAUCCUGACAAUAAAUUUUUUUUUGUUUUUAUUAUUUAUGUUUUGGUUCUUUAGUAAUAAGGGUAUGAUCGAGGACCACACAACCCAUUUCACUGAUCACAAAUUCAAGAGAAAGGAACAGUACAAGCAAUGGACAAGGAGAAACAGACGACCAUACAAAUAAGAGUCGGGAGGCCGAAUGUAUUGGGGCAGCCACCUCUCUGUUUUUAAAAAAGCGUAAGCGUGUGCUCCUCUUCUCGGUCAACAGUCAAAACUAUUUUAUUUCUUAAACUUUACGCAGCACGGGCCACUUUUCUUGGCUUUUUGCUCAGAUGAUUUUUGUAUUAUAGCUCUUUUUAUUAUUGUUAUUAUUUCAGAAAAAUAUCCUGAACUGGAAAAUAAAAUGGAGCUGCUCGUCUCGCAACAUGUGAUCCUCGUAGGGCUUAAGUCUAACCAGAUUCACUGAUCAAUAAAGAAAAUUAUCAUUGUAACAAUUUUUUUAAAAUAUUUGUUAUUAAAAAAUAUAUUAAAAUAAUAAAUUUUUUAUUUUAAAAAAAUUAUUUUUUAUAGCAACAGAACAGUAUAUAAAUAUAAAAAUAAUCAAAUUUAAAUAAAUAAAAUAAAAUUUAACCAAUACCCAUUUAAAACGAAAUAGCAAACUGGGAUUAAGAAACACAGAAUUAAUCAAAUAGUAUUUUGGAUAAUGAUAAUUUUGUUGGGCCACCGAAUUAGGUCACUGAAGAACUUUUUAGUAAAGGAUUAAUUACUAUGCUCUUAUCCACACAAUCCUUCAUCACCAUCCAAUCCCAUCACUGGAAAACUUAUCCUCUUUGAUCUCAAUGCCCUUCUGCCAUCCCCAAAUAUAAGCUUUUAUCCCUUUUCCUUUGUAUUUUGUCGUUUGUGUCUGUCCACUGGCUUAAGGGUGUUUAGUAAUUCUAUAUACGGUUUUUUAAAAAAUAUUUUUUAAAUAAAAAUAUAUUAAUAUAAUAUUUUUAAACAUUUUUUAAUACUAACACAUUAAAAUUAUUAAAAAAAUAUUUUUUAAUCUAUUACAUACAAGCAAGCUGAUACAUAAUUCCCACAUUAAAAAAAGAUAUUUAUUAAUAAAGUGUUUGAAGUUGUUUUUUAAAUUAUUUUUUAUUUAAAAAUACAUUAAAAUAAUUUUUUUUAUUUUUUUUAAAUUAUUUUUAAUAUCAUCAUAUCAAAAUAAUCUAAAUAAAUUAAAAAAUAAUAAUUUAUUUUAAAAAAUACUUUUAAAAUAUAAAAAUAAAACACAAACCCUAACCUCAACCCUUUGUGAACCCAAUGACCUCAUCAUUUCUUUCUGUACAUUUUGCGUGUGUUAAAGGACGCUCCUAAGGCCACGCUCAUAACAGGACGGUGGAUGAUUACGACCAGAACAAGGGUUUAUCAAGGAUCGGAAGAGGGCCAGGAGGGUUUAGAGGACACGUGUCAAGUCUUAUCAUAAAGGUUAAAAGGUGAUUCAUGAGAUUAAGCAAGUCCUUUGAACCAGCCGCCAUCUUUGACCCUCUCCUCUGGAAUACCACUACGGGCCACAAUAUGGAUCCUUUUUUGUUUCCUGUCAAUUAUUCAAUUCAAGUAGGAACCUGAUACGAGUUAGAUUUUAAGUCUAGAUUUUGAUUUAUUAUAUAUUUUUUAAAUUGAUUUUUUUUAUUUUUCUCCAUUAAUAUCUUUCCUUACGGGUAAAUAAAAAAAACAUAUUUCAUUGUUCUUUUUAGAAGAUAUUUGGAAUCAUUUGCUGGAUCUAUUUUCUGUUUUUAUUUUCAAAUUUUGAACUGACUCCUCAGGAAACAAUUCCAACCAAUUAUCUGCCAUGGAAUUUGGAGGAUGUAUAAUUCCAAGUGGGCAUGCUGCAUUUCUUAGCCAGGUGGAGCAAGAAUUGAGGUAGCUUGUUUCUGGCUUUUGCUUCUCUGGGUAUGAUUUGUUGUGUUUUCGUCCUUUCUGUUAAUUUAUCUAAAUAUAAACUUUAUAAUCUUUUAAAUGAAAUUAGCGUUCUUGAUUUCUAGGUGGUAGAUAUAACAGUAAUAUUAUUAAAAUAAAAAUAAAUAAAUAAAUAUGCUUAGACUUUUACCAUGUAGCAAUAGAGAAAACAUGACGUCUCUCUGUUUUUUUUUUAAGCAUUUUUGUUUUUAAUUUCAUUAUAAUAAUUUAUUUCAAUAAGCUUAGCAUGCUUAUUAUGAAGCUCUCACACAAUAUUAUUAAAAUUNNNNNNNNNNNNNNNNNNNNNNNNNNNNNNNNNNNNNNNNNNNNNNNNNNNNNNNNNNNNNNNNNNNNNNNNNNNNNNNNNNNNNNNNNNNNNNNNNNNNUUUUAAUAUUAGCACAUCAAUAUCAAAACAUUAUAGGAACACUAAAACAAAUUUAAUUUAAAAUAAAAAAAAUUUAAAGUUUUAUAAAAAACAAGGUUUGACUGCACCAUGUCUCAGUCAUAUAAGUUGAUAUAUGUGUUUGGAUGGGAGGUAAAUUGUGUUUUUUUAGGUUAAAAGUAUAUUUUUUUAGCUUUUGAAAAUAUAAUUUAUACUUAAAAGAUUUUAUAUCUUAAAAAAAAAAUACAACUACAUCUUCGAGCCAAACACGUGCUUGAGUGAUUCUUGGCAAUCAAUUCCUGGAUCAAGACGAUAAGGUCCAGCCAGAGGUAAAACCUGAUGCAGCUACCGACUUAAAUAUUUUCAUUUAAGGAAGUGCAGCGUUUGUGUCCCGAGAGAAGCCACCAGGCAAAUACUAAGAUCAUUUUUUAUUUUAUAAUGUAAAUGUAUUUUUCAAAAAAAAGUUAAAAUUUGUUUUAUUUUAAAUUAAUUUUUUUUAAUAUUUUUAAAUUAUUUUAAUGUAUUAAUAUCAAAAAUAAAUUUUUUAAAAAAUAUUAUUUAUACAUAUUUUUAAAUAAAAAAUACUUUAAAAAUCAAAUCUCAUUUCAAACUGGCAGUGCCCUGUACCAAACUAUAUUAUCAACAAGAUUUUCCUCGUAUGAAUUAAAGCAUUCUGCAUUUGACACAACUUGAAAAACAUGUUUCUUCUUAAAUUAUUAUUUCCAUGUGUUUUUUAAAAUCUAAAUAUUUGAGAAUUGGUGGGGUUGAUUUUGUUAGCUUGAUAUGCUUUCGUCUUUGCUAUCCAUUUUUUUUUUGGUUACUUUUGUAUGCUUUCCUCUGUUGCUAAUAUCCACCUCAGCAAGUAGCAUCUAGUUAUAAACACCUUGGGUAUAUUAGUAAAAUAGAAAAACAUUCAUUAUAAUUUGUCUCACAAAAAUUUCAAGGUUAAGUAAAAUCACUCUGCUCUGAUAGACACACUCAAAUGCAGAAAGAUAAAAACUACCAAAUACACCUUAAACCCUGUUUAUUUUUAUAUUUUAAAAAUACUUUUAAAACAAUUUAAAUGUUAGACUGGUUUAUCUUUACAAUCGCAAUGUGUUUUUAAAAAAUAUAUUUUUAAUAUUUUUUAAUUAUUUUGAUAUUAUGAUAUAAAAAAUAAAAAAUUUAAAAAAUUAUUUUAAUAUAUUUCUAAAUAAAAAAUAUUUUUAAAAAAUAUUUACAGCAUGCAUAAAUAUACUAUUCUUCUUAGAAAAUUUCAUGUGUUUACAUUUUCUUGGCAGCUUCUUCGAAGUUUCAACAUUGGUGGGGGUCCACACGUUAACUUUUUAUAUCUUAUAAUAUAAUAUGUGUGUUUGGUAGUGAUAAUUUUUUUAUUAAUUUUUUUUUAAAUAUACAUUAUAUUUUUUUAAAUUAAAAAUAUAUAUUUUUUAUAUGGCCAUAAAAAAAAACCAAAAUAAUCUCCAAACACUCUCAUGUUUGGUAGGUGAGCGGUGGGUUGCUUCCUGACAACGUCCUUACUAUCAGGCAAUACGUUAAUUAAUUAUUAUUUUAGCUGAUUAUUUUAUUUUUAAUUUUAUAUUCAUGGGAAUUUGAGGUUAAUAAUUUAUUUUAAUUAAUUAUGAAGUUCUCAAGGUAAAAAAAAAAAAAAGCUUCAACGAUUAAUUUAAGUUGGUAUUUGAUUUGAUAAAAUUUUAUUCAAUUUAAUUUAUUAAAAAUAAUUGAAACUUUGAACAUCAAAUAUGAUACUGAAAUAAAAAAGCAGCCUGUUGUGUUUUUCAAAAUUCUGUUCCCUAGAGUUUUUGCAUUUUGCAUUUUAAUUUUAAUUUUUGAUUUUUAAUUUUAAUUCAAAAUUUUAUUUUAUUAAUUUUUUAAUCUAUGAAUUUGAGAUAAAAAAUCACUAAAAAACUCGGAAAAAAUGGAAAAUUAUUGGCCGACAAUUUUAGCAACAAAAAAACACGAUAAUCCUUGUAUUAAUGGAAAACUAGUGUGCAGAUUGGAUAUCAAAUCAUACUUUAUAGGUCGAGGGCUAAAAAUAUAAAUCUGUAGAAGGGUGUUGGAAAAAAUAAUAAUUUCCAUUGGUGUGGAAAAGUUUAAAGUUCAGAUAUACUAUUAUAGAAUAAGAUAAUUUGAUGGUGUAAUAAUUAUUAUUUUUUAAAUUAUUUUUUUAUUUAAAAAUAUAUUAAAAUAAUAUUUUUUUAUUUUUUAAAAUUUAUUUUUAAUAUUAAAAUGUCAACACAAAAUGCACAUAGUUGUAAAACAUGAUAGGAGGAAGUUUGAGUCAUAGAUUAAGAGAGGCGUUUUAUUUUUUUUUAAAAAUCAAAAUAAUAUUAUUUUAAUAUUUUUUUUUAUAAAAAAUUAAGGAAUUAAAAGCUGAGUAAAUCAAGUUAAGAAAUCACUUAGAUUCUUGAUUAAAUCAGCUGAUGACCCGUUAACUUUGGCAGGUAUACAUUAAUUUAUUUUCUUGGCAGGUUCUUCGAAGCGUCAACAUUGGGGCGGGUCCACACGUUAACUUUCUAUAUCUUAUAAUGUAAUAUGUUUGGGUUGCUUCCUGGCAACUUCCUUCCUUCCUAUCAAACAAUACUUUAAUUAAUUAAUUAAUAAAUAAAUAAUAGUAUUUGUAACAUUCGCUAGCGGCUGUAACAUUCGCUUCCACAUCUCCUCUCAUUAUAGAAUUCUCUACUUUCCUUUCCACAUCUCAUGAUCAGUGCGAACUAGAUUUAUGUAUGCUGCAACUUUAUUAUUUUUCUAAACCAUACAUUCUUCUCUGAUCUGUGAUUUCUCUUCCUUUUCUUUUGGCUGAUCACUGCUUAAGCAAACCAGCACUUGAAGAACAUCUUGAAUCCAGGCAAAUUAUUUGUCAUUCAUCUUGUCUGAAUCUUUAAAGUAAUCCAUGAUAAAUAGAUAGAUCUUUUUCUCAGAUUUUAUAAUCCAUGCCCUGUGGUGUUCAUACUGAUUAAAUUAACCCCAAACGUUGAAUUCAUUGUUUUCGUCUUUUCAAGAUUCUUUGCUGUUUUUAACUCCUUAUUUUAGAUUCACCCUUUUCUUUUCCAAUUAAUGGGACUGCCAUUGAUUUUUAAUUAAUAUUUUUCGACUUUUGUUUCUUACAAUGAUUCAAUGAAUUAACUUGAUCGGUAAUUACCUUUCAAUAAACAAAAUAAGAAUAAUUAAAAAAGAAUAAAUAGGAGUUGAAAGAGGUUUGUUUAACAGUAAACAAUGAAUCUUGCAUUUGUUUUGCUCCCCAAAUUAUGAAUAAAGAGGAGUUGAAAGAGGUUUCUGUUCACCCCGUCAAAACAAUCAGCUCUUCUACCUUCAACAGUUAUCCUGCAUCUUUCUAUCUAUCAUAAAAAGAAUUUGAGUAUGAUAAUUUAUCUUAAAAGACAAAGGAUUAAAUCAUUAACAACAACAUUUAUAUUUCAUAUUUUUCAUCCGAAUUUCUUUAACAAACAAGAAAGUCAUAUAUAUAUAUAUAUAUUCUUUUCUGAUCUGUGCUUUCUGUUCUUUUUAGACCUCAGUUUUUUUUGUCUUUUCUGAUCUUUUCUGGUCAGAUGGAAGGGUUCCAACCAUCUUUUAUGGAGGAGGUUGACAACAUGACAUGGGAUCAGCUGGGUUUUCAAUCAGAAGAAGAUACAUUCAAUAUGUCUGAGCUUCUCUCGUACGUCAUUCUUAAGCAUAUUUUAUCAGAAGAUGAUUGCUUGCAGUUUAGUUAUUCUUCAGUUUAUCCUAUUAUUCCCAAAAAACAAUAUAAUGUCGUCACUGUCCAUGGAAGCAGGCCGCCACCGGAGGUUCCAGUCAACCAAAGCUCCAUAUCAUGCAAUGAUCAAGGUGGACAGAACAAUUUGAUCAACGAUAGUAUUCAACAAACAACUCAGUUUCCAACUUCAUUUCCUGAAACAAUGGUGAGUACUCCAAUUUGCUACAAUGUCCAUUGAAUUAGCAAGUGUUUGUAUUAUACAAAAAAGUUUUAUGUUUAGUGUAUCGAUCUCGAGCAUCUUCAAAUUGUUUACUGUUAAACAAAUAGACAACAAUUGGGAGAUUUAGACAUUUUUUAUGAUAUUUUUUUAUCAUUAAGUUUUAUAUAAAAUUGGCCUCAAACUCCAUCAAGGCAUCAUAAUUCCUUUAUUCAUCAACCUCAGCCGGGACAUGGCUAUAUGACACCGAACGCAACCACUUCACAACAUGAUGGCUUCAAUCAACCGAAAUUUUCUAAAUAUGGACUUUAGAAUCCUUCUUGAUUUCUUGACGGUAGAAAUAACAGGACUAUUAUUAAAAUAAAAAUAAAUAAAUAAAUAUGCUCAGACUCUUACCAUGUACCAAUAGAGAAAACAAGGUAGAUGUCUCUCUGUUUUUUUUUAUAAAGCAUUUUUGUUUUUAAUUUCAUUUGAUAAUUUAUUUCAAUAAACUUGUUAUGGAGCUCUUGUGGUCUAAGAAGAAAAAACAAUUCAAUGUAGAGUUGAUGUUUGACUUAACAAGAUUUUGUUCAAUUUAAUUGAUUAAAAAUAAGUGAAAUUUUGACCGUCAAAUUUGAUAUUAAAAUUUUGAAGAUAAAUAUUGAAGACUGAAUUUGAUAUUAAAACUAAAAAUAAGUAGAAAGUUUUUACAAAGGUAAAUGUUAUGAAAAGAAAUUGCUAUCCAACUGGUGUGCAGAUUGGAUAGCAAAUCAAGCUAUGUUGAAGUUUUCUACUGCAGUGAAGCUCCCUCUGGUUGCUUGAAGCUAAUGCCUGAUUGUUGCGUUCCUGGGAUUUUGAUAAGUGUAUGAAAGUCUAUUUUAUCAUUAAUUUGUUUUUAUGUUUUAAAAAUAUUUUAAAAAAAUUAAUUUUUUAUUUUAAAUUUAUUCUAACUCUUUUGUUUUAUCAUUCUCAAAGUCCAAACAACAACGGUACUGUCAAGAUUGUUAUGUUUAUGCCCGCAAUCUAAACGUAAUUUGUUUUUGUACUCAGAGUUAUGUUUAUUAAAAAAUCUGGUUAUUUUAAAAAAAUAUUAAAUUAAUAUUUUUUAAUUUAUUAAUAUUAAAAAUAAAAAAAUAUUUUGAUUACUCAGAAUAAAUAAGAAGCUUUAUAAUAGUUAAGAAACGUAUUCCAAAGUUUAGUUUACUGGUUGACUCACAUAUUAACUGAAUAACUUGAGUAAAAAAGAAAACCACAUCAUAUUAUGAUGGUAUUUAUUAAAAAAUAAAAAUAAAAUAACAAUAUUUUUUUUUAAUAUUAUCUUUUUAAAUAUUUUUAUUUUAAAAAAGUUUCACAUAGUUGUAGGUAAAAAAAAAAAAAAGAUGUUUUAAUUUAGCAACGAUGGAGCAUCCACAAGAAAGAUAUUAUACGGUUAUUAAUUUUCAUUAAAAGAAAAGCUAAGAGACUUGGGAGAACUACUUCAUUGUAAAUUACAAUAGUACGCAAUUCAAGGUGUUUUGCCUUUUUUGUUUUGUUUUUUAAAAUUUGUUUUUGUUUAUUUUAUAAUAGGCUGGUUAUAAUUCAGCUUUAAUUUAUUAAUUUUUAUUCUAUUUUUUUAUAAGAUUAACGUAAUUUAUAGGUUUGUUAAAAUAACUCAAAUUAUACUAGUUUUCAGAUUUGGUGGGAUAUUUUUUUGUUUAUUAAUUAAAAGAAAAACUAAAAGGUAUAAGAGAAUCACUAUUUACCCACACUCAAUUCAUUAUAAAUUACAAUAGUAAUCUAUAGUGUUUUGUCUUUUCCCUUUUUUUCCUUUUUUUUUAUCAUUUUUAAAAAUAAUUUUUUUGUCUAUUUCAUAUUUGGGCCGAAUUAGCAUAUAUAUAUAUAUAUAUAUAUAUAUAUAUAUAUAUAUAUAUUGGGUUGGUGUUUAAUUUUACAAGUAAGUAUCUAUUUUUGUUAUCAUAUUAUUAAAUAAAAAUAAUUUUUUAAAAAAGUAUACUCCUAGUUAAGUCCAUAACCUUGUUCAUGGGUUAGAUGUGCUAGCCUAAGUUACCUGAUUCACGAGUUUGACAGGUUUAUCAAUUGAUCGAAUAUGUUUUUUUUUCUAGUCUUUUAAUUUUUUUAAUUGAUUUUUUUUAUAAUUUUGUCCUUCAAUAUUAGAUUGGUUUGGAAAUAGACUAAAUGAUUUAUUUUUGUUUGCUUUCUAUAGGGUUAUCAAAAUCUUAAAUAAAUAUUUAUUUUAGGGAUGAUACUCAAUUUUAUGAGCAUUUAUUUUUAUCAUAUAAUUAAAUUAAAAAAAAACUUAAAAAAAUUACUAAACCCAAUAGAAUCCAUGACCCAGAUCGCGAGGGACCGGGAUCGAUCAAAUUUGUCAUUGUUUCAAUUUUUUUUUUUUAAAAAAAGUUGUUGUCUAGAAGUUUUUAUUAAAAAACUAAGCCAUGCUUUACUAGUUUUCUAAGUUGUAUUUAGAUAUUAAUUGAUUUAAAUUGAGUUAAUUUCCAUACAAUUUAAUUAAAAACUUAAAUUAAAUAAAAAAUUAGAUUAAAAGAUUUUAAUAUCAACUCCCCUAACCAGGUUUAAUAAUAUCGCCAACAAACUUUCUUCACUCUUAACAUUUUAUUUUUAUAUUUUUUAAAAAUUAAUCCCCUAAAAAAACUAUGACAUAUUAUUGAGUGUAGGUUUUGUUUAUUAAAAGUAAGGAUUGAGUCUUUGACUGCAUGUAAUGGCAUUGACUGAAAACCUUUAAUCACAUGCUAUUAAUCUGUUAUUGUUAGAGCACAUGCUUUUCAAAAACUUUGAAUUAUUUUCCUUUUAAAUUAUUAUUUUUUUAUUAAAAAUAAAUUUAAAAAAUAAAAAAAUUAUUAUUUUAAUUAUUUUAAAUAAAAAAUAUUUUUAAAAGAAAAGUAUAUUAUUGUUUCUCAUAUUCAUGUGUUUACAUUUUCUAGGAAUCUUCUUCUAAGCUUCAUAAUUGGGUAGGUAAAGUAGUGUUUUUAACUCCUUAUUUUAGAUUCACCCUUUUCUUUUCCAAUUAAUGGGACUGCCAUUAAAAUAUGCUUUUCACCAUUUAUUUGUUUUUCUUUUAUUUUGACUUACGUAACGUGUGUACCCAGCAAUCCACUCGUGUGUGUGUCUAUAUAUAUAUAUAUAUAUAUAUAUAUAUAUAUAUAUAUUAAUUUGCUAUGUGCUUUCUGUUCUUUUUUCACCUCAGUAUGUACUAAUCAUCUUGUACUUUUGGUCAGAUGGAAGGGUUCCCACCAUCUUCUAUGGAUGAUCUUGAAUCACUAUUUCUCUCGUACGUCAUUCUUAAACAUAUUUUAUCAGAAGAUGAUUGCUUGCAAUGUAGUUAUUCUUCCGUUUAUCCUAAUAUAUUAUUCCAUGGAAGUAGGCCGGCACCGGAGGUUCCAGUCAACCAAGGCUCCAUAUUAUGCAAUGAUCAAGGUGGACAUAAGAAUGUGAUCAACGAUAGUAUUCAACAAACAACUCAGUUUCCAACUUCAUUUCCUGAAACCAUGGUGAGUACUCAUGCUUACUCCAAUUUGCUACAAUGUCCAUUGAAUUAGGCAUCAUUAUUCCUUUAUUCAUCAACCUCAGACGGGACAUGGCUAUAUGACACCGAAUGCAACCACAUCACAACAUGGUGAAUUCAAUCAACCUGGACCUUCUUCUCUUGCUCCCUGGUAUCCAAUUUUUCAUUUUAGUAUUUUCUGAAAAAAAAAAAAAGUUUUUCAAUCAUUAUUUAACUUCUUCUUCUUCUUCCUCUUGUUGUUGUACUUAUCAGUGAAUUCAUUAUGUUUGAAUAUAGGUAUCAGCCUAAUCCUAAUUUAUUUGAUCCUCAAUGUGCCAAUCCUUUGAGGUAAGCUAAAAUGAUAUCAAAUACUUAGUGGAUUAAUAGCAAAGAAUUAUGCAUAUGUAUAAAGAAAUUACUAACAAGUGUUGCUAAUUUAGGGACCAACAAUUGACUAAUUAUCAGUUACCAAUGAGCAAUCAAGUGCCUGCGAUGCUACCUGGACCUCAUCCUCCAAUGAAUCAAUGGUAUUAACCUCGAAUAUAUAUACACUUUUUUAAUCAUGAAAACAAUAAACCAAAAUUGACAAGGAUCUUUCAAGUCUUUCUGAGCUCUCUCUCUCUCUCUCUCUUUUUGUGCACAUAAUGGAACUAGAAAAUCAACCAAGUUAGAAUAACAGUUCUAAGUUUAACUAUUUGAAUAUUAUUCAGGCAUCUGAACUCCAAGAAUUUAGUUUUUCAAUCAGGAAAGAAACAUCAUAGCUUGAACAUGAACCCACCAAGCUAAACAUAAGUUUGUAAUGCUUCAUAUUGUCUGCGAAUGAUUUUGGAUUCAGGAUUCAACAUUUUCCUAAUCAAGGACAAGUCGAUCAAGCUUUUGCAAUUCCUAAUAUAGACAAUAUGCAACAGGAGAACUUCGUGCCUCAAAACUUUGACAACUCUACUAGGUACUGAUCAAACUUUGGCAAUAUAUAUGCUGUCGUGUUUUAACACAGUAUUAAUACCUUUUUGAUAAUUAGAUACACCAUUGAUUUUUAGUGCUUAAGAGAGACUACCAAUUAUCGAAAGGUUUUAUAAUAUGAUCACUUCAUUUUCAUAUAGGUCACAGAUGGAUAACCUCCGAGUCCGAGGAUUGCAAAAUCAAACAGCUAGGCCAAAUGCCUCAAAUCCUGGCCUUGGCACUUCCCUGCAAAGUCAAAAUAGGGGUUUAAAUACUCAACAAGUAAGAAGUAUAACUGAAUUAUCGUCGUCUUUUUUCCCCCUUUGACUGUGCUCUAAACUAACUAUCAAUUUUAAUAACAAAAUAAGGGUAACUUGAUCCGUUAAUUUUUAUUCCAUAUUUUGACCGAUUUUUAUUCUAUAUUUGACUUCUUUUUUCUUCUAUAGGUCGAAAUGGUUGGAUCAAAUGAUCCGUUUUGGAAUUAUGUUGAAGAUGGGGCUGAUGAUGGUAGCAUGAAGUGUAUGUUUUGUCCACAUACAUAUGCCAUUAAAACUUCCAUUUCAAGGAUCAAAUGGCAUUUAUCAGGAGAGAGAGGGAACGGUGUUGCCAUUUGUCGUGGGGUGACUAAAGAAGUUCAAGAAGCAGCCUUUCAAGCUAUGUGUGGUGGCAACAAAAGACAUAAAAACACAGCAAGUUCAAUCAAUGUUAAUGAUUGUGGAAUUUCAACAAUGGUAGGAGGUAUUGGAAGGGUACAAAGAGAAGUUCAGGUUGUAGAACCCGGAGUAGGGGAAGAGAGGAUUACUUCACAAGCAAUAGCAGGAAACGACGAAGUAAGCAUGACGGGAAUGAGAGCACAAGAAGGUAGAGUUUCCAAAGGGGCACUCGAGAGCAGACUGAGGACAGAACCAGCGGAUCGAGCGUUGGAACAAAGCAAUGCAGUACUUGGCAAUUUGGCAGGAGUUCAGGGGGUGCUGGAACAAGGUGCCGGGGAAGAGAGAAUUAAUCGGGUUAGACAGAGGACAGAACCAGUGGAGGAGGAUGUGGAGUGGAGGAGGAUGUGGAGAAUAGUCAAAGAUCAGUGCAGGUUGGUGCUGGAGCUAGAUCUUCUGAAAGUCUGAAAUACAACAAGACUAGAGGAGUUCCAUUACCUACUAGCUCUACAAAGCCAGUGGGUCAAGCAUUCGAAGAGAAUACGAAGGUGAUAUGGUCUUUCUUAAUGGAUGGGGAUGUCUCAAUCAUUGGCAUUUAUGGGAUGGGAGGAGUUGGUAAAUCCAAAAUACUGAAACAUAUCCAUAAUGAGCUUCUACAACAACCAGAUAUUUGUGAUCAUGUUUGGUGGGUGACUGUAUCUCAAGAUUUCAGCAUUAACCGACUGCAGAAUCUUAUUGCUGAACAUUUUGAUCUAGAUCUUUCAAGAAAAAAUGAUGAACUGCAUAGAGCUGCCGAAUUGUCAGAAAAAUUAAAAAAAAAACAAAAAUAGAUUCUCAUUUUAGAUGAUUUGUGGAACAAUUUUAAGUUACACGAAGUGGGAAUUCCUGAGAAGUUGAAAGGAUGCAAGCUGAUUUUGACAACCCGAUCAGAAAGAGUUUGUCAUGGAAUUGCUUGCAAUCACAAAAUCCAAGUGAAGCCACUUUUUGAGGGAGAAGCUUGGACGUUGUUCAAGGAGAAUCUUGGACGUGACAUAGCACUUUCAUUAGAAGUGGAAGGAAUUGCGAAAGAUAUUGCAAAGGAAUGUGAUGGUUUGCCAUUGGGAAUUAUUACAGUGGCAGGAAGCUUGAGGGGAGUGGAUGACCUCCAUCAGUGGAGGAAUACAUUGACGAAAUUGAGAGAAUCAGAAUUUAGGGAUAUAGAUGAGAAGGUAUUCAGGUUAUUGAGGUUUAGUUAUGAUCGGUUAGGUGAUUUAGCACUACAACAAUGUCUCUUGUACUGUGCAUUAUUUCCUGAGGAUGAUCAUAUUAAAAGGGAAGAGUUGAUAGGUUAUUUGAUCGAUGAGGGAAUAAUUAAAAGAAAGAGGAGCAGGGGAGAUGCAUUUGAUGAGGGCCACACGAUGCUUAAUAAACUUGAAAAUGUCUGUCUAUUGGAAAGUGCUAAAAUGGAUUAUGAUGGUAGUAGAUGUUUCAAGAUGCAUGACUUGAUUAGGGACAUGGCCAUCCAAAUACUGCUAGAGAACUCUCAAGGCAUGGUCAAAGCAGGUGCACAAUUAAAAGAGUUGCCAGAUGCAGAGGAAUGGAUGGAGAAUCUGACGAGAGUUUCAUUAAUGCAAAACGAGAUCGAAGAAAUUCCUUCCAGCUAUUCACCAAGGUGUCCCUAUCUAUCAACUCUAUUUCUACGUGAUAAUGACCGGUUGAGAUUUGUUGCGGAUUCAUUUUUCAAGCAAUUGCAUGGGCUCAAGGUCCUCGAUCUGUCUUACAAAGGUAUUGAAAAUUUGCCAGACUCUGUCUCUGAUUUGGUGAGUCUCACUGCAUUAUUGCUCAAAGAGUGUGAGAACUUACGUCAUGUUCCAUCAUUAGAGAAGCUCAGGGCACUGAAGAGGUUGGAUCUCUAUUGGACUCCGCUUAAAAAGAUGCCGCAAGGAAUGGAAUGCCUAACCAACCUGAGGUAUCUUAGAAUGAAUGGAUGUGGUGAAAAGGAGUUUCCCAGUGGGAUAUUACCAAAACUCUCUCACCUGCAAGUCUUUGUACUAGAAGAGUUAAUGGGGCAAUUUUCUGAUUAUGCUCCGAUAACAGUUAAAGGAAAGGAAGUACGAUCCUUGAGAAAUUUGGAAAGUUUGGAAUGCCAUUUCGAAGGUUUCUCUGACUUCGUGGAGUAUCUCAGAUCUCGGGAUGGGAUCCAAUCAUUAAGCAAAUAUACAAUUAUAGUAGGAAUGGUGGAUACAGAUAAGUGGAUUGGCACUUGUGCUUUUCCAAGUAAAACAGUUGGGUUGGGUAAUUUGAGUAUCAACGGAGAUGGAGAUUUUCAGGUCAAGUACUUAAAUGGCAUUCAAGGACUGGUUUGUGAAUGCAUCGACGCAAGAAGUUUAUGUGAUGUUUUGUCAUUAGAGAAUGCAACUGAACUUGAGCUCAUCAGAAUUGAGGAUUGCAAUAACAUGGAGAGCUUGGUUUCAUCUUCUUGGUUCUGCUCUGCUCCACCACCAUUGCCAUCAUAUAAUGGUAUGUUUUCUAGUCUUAAAAUGUUUUAUUGUUAUGGAUGUGAAAGUAUGAAGAAGCUGUUCCCGCUUGUGCUGCUACCAAACUUCGUUAACCUGGAAAGGAUUGUUGUUGAGGAUUGUAAGAAAAUGGAGGAGAUAAUAGGAACAACAGAUGAAGAAAGCAGCACCUCCAAUUCCAUCACGGAAGUCAUUCUCCCAAAGUUAAGAACUCUGAGAUUGUUUGAAUUACCAGAACUGAAAAGCAUUUGCAGUGCAAAACUGAUUUGCAAUUCUCUUGAAGAUAUUGAUGUAGAGGAUUGUCAGAAGCUGAAGAGGAUGCCAAUUUGUCUUCCGUUGCUUGAAAAUGACCAGCCAUCUCCUCCCCCUUCUCUUAAAGAAAUCACGGUAUAUCCAGAAGAAUGGUGGGAGACAGUAGUGGAGUGGGAGCAUCCUAAUGCAAAGGAUGUCCUUCGUCGCUGUGUAAGGUUUUGGUAGGAGGAGACUCCUCUGCUGCCCUUAAUAUAAUAUAAUAUAAUAUAGAACAGAGGGUAAGCAUCAUCUCUCUCAAUCGAAUUGUACCUUUCGUAUUGUUAAUCCUUUCGUUGUUAGAAUACUUCUUUGUUGCAUCAUUUAUCAAUUCUAUCCUAAUGCAAAGGAUGUCCAAAGGACCUUUUUCUCUCGAAAUAAUUAAUAUGUAGAAUGGUUAAUUACUAACCAUUACUCCGUUAAAUGUAAUAAUACGUAUCCUUCUUUUAUUAUAGGCUGGUUUAGAAUUCAGCUAAGACAUCUAAUAAAAUAUUUUUAUUCUUAGAAAUUUUGUGAAGAACAAUCAGAAAACUAAUUUAAUUAGGGAUUAAUUGAGUAAUUAAUUACCUUAACCUUACAGAGGAUUUUCUUUUAAAAUCCCAAUAGCCUGAUUCUUGGAUCACAGAAGCUUGAGACAUGGCAUUCUAACAACUUCACUUCAACUUUAUUUUAUAUUUAUAAUAAAUAAAAAGCAUGACUGUGUUGAGAAUCUAUUUUCUGUUUUUAUUUUUCAAAUUUGAGAUGACUCCUCAAAAAACAAUUCCAACCAAUUAUUUGCCCUGGAAUUUGGAUGAUGUGUAAUUACAAGUGGGCAAUAGGUGGAGCAGGAAUUGAGGUAGCUUGUUUCUGGCUUUUGCUUCUCUGGGUAUGAUUUAUUGGGCUAGUUUAUAGGAUUUUUGUCCUUUCUGUUAAUUUUAUAUUAAUUUUUUUAAUUUUUAAUUUAAUUAUUUUUUUGUGUUUUCAAAUUGUUUUGAUGUGUUGAUAUUAAAAAUAAUUUUUUAAAAAUAAUAAUAAAAUAUUAUUUUGAUACAUUGCCAAAUAAAAGAUAUUUUGAAAAAUAAUUGAUAUUGUACUCUCAAACAUCCUUAAAUGCUCUAUUAUUGAAAUAAAAUGCUAAAAUGUGAAUAGAAAUAAUAGAAAUUAAUGUGUAUUUUUGAAUUAAAUUUCUAUUUACUUUGAUAUACUCUUGAACAGGUCUUUAUGUUUGAUUUCAGAGUUUAUAGAAGAGCAAGUCAAGGCCCAAUCAAAUUCAAAGGAGUCGUGAAAUUCACUUGAAACCAGCCUGGAUACACUUAAGUAUUUUAAUCACAACUUUUCACUCACAUAUCAGAUUGCUGUGAUUCUUGACGUGUUGGAAAGGUGUCUUAAAGGGCUACAAAUUAGCCUCUAAUGAGGAUUUCGAAAGAAGAACUCCUAAAGCAUGUACACGGGGAUCAUGGAGACGUGAUGAAAAAGGAGGGCUGCUUCCUUUAGAAAAAGGGAUAUUUGUUGGCAAUUGCGCCAGAGAAAAAAAAAAGAAAAAAAAAGAAAAAGGAGAGCAGGCAAGGAAAGGAAUGGCUAAUACAGUGAUGUGUAGCGAAAUUGUUCAGAUUUCCAAUUAUUCCAACUCUUUUGUUUUAUCAUUCUCGAAGUCCAAACAACAACGGUACUGCCAAGAUUGCUAUGCCCGCAAUUAAAAUAUAAUUUAUUUUUAUUUUUGGAAUUAUGUUUGAGUGCAUUUAAAAAUCUGUUUAUUUUAAAAAAAUAUUAAAUUUGAGUGCAUUUAAAAAUUUGUUUAUUUUAAAAAAAUAUUAAAUUAAUAUUUUUUAAUAUAUUAAUAUUAAAAAUAAAAAAAAUAUUUUGAUUACUAAUAACGAAUAGUUAAGAGACGUACUGGUUGACUCACAUAUUAACUGAUUAACCUGAGUAAAAAACAAAACCACAUCAUAUUAUUUAUUUAUAAAAACUAAAACGAUGGUAUUUAUUUUAAAAAAAACUAAAAUAACAAUGUUUUUUAAAAUAUUUUUAUUUUAAAAAAGUUUCACAUAGUUGUAGAUAAAAAAAAAUAUUUUAAUUUAGCAACGAUAAAGAAUCCAUAAGAAAGAUAUUAUACAGUUAUUAAUUUUCAUUAAAAGAAAAGCUAAGAGACUUGGGAGAACACCUAUUUAUUCACACCUAUUUCAUUGUAAAUUAUAAUAAGUAAUCUAAUGUGUUUUGUUUUUUUUUUUUGUUUUUUUUAUUAGUGGGCUGAUUUAAAAUUCAACUUUGUAAUUUAUUUAUUUUUAUUAUGUUUUUUAUAAGAUUAAUAUAAUUUACAGGUUUGUUAUAAUAACUCAAAUUAUAUUAAUUUACUGAUUUAAUAUUUUAAAAAAAUUAAUCCAGCACGGAAAAACACUAGCCACCAAAACUAGCACUAGGUUUUGUUCAUUAAAAGUAAGGAUGGAGUCUUUGACUAGCACUAGGUUUUGUAAAGCAAGGAUGGAGUCUGUGACUGCGUGUGCCUCUAAUCAGCAACAGAUUGGUAACGGCAACGAUUGAAAACCUUUAAUUUGUCUUCUAAUUUUUUCCCUAUUAGUAAUUGUUACGUAAUCAGAUUCGCUUCAUGUUCAAUAAUUGUUUUUUUAUUUUUUAAAAUUUAUUUAUUUUAUUUUUAAUAUUAAUAUAUUAAAAUUAUAAAAAAACAUUAAAAAAAUCUAUUUAUCUUUUUUAAAAAACAACUAAAAACAAAAGCAAUCACCUGCUCUUAAUUAAUCACAUCUUUAAUAUUUAAAACAUUGUUAAAGCACACGUUUUUCAAAAACUUUGAAUUUUUUUCUUUUUAAAUUAUUAUUUUUUUAUGAAUGAUGAAAAUAGUCCUUUAAAUCAACAAGGAUAUUUUUAUUAAUUGAUAUUAAAAUUACUUGCAUGAUGCUUUUGGAUUAAAGAUGCUCAAUGGUUGGAUUUGGGUCGGUUUGAAAUUGUAUUGCCAAUUCCAUAUUUCAAAGAAAAAUCGAAGCCUAACAUGAAUUCAUAGAAAGAGCGUUUAUUAAUAUGAAAUAUUUCUUUUUUAUAUUGUGUUCUUACAAUUACAUAAAUAACAUUUUUCAUUUUUUUAUUUAUUUCAUUAUCUUUUUAAGACUAUUCAUAUAUAUAUUUUUUAACUCGAUAGAUAAGUAAUUAUAAUUUGAAGUUUAAUUAAUAUUAUAUUUUCAUCCUAUUGAGUUUCUCCAAGAUAAAAAUCCAAAAAAUAAUAAAAAACAAUAUAUUGAUUUAUCAUUAAAGUAACCUAAUAAAGUAAUAUGUCUAUUCAUCAGUACAAAUCAUCUUAUAUCAUUAACUAGCAAUAAAUUAUUCUUUUAAAAUAUAUAAGAAAAACAAAUUAAAGAGAGAAGACAAUUUAAAAAAAGAAUGACAAUCGAAUUACAUGACUUGGAAUUUUGAAAUUUUUAUAAGGAUAUAUUUAGAAUAAAAUUUCAUACCUCUAUCUAUUUUCCUACUACAAAAAUUCAUUCUAUUUUUCUACAUUCGUCAAGAUUUUUUAAUCUGUAUUUUUAAGUUUUUUCUGUAUUUAUAGAAACAAAAAAAAAACUAAAAGGAUUGGUUAAUCAACUCCUCAAGAUUUUUUAAUUUGUAUUUUUUAAGUUUUUUUUUUGUCUUUAUGAACAACAUAAAGUUGUUUUUUCUGUCCAUUUACAAAAAUAUAUAUCAAAAUGAAGUUUUCUACUUAGUGCCUGGUGGUUUUGUCUGAAUAAAAGGGAUAGAUGCUAAGUUCUGAGUUCAAGGAAGAGAGACAAAAAGUGGAAGGGACAACUGUGUCGAUUGUUCUCUUGAUCUGAGCUUAUUCUGUAUCAUUUUGUUGGCUGCAUUAAUUAUACCUUCACCUCCAUACGCAACUCCUCUUCAUCUCUUAAUGUUAAUAAAAAUGUAAGAAUUUAGGAACAUUUUCACAAUGAAGAUUAACUCAUCUCCAUAGCAUAAUACAGGAAAUAGAAGAUCCAUUCAUUUCAUCGCAUCUCUUCGAACAUUCUUGAAUUCUGGUCAAUCCAAAUCACAACAAAUAUCGUAAACAUGUUAAAAGUAUUCUUCUACCUCAAUGAAUUUCAGUAAAACUACUACACAGAAGAUGAGUUUUGGUUUCUAAACCUGAAACUGCCAUCAUAAGAACUAGCUAGGGAAGUUAGGAUGAGCUUUUCUUGUCAUUAUAUCACUUUUUUCUGCUAAGAUAAUGCUCUCUAUAUUCUCUGCUACUAUUGCUUAUAAUUUUCUUGCCUCUGGUAUCUUUUCCAACCCAUUUGAGGGAUGCUUGUCGAAUAGAGUUGACCUAGGAAUCCAGAAGUUAUUGGUGACAGAGGAUUUGGAUCCUUUUUCGAGAAAAAGUGAGUUGAACUGUUACAUUUUGUUUACAUUAUCUUGUUGCACUAAAUCAAGAAGUUUACUAGACUUUUUAUUCUGUAAAUUUGCUUUCUGAAUGCUGAGCAUUUUAAACGACCAUGUGAUCGGAGAGAUUUGAUUCUCAUAUAAUUGUUGGCAGCUUAUUUGUGAGCCAAGAAGUAUUAUUGAAUAAAAAUACUUUUAUUCUUUAUUUUCGGCUGGAAAGUGAAUUGAACAUUUAUUAGCUGAGUUUUCUUCUCCAUUUUAUUGAAUAAAAAUGAUUUUUUUUCUGAUUUUAUUAAGUUUUUUUAUAAGCCUGAUAAUUUGUCAGGUAAUUUUAGUAGAGUCAUUACCUAUGUAUGCUGGUCAAAAGUCAUUCCCAUCAAUAAGAUGGAGUAGCAUGAACAAUUUAUUUAUUUAUUUGUGGUUUCUGCUAACGAUUUGUUUGAUGAUUAAUAUCGAUUUAUUUCCACUUUCAUAGUAGCCUAGGUGUGUUUUUUCCGGAAUGGUUAUGAGCAUUUUUCCAAUCUGCUGGGGGUGAUGUUGGUGAUUUUUAAUCUUGGGCUUUUGGCGAGGCUUCACGCUGCUACCUUUUUCGUUCAUGAAUUUGAGAUUAAAAAAAUCACCAAAAAGCUUGGAAAAAGAUAAAAAGUUAUUGGUUGAUAAUUUUUCAACAACAAAAAAACACGAUCUUUGUAUUAAUGGAAAAAUCAUGUGCAGAUUGGAUAGCAAAUCAUAAGCAUAUGUUUGGAAUUAUAAUAGCGGUUAUAAGAUAUUAAUUUGAUAAAAUUUGAUCGAUCCAAUCAAACUUAGUUUAUAUCUGAUUAGAUUAAUUAAAAAAAUAAAAUGAUAUUAUUUUAAUAAAAAUAAUUAAUUUGAAUUAACUUAAUAAAUGACAUAUAAUAUUAAAAAAUUAUCUUAAACCAAAAAAUUUAAACAGAUUUAAAAAUAUUAUAAUGUUACUUUCUCAUAAUUUAGUAAGGAUUUGGAAGAUAUAUAUUCAAAAACAAAUUUUAUCAUGAAAUUAAGUUAUUUAAAAAAUCUGAGUCAAUUAGAACAUUGUUUGGUAAGGUGAUGGACCAUAACAAAAACAUUAUUUUUUAUGUUUUUAUUGGCAAAAUAAAGGUAUAACCAUAUUACAUCAUGUUGCCAAACAAACACAAAUCUUGAAUUUUAUUUUUAUUUGUUUUUUUUUUUAAAUUGAAAAGGCAAAUAUACUAUCAUGGACUAAGAUAAUAUUUGAUAUUGUAGUAAUGAUUUUUUUCAAAGUAUUUUUUGUUUGGAAAUUUAUUGAAAUAAUAUUUAUAUUUUAUAUUAGUAUAUCAAAAUAAUGCAAAAAUAUUAAAAAAAACAUUAAUUUGAAGCCAAACAAAUAAUAAGAAUAUUUUCACCUCGGAUUGUAUCUCUUCAUCUUUAAAAUUGUAUCUAAAAAAAUAACUAAUAAAGUGUAAUUAAUUAAUCUAAUGCUGGAAUUAUUAUUUACCCUGGAAUUUGGAUGACGUAUAAUUCCAAGUGGGCAUGCUGCAUUUCUUAGCCAAUGAAACUAUAAUUUCUUCAUAAUUUUUCAAGUUCCAACAAUAAAUGUAAUUUUCGAACUAUUAAAUAUAUUAAAAUCUUAAAUGAUAACUUGAAAAAUAAAAUCAUUCAUCAAUCAAUUUAAGAUUUCUACACUGUAAUUUGUUAAUAUUAGUUAAAAAAAAUAUAAAUUUUAUGUAAAUAAAAAUAAUUUAAUUAACUGGUGUGGUGAAUCUCACUUCAUAACGAAUUCAUAUAUCGGUCCAAUAAAUUAGGUCCAAUUUAAUUAACUUGUGUGGUGUAUAUAUAUAUAUAUAUAAAAAUAAUCAUCAAUAGUUUUGACAUUAGAAGUCAAUUCACCAACAACUUAAAAAUUCAACCUCUUUAAUAAAAAUACUUUUUAUAUUAAAAAAGUUGAAUUUUCCAUGAAUGAUUGGUGAGAGAAUUUUUAUUGAUUUCAUAUAAUAAUAAUAGUUUUUUUUGUAAAAAUGAUACCGAGAAAAAAUAAUCACAAGUAUACAAGACAAAAUUCAACCUCUCCACAUUGAUGUGUUAGGUUGGAAUCCUUAAACUGUUUUUGCCACAGUUCUUCGACUAGGUUUUAAGUUUAGAUUUUGACUUGUUAUAUAUUUUUUAAAUUGAUUUUUUUUAAAAAAAUCAUUAAUAUCUUUCCUUACGGUAAAUAAAAAAAACAUAAUUCAUUCUUCUAUUUAGAAGAUAUUUGGAAUCAUUUGCUGGAUCUAUUUUCUGUUUUUAUUUUCAGAUUUUAAAAUGACCCCUCGGAAAACAAUUCCAACCAAUUAUUUGCCAUGGAAUUUGGACGCUGUAUAAUUCCAAGUGGGCAUGCUGCAUUUCUUAGCCAGGUGUAGCAAGAAUUGAGGUAGCUUGUUUCUGGCUUUUGCUUCUCGGGGUAUGAUUUGUUGGGCUAGUUUAUAGGCCUUUUGCACUAGGGUUUUUGUCCUUUCUGCUAAUUUAUCUAAAUAUAGGCUUUAGAAUUUUUUUAGAGUGUAUUUGGUAUUGCGGUAGUUGUUGUGGUUGUUGUUUAAAAAAAAUUGUUUUAUAAAAAGUACUUUUAGUUGUGAUUGGUUUGAAAAAAUAGGUGUUUGGUUAAAACUGUGGUUGAAAUUGAGGUUGAAGAAAAAGUAGUUUAAUGUGUUUGGUUAAGAAUGUUUUUGAAAUUGAGGUUAUAAAAUAAUUUAAAAAAAUAUAAAUUAAUAUUGAUGGUUUUUAAUUUAAAUAUUGUGGAUUUAACUAUUGCGGUAACAUUAUGAAAUAAAUCAUACUUUAUAUAUAAAAAAAUUUAUUGUUCUAUUAAACUAUCUACAAUUCCAUUACGUACAAAAUUUAUCUGACAAGAAAUACAGUUUCCAUAAUUUUUUAGCGUGUAAUAAAAUUAGAUAAAAUAUUAUCAUGUAUAAAAUUCACUCUAAAUUAGUUUUUUUAAAAAAAAUUAACAAAAAAAAAAACUUAACACACUAAAAAAAAUAAAAUAAUAAUAAUAAUAUUCACGCAGUGCAAGUGAACAGUGCAAGAAAAGUGCACUGUUCACUAUUUUUAACAUGAACAGUGCACUUUUCGUGCACUGUUCAUGAACAGUGCAUCAUUUUGCGCUGUUUAUGUUAAUUGCAUUGUUCAUUGAACAGUGCAAUUACGUGAACAGUGCAAAAAAAGCAUGUAAUUCUUGCUUUGCAAAUACUGCGUUUCCAACGCAGAAAACAGGUGGGACCCAGUGAACAGUAAACUGCUUUUUUUAGUAACCAAACGGCUACAACUGUGUUUUAAAAAAAACACAGCCGCAGAGCCGAACGGGCUCUUAAUGAAACUAGCGUUCUUGAUUUCUUGGCGGUAGAAAUAACAGGACUAUUAUUAAAUUAAAAUUAAAAUUAAAAAAAAGUCAGCUCAGACUUUUACCAUGUACCAAUAGAGAAAACACGGCGUCUCUCUGUUUUUUUUUUAAGCAUUUUUGCUUUUAAUUUCAUUAUAAUAAUUUAUUUCAAUAAGCUUAUUAUGCUUAUUAUGAAGCUCUCACAGACAAGUCAAGGCCCAGAGUCGUGAAAUUCACUUUGAACCAGCCUGCACGCACUUAAAAUAGUAAUGUUGGGGAGAUGAUUUUUAAAAUUUUGAUCCCUAGAGUUUUUGCAUCUUUUAUUUUUAAUUUUAAUUUUGAUUUAAAAUUUCAUAUUAUUCAUUUUCAUGUUGUUCGUUUUUUGGUUCAAGAUGAAAGAAAGAAAGCAACAAAAAAAACUUUGAAAAAGAUAAAAAAUUAUUGGUCGACAACUUUCCGGCAACAAAAACACGUACAGUAUCUUCGUAUCAAUGGAAAACCGGUGUGCAGAUUGGAUAGCAAAUCAAGCUUCACAGUAGAUGUUGAAGUUUUCUACUGCACUGAAGCUCCCUAUGGUUGUUUGAAGCUAAAGCUUGAUGGCGUUCCUGGGGUUUUGAUGAGUGCACGAUAUUGCAUUCUAAAUGUUCUAUCAUUGGAAUAAAAUGCAAAAAUGUGAAUAAAAAUAAUUGAAAUUAAAGGGUAAGUCAAGGUCCAGAGUCGUGAAAUUCACUUUGAACCAUCCUGGACGCACUUAAAGUAGUAAAGUUUUUUUUUCUUGGAAACAGCCUGAAUGCACUUUUAAGUACUUUAAUCACAACUUUCCACUCACAUGUCGGAUUGCUGUGAUUCUUGACGCGUUGAAAAGGUUUCUUGAAGGGCUACAAAUUAGUCUCUGAUGAGGAUUUCAAAAAAAGAAGAACUAAAGCAUGUACGUCGCUGCCACAGAAGUCCUAAAAUCUAGGUUUUGAUGAAAACGUGUGGACCAUGGAGACGUGAUGAAAAGUGGGGCUGCCUCCUUUAGAAAAAGAAAUCUAGGUUAACUUGAUUAUGUCGUGAACAGGAUAUUAAACCGAAAUAACUCUAUAAAAUAAUAAACAAAAUCAUGAAACUCACCUCAUAUCCUAAUAUUAAAAAAUAUUGAAAAAAUAUAAUUUUUUAAAUGAAAAAAAAACUAAAAGUAAAUCAAACUAAUUUUUGAAACAUGUGACUCGGGUUUCACCUUCUGCUAUCUGCCUAGCAGUGAUAUAAAACGAUUUGAGUCCAUAUUGGAAGGAAUAGCAUCCACGAGGAAGUCCAAAUUAAUUAAAUGCGUAGGCCUCCUCUUUCUUCAAUCUUCUGCUGCUGUGAUUAUUAAAGCCUUGCCAAUAAUUACAGAUCAUAGCAUCCACGAGGAUGACGUUCAUUAAAUUUUUCUCUACAGUCAAUCUUUUUCCUUGACAAGCACAGGCAGGCAAUAUUAGUGGUAAAAUUUGGGAUGUUAAUUCCUUGACAAGCACAGGCAAUAUUGUUGAUUCAACUUUCCAAAAUGUAAUCUUUAGCCACCACAAAGCUUCACACACACACACACACACACACGAGUGUGAAAGUUUAUACACUUCAAAGUAAAGUUAAAGACAAGAGCAUAUAUAAUUGUUAAACCCCGUAUGAUUUGUUUCUGGCUUGUGCUUCUCUGGGAAUGAUUUGGUGGGCUAGUUUAUAGCUCUUUUGCACUAGGGUUUUUGUCCUUUCUACUAAUUUAUCUAAAUACAGGAUUUAUAAUCUUGAUGAAUGAAACUAGCAUUCUCGAUUUCUAGGUGGUAGAAAUAAUAGGACUAUUAUUAAAAUAAAAAUAAAUAAAUAAAUAAAUAAAUAUGCUCAGACUUUUACCAUGUACCAAUAGAGAAAACACCGCGUUUCUCUGUUUUUUUUUAAAAAAUUAUUUUUAUUUUAAAUUUUAUCAUAAUAGUUUAUUUCAAUAAGCUUAUUAUGCUUAUUAUGAAGCUAUUAAGAAAAAACAUUUCAAUGUAGAGUUGAAGCUCUCACAGACAAGUCAAGGCCCAGGAGUCGUGAAAUUCACUUUGAACCAGCCUGGACGCACUUAAAAUAGUAAUUUUUUUCUAUUUUUUUAAUUUGUCUCCGUGGAGACUCGAUACCCCAAAGUCGGGCUACAAUCACCACAAAAAUCUUUGUAUUUUUAACUGACAAAAAGUCACUGAAAAACUCGGAAAAAUAUGGAAAAUUAUUGGUUGAUAAUUUUUGGCAAAAAAAAAAAAAAAACUAUCAUCUUUGUGCUAAUGAAAAACUGGCGUGCAGAUUGGAAAGCAAAUCAUACUUUAUAGAUCGAGGGCUAAAAUAUACAUUUGUAGAAGGGAGUUGGGAAGAAAAUAAAUUUUCAUGGGUAUGGAAAAGUUCGAUGACGAGAUGUUUUGAAAGAGAGGGGUAUGACGUUCAUUGUACAUUGACUGAUGUAUCUUUUUAAAUUUUGUUUUUAGUAUUUUUAGAUUAUUUUAAUAUAAUAAUAUUAAAAAUAAAUUUUACAAAAUAAAAAAAUUACCAAACACACCUGCAAGCGAAUAUUGGUUGACUCAAAACCUUUAAUUUGUCUUUUAAUUUCUUUGUAUCCCAAUUAGUAAUUGCUACGUAAUUAGAUUUGGAGCCUCACUAUCAUUUGCACACUUAAUCUAGCCUUGUCAGAGCUGAUUUAUCUUUACAGUUGUUUUUUAAAAAUAAUUUUUUAAUAUUUUUAGAUUAUUUUGAUGUGUUGAUAAAAAAUAAAUUAUUUUAAAAAAUUAUUUUAAUAUAUUUUUAAAUAAAAAAUAUUUUUUAAAAAAAUUCACAGCAUGCAGAAAUAUGCUAUUCUUUUUAGAAAAUUUCAUGUGUUUACAUUUUCUUGGCAGCUUCUUCGAAACUUCAACAUUGGAGCGCGUCCACGCGUUAAUUAAUUAUUAUUGAGGCGACCUUACUAAUAAAUAAUAGUAUGUAAAUUCUCUUCCACAUCUCAUCCCACAAUAGAAUUCCCUAUUUUCCUUUCCCAUCUCAUGAUCAGUGCGAACUAGAUUUAUGUAUACUGCAAGUACUUUAUUAUUUUUCUAAGCCAUAUAUUCUUCUCUGAUCUGUGAUUUCUCUCUCUGUUUUUUUUUUGGCUGAAUACUGCUCAAGCGAACCAGCACUUGAAUCCAGGUAAAUGAUUUUGUCAAUUUGAGUUAAGCAGCCAUGAUUGUUUUUGUUCACCCGUCAAAAAAAUCAGCUCUUCUACCUUCCUUCCCCUGCUUUCUUCAACAGCUAUCCUCUUCUGCAUCUUUCUAUCUAUCAUUCUAGAGUUUUAGGAUAGAAUUUGAGUAUGAUAAUUUAGCUUUAAAUACAAAGGGUUAAAUCAUUAACAACAACAUUUAUAUUUCCUAUUUUUCAUCCGAAUUUCUUUAACAAACAAGAAAGUCAUAUAUAUGUUCUUUUCUGAUCUGUGCUUUCUGUUCUUUUUAAACCUCUGUACGUACUAAUCAUCUUCUACUUGUGGUCAGAUGGAAGGGUUCCUACCAUCUUCUAUGGAGGAUGAUGUCAACUUUACAUCGAAUCAGUUCGAUCUUCAAUCACUACUGUCGGAGCUUGAGCUUCUCUCGUACGUCAUUUUUAAGCAUAUUUUAUCAGAAGAUGAUUGCUUGCAAUUUAGUUAUUCUUCAGUUUAUCGUUUUAUUCCCAAAAAACAAUAUAAUGUCGUCACUGACUGUGGAAGCAGGCCGCCACCGGAGGUUCCAGUCAACCAAAGCUUCAUGUUAUGCAAUGAUCAUGUUGGACAGAACAUGGUGGUGGAUAACAAUGUGAUCAACGAUAGUAUUCAACAAACAACUGUGUUUCCACCUUCAUUUCCUCAAACCAUGGUGAGUGCUCAUGCCUACUCCAAUUUGCUACAAUGUCCAUUGAAUUGGCAAGUGUUUGUAUUAUACAAAAAGAUUUAUCUAAUUGUUUAUUGUUUAACAAACAGACAACAAUGGGAGGUUUGAAUGGAACAUCAUCAUCAUGGAUCAACCAAAAUGAACCAAAUUGGCCUCAAACUGAACCAAAUCAGCCGGGACAUGACUAUAUGACACCGAACGCAACCACUUCACAACAUGGUGGCUUCAUUCAACCUGAACCUUCUUUUCCUCCUCUCCGGUAUCCAAUUUUUCAUAUUUAGUAUUUUCUGUUAAAAAAAAAUUAGUUUUUCAAUUAGGAAAGCAACAUCAUAGCUUGGACAUGAACCCAGCAAGAUAAUCAUAAGUUUGUAAUGCUUCAUAUUGCUUGCGAAUGAUUUUGGAUUCAGGAGUCCAUUUCUUUCUAAUCAAGGACAAGACGAUCAAGCUGCUGUAAUUCCUAACAUAGACAAUAUGCAACAAGAGAACAUCGUGCCUCGGCACUUUGGCAACUCUACUAGGUACUGAUUGACCUCUAGCUGUUGUGUUUUAACACACUACGUAUUAAUACCCUUUUGAUAAUUAGAUACCACCAAUUAUCGAAAGGUUUUAUAAUAUGAUCACAUCAUUUAUAUAUAGGUCACAGAUGGAUAAUCUCCAAGUCCGAGGAUUGCAAAAUCAAACUGCUAGGCCAAAUGCCUCAAAUCCUGGCCUUGGCACUUCCCUGCAAAGUCAAAAUAGGGGUUUAAAUACUCAACAAGUAAGAAGUAUAACUGAAUUAUUGUCGUCUUUUUUUCCCCUUUGACUGUGCUAUAAACUAACUAUCAAUUUUAAUAGCAAAAUAAGGGUAACUUGAUCCGUUAAUUUUUAUUCCAUAUUUUGACCGAUUUUUAUUCUAUAUUUGACUUUUUUUUUUCUUUUUCUUCUAUAGGUCAAAAUGGUUGGAUCAAAUCUGUUAUUGUUUCAAUAUUUUUUUUUAAAAAAAUUAUUGUCUAGAAAUUUUUUUAAAAGCUAAGCCAUGUUUUACUAGUUUUCUAAGUUGUAUUUGGAUAUUGAUCGAUUUAAAUUGAGUUAAUUUCCAUAUAAUUUAAUUAAAAAUUUAAAUUAAAUAAAAAGUUAGGUUAGAAGAUUUUAAUAUUAACUCCCCUGACCAGGUUUAAUAAUAUUGCCAACAAACUUUCUUCACUCUUAACAUUUUAUUUUUAUAUUUUAAAAAAAUUAAUCCCCUAGAAAAACUAGGACAUAUUAUUGAGUGUAGGUUUUGUUUAUUAAAAGUAAGGAGUCUUUGACUGCAUGUAAUGGCAUCGACUGAAAACCUUUAAUCACAUGCUAUUAAUCACAUAUUUAAUCUGUUAUUGUUAGAGCACAUGCUUUUCAAAAACUUUGAAUUAUUUUCCAUUUAAAUUAUUAUUUUUUUAUUAAAAAUAAAUUUUAAAAAAUAAAAAAAUUAUUAUUUUAAUUAUUUUAAAUAAAAAAUAUUUUAAAAAGCAAAGUAUAUUAUUGUUUCUCAUAUUCAUGUAUUUACAUUUUCUAGGCAUCUUCUAAGCAUCAUAAUUGGGUAGGUAAAGUAGUGUUUUUAACUCCUUUUCUUUUCCAAUUAAUGGGACUGCCAUUCAUUAAUGGGACAUAUUUAAUCUUUCAUGUAUUUACCUCAGUAAUCCACUCAUAUAUAUAUAUAUAUAUAUAUAUAAUUUGCUAUGUGCUUUCUGUUCUUUUUUCACCUCAGUAUGUACUAAUCAUCUUGUACUUGUGGUUAGAUGGAAGGGUUCCCACCAUCUUCUAUGGAUGACUUGACAGAGUUCGAUCUUGAAUUACUAUUUCUCUCGUACGUCAUUCUUAAACAUAUUUUAUCAGAAGAUGAUUGCUUGCAAUUUAGUUACUUCAGUUUAUCCUAUUAUUGACAAAAACUAAUAAUGUCACUGUCCAUGGAAGCAGGCUGCCACCGGAGGUUCCAGACAUCCAAAGCUCCAUAUUAUGCAAUGAUCAAGAUGGACAGAACAAUGUGACCAUGGUGAGUACUAAUUCUUACUCCAAUUUGCUGCAAUGUCCAUUGAAUUAGCAAGUGUUUGUAUUAUACAAAAAGUUUUUAUGUUCUUAUCUCGAGCAUCUUCAAAUUGUUUAUUGUUAAACAAACAGACAACAAUGGGAGAUUUAGACAUUUUUUUAUGAUAUUUUUUUAUCAUUAAGUUUUAUAUAAAAUUGGCCUCAAACUCUAUCAAGGCAUCAUAAUUCCUUUAUUCAUCAACCUCAGACGGGACAUAUGACACAGAACGCACCCACAUCACAACAUGGUGAAUUCAAUCAACCUGGACCUUCUUUGCCCGCUCCCAGGUAUCCAAUUUUUCAUGUUUAGUAUUUUCUGGAAAAAAAAAUUUAGUUUUUCAAUCAUUAUGUAACUUCUUCUUCUUCUUCUUCCUCUUGUCGUUGUACUUAUCAGUGAAUUCAUUAUGUUUGAAUAUAGGUAUCAGCCUAAUCCUAAUUUAUUUGAUCCUCAAUGUGUCAAUCCCAUGCUGCCUGGACCAUCAAUGCCUUUGUGGUAAGCUAAAAUGAUAUCAAAUGCUUAGUGGAUUAAUAGCGAAGAAUUAUGCAUGUGUAUAAAGAAAUUACUAACAAAUGUUGCUAAUUUAGGGACCAACAAUUGACUAAUUAUCAGUUACCAAUGAGCAAUCGAGUGCCUACCUUAAACUUUUUUAAUCAAUGGUAUUAACCUCGAAUAUAUAUACACUUUUUUAUGUUUAGUAUUUUCUAUAAAAAAAAAAUUAGUUUUUCAAUCAGGAAAGAAACAUCAUAUCUUGAACAUGAACCCAACAAGCUAAACAUAUUGUUUGCAAAUGAUUUUGGAUUCAGGAGUCAAUAUUUUUCUAAUCAAGGACAAGUCGAUCAAGCUGCUGUAAUUCCUAACAUAGACAAUGUGCAACAAGAGAACUUCGUGCCUAGGUACUGAUUGACUUCUAGCUGUUGUGUUUUAACACCAUUAACUUUUACUGCUUAAGAGAGACUACCAAUUAUGGAAAGGUUUUAUAAUAUGAUCACUUCAUUUAUAUAUAGGUCACAGAUGGAUAACCUCCAAGUCCGAGGAUUGCAAAAUCAAACUGCUAGGCCAAAUGCCUCAAAUCCUGGCCUUGGCACUUCCCUGCAAAGUCAAAACUAGGGGUUUAAAUACUCAACAAGUAAGAAGUAUAACUGAAUUAUCGUCGUCUUUUUCCCUCCUAUGAUUGUGCAAUAAACUAACUAUCAAUUUUAAUAGCAAAAUAUGGGUAACAACACUGAAGUAGUAGUUUCUCAUCCAUCUGGAUAUGGUGUAACUUGCAUCAAUUUUUAUUCUUUAUUUUGACCUACCUUUUUUUUUAUAUAGGUCGAAAUGGUUAGAUCAAAGGAUCCAUUUUGGAAUUAUAUUGAAGAUAGGACUGAUGGUAGCAUGAAGUGUAAGUUUUGUCCACAUACAUUUGCCAAUAAAACCUCCAUUUCAAGGAUCAAAUGGCAUUUAUCAGGAGAGGAAGGGCAUAAUGUUGCCAUUUGUCAUGGGGUGCCUAAAGAAGUUCAAGAAGCAGCCUGGAAAGCUAUGUGUGGUGGCAACAAAAGACAUAAAAUCACAGCAGGUUCGAUCAAUGUUAAUGAUUGUGGAAUUUCAACAAUGGUAGGAGGAAUUGGAAGGGUACAAAGAGAAGUUCAGGUUGUAGAACCCGGAGUAGUGGAAGAGAGGAUUUCUUCACAUGCAAUAGCAGGAAACGACGUAGUAAGCAUGACCGGAAUGAGAGCACAAGAAGAUGGAGUUUCCGAAGGGGCACUCGAGAGCAGACUGAGGACAGAACCAGUGGAUCGAUCGUUGGAACAAAGCAAUGCAGUACUUGGCAAUAUGGCAGGGGGAGCUAGAAGGAUACAAGUGGGAGUUCAGGGCAUGGAACAAGAUCCAGGAGAAGAGAGAAUUCAGUCGCAUCUACAAGCGGAAAAUGGCAUGGAAAACACUGGUGAAGGAUCUUUUCAGCAUGAUGCAUUUGAGACUGUACCAAGAACAGAGAAAGUGCAGACUCUGGAGCCUCGAUGAGAUUCAUCCCAAUUUUGUCAUGGCAUUGGAAGAUGUUAUGAUCAACCUUGUGCUCCAUCAGGAAACAAUGAUGUAACUAGUCAUGAUGAGCAGCAUAUGGUUAGAGUGAGGACACAACCAGUGCAGAAAGAGGAGGAUGUGGAAAAUAGUGGAAGAUCAGUAGUGCAGGCUGGCGCAGGAGCUAGAUCUUCUGAAAGUCUGAAGUACAACAAGACUAGAGGAGUUCCAUUACCUACUAGCUCUACAAAGCCAGUGGGUCAAGCAUUUGAAGAGAAUACGAAGGUGAUAUGGUCUUUGUUAAUGGAUGAUGAAGUCUCAACCAUUGGUAUUUAUGGGAUGGGGGAGUUGGUAAAACAACAAUACUAAAACAUAUCCAUAAUGAGCUUCUACAAAGACUAGAUAUUUAUGAUCAUGUUUGGUGGGUGACUGUGUCUCAAGAUUUCAACAUUAAUAGAUUGCAGAAUCUUAUUGCUACACAACUUCAUCUAAACCUUUCGAGAGAAGAUGAUGAUCUGCAUAGAGCUGCCAAAUUGUUAGAAGAACUAAAGAAAAAACAAAAAUGGAUUUUUAUUUUAGAUGAUUUGUGGAACAAUUUUGAGCUUGAGGAAGUGGGAAUUCCUGAGAAGUUGAAAGGAUGCAAGUUGAUUAUGACAACUCGAUCAGAAAUGGUUUGUCAUCGGAUGGCUUGCCACCGCAAAAUCAAGGUGAAACCACUUUCUGAGGGAGAAGCUUGGACUUUGUUCAUGGAAAAACUUGGACGUGACAUAGCACUUUCACGAGAAGUGGAAGGAAUUGCGAAAGCUAUUGCAAGGGAAUGUGCUGGUUUGCCAUUGGGAAUUAUUACAGUGGCAAGAAGCUUGAGGGGAGUGGAUGACCUGCAUGAGUGGAGAAAUACAUUGAAGAAAUUGAGAGAAUCAGAAUUUAAGGACAAGGAAGUAUUCAAGUUAUUGAGGUUUAGUUAUGAUCGGUUAGGUGAUUUAGCACUACAACAAUGUCUCUUGUACUGUGCAUUAUUUCCCGAAGAUGAUAGGAUUAAGAGGGAGAGGUUGAUAGGUUAUUUGAUCGAUGAGGAGCAUGAAAGAUGCAUUUGACGAGGGCCACACGAUGCUUAAUAAACUUGAAAAUGUCUGCCUAUUGGAAAGUGCUCAAAUGAUGUCUACAGGUAGUAGAUAUGUCAAGAUGCAUGACUUGAUUAGAGACAUGGCCAUCCAUAUACUGGUAGAGAGCCCUCAAUACAUGGUUAAAGCAGGUGCACAAUUAAAAGAGUUGCCAGAUGCAGAGGAGUGGACGGAGAACCUGACGAUAGUUUCACUAAUGCAAAACAGAUUUGAAGGAAUUCCUUCCAGCCAUUCACCAAAAUGUCCAAAUCUGUCAACUGUAUUUCUAUGUGAUAAUGAAGGGUUGGGAUUUAUUGAGGAUUCAUUUUUCAAGCAAUUGCAUGGGCUCAAGGUCCUCGAUCUGUCCUGGACAGUUAUUAAAAAUUUGCCAGACUCUGUCUCUGAUUUGGUGAGUCUCACUGCGUUAUUGCUCAAUGAGUGUGACAAUUUAAAACAUGUUCCAUCAUUAAAGAAGCUCAGGGCACUGAAGAGGUUGGAUCUCUCUAGACUCUAGUACUGCACUUGAAAAUAUGCCGCAAGGAAUGGAAUGCCUAACCAACCUGAGGUAUCUUAGAAUGAAUGGAUGCGGUGAAAAGGAGUUUCCUAGCGGGAUAUUACCAAAACUCUCUCACCUGCAAGUCUUGGUACUAGAAGAGUUUCCUAGUGGGAUAACAGUUAAAGGAAAGGAAGUAGGAUCCUUGAGAAAUUUGGAAACUUUGGAGUGCCAUUUCGAAGGUUUAUCUGACUUUGUGGAGUAUCUCAGAUCUCGGGAUGGGAUUCAAUCAUUAAGCACAUAUAAAAUUUUAGUAGGAAUGGUGGAUUACUUGUAUUGGGAAAACAUUAAUGAUUUUCCAAGUAAAACAGUUGGGUUGUGUAAUUUGAGUAUCAACAGAGAUGGAGAUUUUCAGGUCAAGUUCUUAAAUGGUAUUCAAAGACUGAUUUGUGAACGCAUCGAUGCAAGAAGUUUAUGUGAUGUUUUGUCAUUAGAGAAUGCAACUGAACUGGAGGACAUCAACAUUCGGGAUUGCAAUAACAUGGAGAGCUUGGUUUCAUCUUCUUGGUUCUGCUAUGCUCCACCACCAUUGCCAUCAUAUAAUGGUAUGUUUUCUGGGCUUAAAGAGUUUUAUUGUGGUGGAUGUAAAAGUAUGAAGAAGCUGUUCCCACUUGUGCUGCUGCCAAACCUCGUAAACCUGGAAAGGAUUGAAGUGAGGUGCUGUGAGAAAAUGGAGGAGAUAAUAGGAACAACAGAUGAAGAAAGCCGCACCUCCAAUCCCAUCACGGAAUUCAUUCUCCCAAAGUUAAAAACUCUGAAAUUGUCUGUUUUACCAGAACUGAAAAGCAUUUGCAGUGCAAAACUGAUUUGCAAUUCUCUUAAAAAAAUUAGGGUAAGUUUUUGUAAGAAGCUGAAGAGGAUGCCAAUUUGUCUUCCGUUGCUUGAAAAUGGCCAGCCAUCUCCUCCCCCUUCUCUUAAAAAAAUCGAAGCAAGUCCAAAAGAAUGGUGGGAGACAGUAGUGGAGUGGGAGCAUCCUAAUGCAAAGGAUGUCCUUCGUCCCUUUGUAAAGUUUGGGUACUGGUAAUCCUUCCGUUGUAAGAAUACUAAUCGAUUGUAACCUUAAAUUUGCUCAUAUUCAAUAACAUUCAAUUCUUUCAAUCAUUUUUGUUAAAAAUCACGUGCAAAACAUAAUAUAUGUUUUUUCGAUAUGAAUGAUGAAAAUAGUCCUUUAAAACAACAAGGAUAUUCUUAUUAAUUAUAAUUUGAAGUUUGAUUAAUAUUAUAUUUUCAUCCUAUUGAGGUUCUCCAAGAUGAAAAUCCAAAAAAUAAAAAAAUACUAAAUUGAUUUAUCAUUAAAGUAACCUAAUAAAAUAAUAGAUGUUUUGAAAGAAAGGGGUAUGGCGUUCAUUGUACUCUAAACUCAUUGACUGAUGUACCUCUUAAAAAUUGUAUAUGUUACCAGAACUGAAAAGCAUUUGCAGUGUAAAACUGAUUUGCAAUUCUCUUGAAUAUAUUUGUGUAAUCGAUUGUGAUGAGCUGAAGAGGAUGCCAAUUUGUCUGCCGUUGAAUGAAAAUGGCCAGCCAUCUCCUUCCCCUUCUCUUAAAAAUAUCUAUUCAAGUCCAAAAGAAUGGUGGGAGUCAGUAGUGGAGUGGGAGCAUCCUAAUGCAAAGAAUGUCCUUCGUUCUUUUGUAAAGUAAUAUAAUACAGUGUGCUUACAAUUACAUAAAUAACAUUUUUCAUUUUUUUUUAUUUCAUUAAAGACUACUGAAUUGUCAUAUAUAUAUUUUAACUCGAUAGAUAAAUAAUUAUAAUUUGAAGUUUGAUUAAUAUUAUAUUUUCAUCCUAUUGAGUUUCUCCAAGAUGAAAAUCCAAAAAACAAUAAUAAAAAAAAUACUAUAUUGAUUUAUCAUUAAAGUAACCUAAUAAAAUAAUAAAUCUACACACAUUUUUAAAAUGUCUAAGAGAGAGUAUGAAUAUGGCAGUUUUGGUUUCUCAACCUGUAACUGCCAUAUUCAUAAACACAUUUUUUAAAUAACUGAAAUUCUAAGACCAAAUUUCGUACUAAAACUAGAAAGUAGCAUAGGUUAAUAAUUAUUAUCUUUUUUAUUUUUAAUUAUAAUCUAAAAUUUGUAGUGUGUGGUCCCGCACCAUGUGAUGGGGGGACCACCACAUUAAUCAAGAAGAGAGGCAGUUGGCUGCCUCUUUAAUUUAAAUGUGUCUGCCACUGUAGAAGGUAGACGAGAGAGAGAGGGAGAACAAAAUUAAAAGAGAGCAAAAACAGAAGAGAAAAACGUGAGAAAGAAAGAAGAGGAGGCAGCAGAGCAGUCUGUCUUCUUUCUUCGAUUUCCAGUUCGUUCACCGUUGGAUCGAGCUGAGAUUUGGACAGAAUCUUCUAGACAUGUUACUCUUCAUUUUGAACGGUUGGAUUGAAGAUUGGUGGUGUGGAAGCUGGUUGUUUUGACAGAAAACGGGGCUGUCAGUGUUGUGAGCUUUUCUCUAACAUUGCUCUCUUUAAUCUUGUUGUAAUCCCAGAAUAUGUUGUUCUUGAUGAUAUAUAUGUUGUAGCCCUUAGUUAAUCUGAGGAAGAACUAUUGUGAACCCAUUAUUUGUGAUAGUGGAAGUUUUUAGGUGGACUCCGAUCCCGUGGUUUUUCCCGCAUCGGGUUUUCCACGUAAAAAUCUUGGUGUUGAUGUGUGUGAUUGUUGCAUUAUAUUUGUUCAUUGUUUGAUUCUGUUUUUUACUGCACAAAGAGGGAAAAAGGAUUGGGACUUGUUAAUUGUGAAUUGUAUUCCGCUGAAUUGAUCCGGUUAUUUGUCCCUAGUUUUCCCAACAGAGUGGUAUCAGAGCAUUUGGUUGUGUAGAUUGAAUUCUUAUGCAGUUAAAAUGGAAAAGGAAGAUUCGGGUAUGAAAAAGCUCACUUCCUCAAAUUAUUUUCUAUGGAAAACAAUGAUGGAGGAUCACUUAUAUUGCAAUGAUUUGGCUUUGCCAAUUGAAUGUAAAGGAAUAAAGCCUGAUGAUAUGGAUGAUGCAAAAUGGAAUGGACUUAAUAGAAAGGCUACCGCUAAUGUUAGAAAAUUGGUAUCUUCUAAGUCCAUUAAUCAUAUUUCUCAAGAACAUGACUGCUAUACAGUGUGGAAGAUGUUGGAAGAAACAUUUGCCAAGGAGAGUGCACAAAACAAGGUUUUUGUAAUUAAAGACCUUGUGAAUUUGAAGUAUAGAGAUAGUGAAGAUGCUUCAGUGCAUAUAAAUGUAUUCCAAGGGUUCUUGAAUCAGCUGUCAUUGAUGAACCUUGAGUUAGCCGAUGAAAUGCAAGCAUUAAUCCUAUUGAGUUCAUUGCCGGAUAGUUGGGAGACUUUGGUAGUGUCACUUAGCAAUUCUACUCCGAAUGGAAAGCUCACUUUGAAAACAGUGAAGGAUUGUAUCCUCAAUGAAGAGAAGAGGAGGAAAGGGACAAGCACUUCCGAGUCUCAUGCACUUGUUACAGAAAGUCGAGGGAGAAGUCAAAGCAGGUUCUCUCACGGCAAGCAAGAUGGAGAAUCUAGCAAUAGAAAAGGCAAAUGAAAGCCAAGAGGAAGAUCUCAGUCAAGGAAGGGUUUUAAGUGUUAUUAUUAUGACAAGCCUGGGCAUGUGCAAAAGGAUUGCAGAAAGUAUAAAAGAGAUAAAAAGGGUAGAGAUGAAGACAAGAAUGAAGAGAAUGGUACAGCUGCAGUUGUAUCUGAUGGUGAUGUUGCCAUUGUGUGUGAUGAUGGUUGUGUUAAUCUUGCAUGUCAAGAUACCACCUGGGUUGCAGAUUCAGCAGCUUCUUACCAUAUUACACCCCGACAUGAUUUUUACACAUCCUACACUGCUGGUGACUUUGGUCAAGUUAGGAUGGGAAAUCAAGGGAUGGCUAGUGUUGUGGGCAUUGGAGAUAUUUGGUUGGAAACCAAUACUGGGUGCAAGUUGCUACUCAAAGAUGUUAGGCAUGUGCCUGAUAUGCGCCUACAUUUGAUCUCUACUGGUACUCUUGAUGAAGAAGGCUAUCAUAGUUACUUUGGAGAUGGUAAAUGGAAGCUCUCCAGAAAUUCCCUAAUUGUUGCUAAAGGGAAGAAGAUGGGUCUUUACAUGUCACAAGCCAAGGUGAUCAAAGGGGAGGUGAAUGCAAUUGAAGAUUGCUCUACUGAUCUAUGACAUAAGCGAUUUGGACAUUUGAGUGAGAAAGGUCUUGGCAUCCUUGCCAGGAAGAACUACCUUCCUUUAAAAGGUAUGAACCUGAACACAUGUACUCAUUGUUUAGUUGGUAAACAACAUAGAGUUGCAUUUCAAAGAUCACCUUCACAUAGAAGGUCACAUGUUCUUGAUUUAGUUCAUACUGAUGUUUGCUCUAUGAUUGAUAAGUCUCUUAGAGGUGCAUUGUACUUUGUUAAUUUUAUUGAUGAUCACUCCAGGAAGAUUUGGGCCAUUUAUUUGAAAUCCAAAGAUCAAGUGCUUGAUGUCUUUAAGGAUUUCCAUGCCAGAGUUGAAAGAGAAACUGGUAGAAAGCUGAAAUGUGUUCGAGCAGACAAUGGUGGUGAAUACAGGGGUCCUUUUGAAAAGUACUGCAGGGAACAUGGUAUCAAGUUGGAGAAGACAGUUCCUAAGACUCCACGGCAGAAUGGAGUUGGUGAGAGAAUGAACAGAACCAUUGUUGAAAGAAUUAGAUGUAUGCUCUCUCAUGCAAAGUUGCCUAAGUCCUUUUAGGGUGAGGCAAUGAAGACUGCAGUUGCCAUGAUCAAUCUUUCUCCAUCAGUUCCUCUUGAGUUUGAUGUUCCAGAUAGAGUGUGGAAAGGAAAGGAUGUUUCCUAUGCACACUUGAGAGUGUUUGGAUGCAGAGCAUUUGUACAUGUUCCAAGGGAUGAAAGGUCCAAGCUUGACAGCAAGACAAAGCAGUGUAUUUUCUUGGGAUCUGAAGAUGAUGAGUUUGGCUAUAGGUUGUGGGAUCCAAAGGAGAAGAAAAUUGUGAGAAGCAGAGAUGUUAUCUUCUUUGAAGAUCAAACCAUUGAAGACUUUGAACUGAAGGAGAAAACAGAGUCUACAACUUUUAUUCCAUCUAAUUCAAAUCCAAGAUCUACUCCACAGUUACCUUUGAUGCCUGCUAAUCAUGGGGGAGAUUUGCAAAAUGAUGAUAAUGGUGGUUUUCUUAUUGAGCCAUUAGUUGGUGAUCAUGAAUCAACUAAUGAUGAUAUUGAUGUUAUUCCUGAACAGGUUAUGCAGGAAGCUCUAGAUGAGCCACAAUUGAGGAGGUCAACCAGACCUCGCCAACCUUCCACCAAAUAUUCUCCUCAUGAGUAUGUGCUAGUUACUGAUGGGGGAGAGCCAGAAUGCUUUGAUGAAGCCAUGUCACAUGAGAAGAAAAGUGAGUGGUUGCAAGCAAUGCAAGAAGAGAUGAAAUCCUUGCAUGAAAACCAUACCUUUGAGUUAGUGAAGCUUCCUAAAGGUAAGAGAGCACUCAAGAACAAAUGGGUGUUCAGGUUGAAAAUUGAUGAACAUUGCUCACAACCAAGUACAAGGCAAGAUUGGUUGUGAAAGGUUUCGGUCAGAAGAAGGGUAUUGAUUUUGAAAAAAUCUUUUCACCAGUGGUCAAGAUGUCUUCAAUCCGAGUUGUGUUUGGCUUAGCUGCUAGUUUGAAUCUUGAAGUUGAGCAACUUGAUUGAAAACUGCCUUUCUCCAUGGUGAUUUAGAUGAGGAAAUCUACAUGGAGCAACCUGAAGGGUUUGAAGCAAAAGGUAAAGAGCAGUUAGUUUGCAAGUUGAAAAAGAGCCUAUAUGGGUUAAAGCAAGCUCCAAGACAAUGGUAUAAGAAGUUUGAUUCUUUCAUGGUGGAUCAUGGUUAUGACAGGACUACUUCUGAUCAUUGUGUAUUUAUGAAAAGGUUUCCAGAUGGAAACUUUAUUAUUCUCCUAUUGUAUGUGGAUGAUAUGUUGAUUGUUGGCCAUAAUGCUAAGAAGAUUCAGAUGUUGAAGGAAGAGUUAAGCAAGUCUUUUGCAAUGAAAGACUUAGGACCGGCAAAACAGAUUCUUGGCAUGAAGAUCACACGUGACAGGAAGAAGGAGAAACUUUGGCUAUCUCAGGAGAGAUAUGUCCAAAAGGUACUUGAGAGAUUCAACAUGAGCAACUCCAAACCGGUUUGUUCUCCAUUUGCAAGCCACUUUAAACUAAGUUCUAAGCAGUGUCCUUCAAGUGAUGAAGAAAGAGAUGAGAUGAAAAAGGUUCCUUAUGCAUCCGCAGUUGGUAGCUUGAUGUAUGCUAUGGUUUGCACAAGGCCGAAUAUAGCUCAUGCAGUUGGUGUGGUUAGUCGGUUCCUCUCCAAUCCUGGUAAAGAACACUGGUCAGCAGUGAAAUGGAUACUCAGGUAUCUCAAAGGUACUUCUAGUUUCAGCUUAUGUUUUGGUAAUGAUAAACCUGUGUUGGAUGGAUACACAGAUGCAGAUAUGGUUGGUGAUGUUGAUUCUAGAAAGUCCACAUCAGGAUACUUGAUGAAGUUUGCAGGGGGAGCUGUCUCAUGGCAAUCAAGGUUGCAAAAAUGUGUUGCAUUAUCCACUACAGAGGCUGAAUAUAUUGCUCUUACUGAAGGGGGCAAAGAGUUGUUAUGGAUGAAGAAGUUCCUACAUGAACUUGGCCUAGUUCAAGAGAACUUUGUGUUGCACUGUGAUAGUCAAAGUGCAAUCCAUCUCAGUAAGCAUCCUACUUUUCACUCUCGAUCAAAGCACAUAGAGGUUAGAUAUCAAUGGAUUCGUGAUGCUAUGGAGAUGAAGUCAUUUGUUGUUGAGAAGAUCCAUACCGAUAACAACGUGUCAGAUAUGAUGACCAAACCUCUACCAAGAGAGAAGUUUGAGUUUUGCAGAAGGGAGGCAGGCUUGUCAGAGCCUCCUAAAUUGAAGCUUACAUGUUGAUCGCCAGUAUGGCGAAUUCCUCACAUGGUGCGUGAGGGGGAGAUUUGUUGUGUGUGGUCCCGCACCAUGUGAUGGGGGGACCACCACAUUAAUCAAGAAGAGAGGCAGCUGGCUGCCUCUUUAAUUUAAAUGUGUCUGCCACUGUAGAAGGUAGACGAGAGAGAGAGGGAGAACAGAAUUAAAAGAGAGCAAAAACAGAAGAGAAAAACGUGAGAAAGAAAGAAGAGGAGGCAGCAGAGCAGUCUGUCUUCUUUCUUCGAUUUCCAGUUCGUUCACCGUUGGAUCGGGCUAAGAUUUGGACAGAAGCUUCUAGACACGUUAAUCUUCAUUUUGAACGGUUGGAUUGAAGAUUGGUGGUGUGGAAGCUGGUCGUUUUGACAGAAAACGGGGCUGUCAGUGUUGUGAGCUUUUCUCUAACAUUACUCUCUUUAAUCUUGUUGUAAUCCGAGAAUAAGUUGUUCUUGAUGAUAUAUAUGUUGUAGCCCUUAGUUGAAUAUGAGGAAUAACUAUUGCGAACCCAUUAUUUGUGAUAGUGGAAGUUUUUAGGUGGACUCCGGUCCCGUGGUUUUUCCCGCAUCGGGUUUUCCACGUAAAAAUCUUGGUGUUGAUGUGUGUGAUUGUUGCAUUAUAUUUGUUCAUUGUUUGAUUCUGUUUUUUACUGCACAAAGAGGGAAAAAUGAUUGGGACUUGUGAAUUGUGAAUUGUAUUUCGCUGAAUUGAUCCGGUUAUUUGUCCCUAGUUUUCCCAACAAAAUUUUAUUAUGUUUACCUUUUGGUCACGAGUUUAAGAUGAAAGCACACAAAAAAGGAACUGCUAAAGCCUAAAUUUUAGGCAAUUUGUUUUUGACACAACAGGGAUCAUGGAGACGUGAUGAAAUAUAAUUUUAAAAUUUAAAAUAUUUUUAAUUAGUUAAGAUUAAAUAAGUUUUUAAAUUAAAACAAUUUAAUUUCAAUAAAAUAUCAAAAUAUUAUGAAAUUAAAAUGUUUUAACACUAAUAUUUUAAAUAUAAAGUUAGGUCAAUGUUAUCAAGGCUAAUGAGAUCUAAAAUAUUCAUUUUUUUUGCUUAAAUUCCUACAAAGUAUAAACUUGAAAAAAACAACAUGAAUAUAAACCAUAUAUAUUAGUGAUAAAUCUAAUUUUAAAAAAUUAAUAUCAUAGUUAAUGAAAAUAGUAAUGAAAAAGAGCUUUUUAUACUUUGAUGUUUUAAUUAUUAAUUGAACCAGGUUCAAUUUGAUUUAAUGGCUUUUUAAGACCAGAACAGAACAUGUGGAAUGAAACCGGAACAUUCCAAACGGAAUUUAGCCAAAAAAUCCGGAAAGGACCGAAAUUUGAAAUGAGAUGAAAAUUAUUUCGUUUUAUUCUAUUUUUUGAAUUAGUAUAAAAUCAUUACAAAUAAAACGAAACGAAAUUAACAACUUUUAUUUUAAUAUAUUUAUAAAUCCCCUAAAAAACUUUCUUCACUCUUGACAUUUUAUUUUUAUAUUUUAAAAAAAUUAAUCCCCUAAAAAAACUAGGACAUAUUAUUGAGUGAGGUUUUGUUUAUUAAAAGCAAGGAUGGAGUCUUUGACUGCAUGUAACGGCAUCGGCUGAAAACCUUUAAUUUGUCUUCUAAUUUUUUCUCUAUUGUUACAUAAUCAGAUUCGCUUCAUCUUAAAUAAUUAUUUUUUUAAUUUUAGAUUAAAUUUAAAAUUGUGAUAUAUAAUAUUUUUUAAAAAAGUAUUUUUUAUUUAAAAAUAUAUUAAAAUAAUAUUUUUUAAGAUUUUUUUUAUUUUUAAUAUCAACACAUCAAAAUCAUAGAAAAAUAAAAAAAAAUUCAUUUAUCUUUUUUAAAAAACAACUAAAAACAAAAACAAUCACAUGCUAUUAAUCACAUAUUUAAUCUGUUGUUGUUAGAGCACAUGCUUUUCAAAAACUUUGAAUUAUUUUCCUUUUAAAUUAUUAUUAUUUUUAUUAAAAAUAAAUUUUAAAAAAUAAAAAAAUUAUUAUUUUAAUUAUUUUAAAUAAAAAAUAUUUUAAAAAGCAAGUAUAUUAUUGUUUCUCGUAUUCAUGUGUUUACAUUUUCUAGGCAUCUUCACGCGUUAACUUCCUAUAUCUUAUAAUAUAAUAUUUGGCAGGUUAAGUAGUGGGUUGCUUGCUAGCAACUUCCUUCCUAUCAAACAAAACAAUAAUUUGUUUAUACUGCUACUUUAUUAUUUUUCUAAAUCAUAUAAUCUUCUCUGAUCUGUGAUUUCUCUUCUCUUUAAAUCCUCAGGACGUACUCAUCAUCUUCUACCUCUUUUCCUUUCCACAUCUAACCAGUGCGAACUAGAUUAUAUUUAUGUGAUUUCUCUUCUGUUUUUUUUUUUUUGGCUGAAUACUGCUCAAUCAAACCAGCGCUCGAAGAACAUCUUGAAUCCAGGUUAAUUAUUUGUACUUCAUCUUCUUCAUCUUGUUGGUGUUUUUGUUUGUAUAUAUGUAACUAUGGUUUGAAUCUUUAAAGGAAUCCAUGAUAAAUAAAUUGAUCUUUUUCUCGGAUUUUAUAAUCCAUGCCUAGUGGAGAGUUCAUACUAAAUUAAUACUGAAUUCAUUGUUUUCGUCUUUUCAAAAUUCUUAGCCGUUUUUAACUCCUUAUUUUAGAUUCACCCUUUUCUUUUCCAAUUAAUGGGACUGCCAUUCAUCAAUAUUUUUCAACUUUCUAUUUUCUUACAAUGAUUCAAUGAAUUAACUUGAUCAAUAAUUACCUGAAUCUUUUUGAACAAAACAAUAUCCUAUUAUUAUUUUUGUGUGUGUUUUAUGAUGCGUAACUAAGGGUUAAAAUAAUCUUGCAAUAUAAAUAGGAGUUGAAAGAGGUUUGUUCACCCCGUCAAAACAAUCAGCUCUUCUACCUUCAACAGUUAUCCUGCAUCUUUCUAUCUAUCAUAAAAAGAAUUUGAUUAUGAUAAUUUAUCUUAAAAGACAAAGGAUUAAAUCAUUAACAACAACAUUUAUAUUUCAUAUUUUUCAUCCGAAUUUCUUUAACAAACAAGAAAGUCAUUCAUAUAUAUAUAUAUAUAUAUAUAUAUAUAUAGAUAGAUAGAUAGAUAGAUAGAUAUUCUUUUCUGAUCUGUGCUUUAUGUUCUUUUUAGACCUCAGUUUUUUAUGUCUUUUCUGAUCUUUUCUGGUCAGAUGGAAGGGUUCCAACCAUCUUUUAUGGAGGAGGUUGACAACAUGACAUGGGAUCAGCUGGGUUUUCAAUCAGAAGAAGAUACAUUCAAUAUGUCUGAGCUUCUCUCGUACGUCAUUCUUGAGCAUAUUUUAUCAGAAGAUGAUUGCUUGCAAUUUAGUUAUUCUUCAGUUUAUCCUAUCAUUCCCAAAAAAACAAUAUAAUGUCGUCACUGUCCAUGGAAGCAGGCUGCCACCGGAGGUUCCAGUCAACCAAAGCUCCAUAUCAUGCAAUGAUCAAGGUGGACAGAAGAAUGUGAUCAACGAUAGUAUUCAACAAACAACUCCGUUUCCAACUUCAUUUCCUGAAACAGUGGUGAGUACUCCAAUUUGCUACAAUGCCCAUUGAAUUAGCAAGUGUUUGUAUUAUACAAAAAGUGUUUGCAUUUUUGUUUUUAAUUUCAUUUGAUAAUUUAUUUCAAUAAACUUGUUAUGGAGCUCUUGUGGUCUAAGAAGAAGAAACAAUUCAAUGUAGAGUUGAUGUUUGACUUAACAAGAUUUUGUUCAAUUUAAUUGAUUAAAAAUAAGUGAAAUUUUGACCGUCAAAUUUGAUAUUAAAAUUUUGAAGAUAAAUAUUGAAGACUGAAUUUGAUAUUAAAACUAAAAAUAAGUAGAAAGUUUUUACAAAGGUAAAUGUUAUGAAAAGAUCGAAAUUGCUAUCCAACUGGUGUGCAGAUUGGAUAGCAAAUCAAGCUAUGUUGAAGUUUUCUACUGCAGUGAAGCUCCCUCUGGUUGCUUGAAGCUAAUGCCUGAUUGUUGCGUUCCUGGGAUUUUGAUAAGUGUAUGAAAGUCUAUUUUAUCAUUAAUUUGUUUUUAUGUUUUAAAAAUAUUUUAAAAAAAUUAAUUUUUUAUUUUAAAUUUAUUCUAACUCUUUUGUUUUAUCAUUCUCAAAGUCCAAACAACAACGGUACUGUCAAGAUUGUUAUGUUUAUGCCCGCAAUCGAAACAUAAUUUGUUUUUGUACUCAGAGUUAUGCUUAUUAAAAAAUCUGGUUAUUUUAAAAAAUAUAUUAAAUUAAUAUUUUUUAAUAUAUUAAUAUUAAAAAUAAAAGAAAAAUAUUUUGAUUACUCAGAAUAAAUAGGAAGCUUUAUAAUAGUUAAGAAACGUAUUCCAAAGUUUAGUUUACUGGUUGACUCACAUAUUAACUGAAUAACCUGAGUAAAAAAGAAAACCACAUCAUAUUAUGAUGGUGUUUAUUAAAAAAAACUAAAAUAACAAUUUUUUUUUAAUAUUAUCUUCUUAAAUAUUUUUAUUUUAAAAAUUUUUCACAUAGUUGUAGAUAAAAAAAAAAUGUUUUAAUUUAGCAACGAUAGAGCAUCCACAAGAAAGAUAUUAUACGGUUAUUAAUUUUCAUUAAAAGAAAAGCUAAGAGACCUGGGAGAACUACUAUAUAUCCACACCUAUUUCAUAAAUUACAAUAGUACGUAAUUCAAGGUGUUUUGCCUUUUUUGUUUUGUUUUUUAAAAUUUGUUUUUGUUUAUUUUAUAAUAGGCUGGUUAUAAUUCAGCUUUAAUUUAUUAAUUUUUAUUCUAUUUUUUUUAUAAGAUUAACGUAAUUUAUAGAUUUGUUAAAAUAACUCAAAUUAUACUAGUUUUCAGAUUUGAUGGGAUAUUUUUUUGUUUAUUAAUUAAAAGAAAAACUAAAAGGUGUAAGAGAAUCACUAUUUACCCACACUCAUUUCAUUAUGGAUUACAAUAGUAAUCUAUAGUGUUUUGUCUUUUCUGUUUUUUUCCUUUUCUUUCCUUUUUUUUUAUCAUUUUUAAAAAUAAUUCUUUUGUCUAUUUCAUAUUUGGGCCGAAUUAGCAUAUAUAUAUAUAUAUAUAUAUAUAUUGGAUUGGUGUUUAAUUUUACAAGUAUAAGUAUCUAUUUUUGUUAUCAUAUUAUUAAAUAAAAAUAAUUUUUUAAAAAAGUAUAAUCCUAGUUAAGUCCAUAACCUUGUUCAUGAGUUUGAUGUGCUAGCCCAAGUUACCUGAUUCACGAGUUUGACAGGUUUAUCAAUUGAUCGAAUAUGGUUUUUUUUUGUUUCUGGUCUUUUAAUUUUUUUAAUUGAUUUUUUUUCAAUUUUGUCCUUCAAUAUUAGAUUGGUUUGGAAAUAGACUAAAUGAUUUAUUUUUGUUUGCUUUCUAUAGGGUUAUCAAAAUCUUAAAUAAAUAUUUAUUUUAGGGAUGAAACUCAAUUUUAUGAGUAUUUAUUUUUAUCAUAUAAUUAAAUUAAAAAAAAGUUUAAAAAAAUUAUUAAACCCAAUAGAAUCGAUGAUCCAGGUCGCGAGGGACCGGGAUCGAUCAAAUUUGUCAUUGUUUCAAUAUUUUUUUUUAAAAAAAAAUUGUUGUCUAGAAGUUUUUUGUCAUAGAAUCGAUGACCGAGAGCAAAAAUUGUUUUCGUUUUGCUCUUCCCCUGCUUUCUUCAACAGUUAUCCUGCGUCUUUCUAUCUAUCAUUCUAGAGUUUUAGGAUCUCGUGUCAUAUAAAGAAUUUGAGUAUGAUAAUUUAGCUACAAAGACAAAGGAUUAAAUCAUUAACAACAACAUUUAUAUUUCAUAUUUUUCAUCCGAAUUUCUUUAACAAACAAGAAAGUCAUUCAUAUAUAUAUAUAUAUAUAGAUAGAUAGAUAGAUAGAUAGAUAUUCUUUUCUGAUCUGUGCUUUAUGUUCUUUUUAGACCUCAGUUUUUUUAUGUCUUUUCUGAUCUUUUCUGGUCAGAUGGAAGGGUUCCAACCAUCUUUUAUGGAGGAGGUUGACAACAUGACAUGGGAUCAGCUGGGUUUUCAAUCAGAAGAAGAUACAUUCAAUAUGUCUGAGCUUCUCUUGUACGUCAUUCUUAAGCAUAUUUUAUCAGAAGAUGAUUGCUUGCAAUUUAGUUAUUCUUCAGUUUAUCCUAUUAUUCCCAAAAAACAAUAUAAUGUCGUCACUGUCCAUGGAAGCAGGCCGCCACCGGAGGUUCCAGUCAACCCAAGCUCCAUAUCAUGCAAUGAUCAAGGUGGACAGAACAAUGUGAUCAACGAUAGUAUUCAACAAACAACUCCGUUUCCAACUUCAUUUCCUGAAACCAUGGUGAGUACUCCAAUUUGCUACAAUGUCCAUUGAAUUAGCAAGUGUUUGUAUUAUACAAAAAGUUUUAUGUUUAGUGGAUCGAUCUCGAGCAUCUUCAAAUUGUUUACUGUUAAACAAACAGACAACAAUAGGGAGAUUUAAACAUUUUUUAUGAUAUUUUUUUAUCAUUAAGUUUUAUAUAAAAUUGGCCUCAAACUCCAUCAAGGCAUCAUAAUUCCUUUAUUCAUCAACCUCAGCCGGGACAUGGCUAUAUGACACCGAACGCAACCACAUCACAACAUGGUGGCUUCAAUCAACCUGGACCUUCUUUUCCUCCUCCCUGGUAUCCAAUUUUUCAUCUUUAGUAUUUUCUGUAAAAAAAAAAAUUAGUUUUUCAAUCAUUAUUUAACUUCUUCUUCCUCUAGUUGUUGUACUUAUCAGUGAAUUCAUUAACAAAUGUUGCUAAUUUAGGGACCAACAAUGGACUGAUUAUCAGUCACCAAUGAGCAAUCAAGUGCCUGCGAUGCUACCUGGACCUCAACCUCCAAUGAGUCAAUGGUAUUAACCUCGAAUUUACACUUUUUUAAUCAUGAAAACAAUAAACUUUACCAAAAUUGACGAGGAUCUUUCAAGUCUUUUUGAGCUCUCUAUCUCUCUUUUUUUUUUUAUGCACAUAAUGGAACUAGAAAAUCAACCAAGUGAGCAUAACAGUUCUAAGUUUAACUAUUUGAAUAUUCUUCAGGCAUCAGAACUCCUUUAUUCAUCAACCUCAGCCGGGACAUGGCUAUAUGACACCGAACGCAACCACUUCACAGCAUGGUGGCUUCAAUCAAUCUGGACCUUCUUCUCCUGCUCCCCGGUAUCCAAUUUUUCAUUUUUAGUAUUUUCUGUAAUAAAAACAAUUAGUUUUUCUAGCAAGAUAAUCAUAAGUUUUUUUACGAAUGAUUUUGGAUUUAGGAUUCAAACUUUUUCUAAUGAAGGACAAAUAGAUCAAGCUGCUGUAAUUCCUAACAUAGACAAUAUGCAACAAGAGAACUUCGUGCGUAGGUACUGAUUGACUUCUAGCUGUUGUGUUUUAACACCGUAUUAAUACCUUUUUUUUAUAAUUAGAUACACCAUUGAUUUUUAUUGCUUAAGAGAGACUACCAAUUAUCGAAUGGUUUUAUAAUAUGAUCACUUCAUUUUUAUAUAGGUCACAGAUGGAUAACCUCCAAGUCCGAGGAUUGCAAAAUCAAAUUGCUAGGCCAAAUGCCUCAAAUCCUGGCCCUGACACCUCCUUUCAAAGUCAAAUUAGGGGCUUAAAUACUCAACAAGUAAGAAGUCUAACUGAAUUAUCGUCGUCUUUUCCCCCUAUGAUUGUGCAAUAAACAAACUAUCAAUUUUAAUAGCAAAAUAAGGGUAACUUCCAUCAAUUUUUAUUCUUUAUUUUGACCCCGUUUUUUUUUUCUAUAGGUCGAAACGGUUGGAUCAAAGUAUCCAUUUCGGAUUCAUGUUGAAUAUAGGGCUGAUGGUAGCAUGAAGUGUAAGUUUUGUCACCAUACAUGGGCCAAUAAAACUUCCAUUUCAAGGUUCAAAUGGCAUUUAUCAGGAGAGGAAGGGCAUGGUGUUGCCAUUUGUCGUGGGGUGACUAAAGAAGUUCAAGAAGCAGCCAUUCUAGCUAUGUGUGGUGGCCACAAAAGACAAAAAAUCACAGCAAGUGCAGUCAAUGUUAAUGACUGUGGAAUUUCAACUUGUCUACAAGAACAAAACAUUGAGAAUGAAAAUACGGGAGGCGGUAUUGGAAGGGUACAAAGAGAAGUUCAGGUUGUAGAACCCGGAGUAGUGGAAGAGAGGAUUUCUUCACAUGCAAUAGCAGGAAACGACGUAGUAAGCAUGACCGGAAUGGGAGCACAAGAAGAUAGAGUUUCCGAAGGGGCAGUCGAGAGCAGACUGAGGACAGAACCAGUGGAUCGAGCGUUGGAACAAAGCAAUGCAGUACUUGGCAAUAUGGCAGGGGGUGCUGGAAGGAUACAUGUGGGAGUUCAGGGCAUGGAACAAGGUCCAGGAGAAAAUAGAAUUCAGUUGCAUCUACAAGCGGAAAAUGGCAUGGAAAACACUGGUGAAGGAUCUUUUCAGCAUGAUGCAUUUGAGAAUGUACUUAGAACAGAGCAAGUGCAGCUUCUGGAGCCUCAAGGAGAUUCAUCCCAAUUUUGUCUUGACAUUGGAAGAUGUGAUGAUCAACCUUGUGCUCCAUCAGUAAACGAUGAUGUAAAUAGGCAUGAUGCACUGGACAUGGUUAGAGUGAGGACAGAACCAGUGGAGGAUGAUGAUGUGGAGAAUAGUGGAAGAUCAGGAGUGCAGGCUGGCGCAGGAGCUAGAUCUUCUGAAAGUCUGAAAUACAACAAGACUAGAGGAGUUCCAUUACAUACUAGCUCUACAAAGCCAGUGGGUCAAGCAUUUGAAGAGAAUAAGGAGGUGAUAUGGUCUUUGUUAAUGGAUGGUAAAGUCCCAAUCAUUGGCAUUUAUGGGAUGGGGGGAGUUGGUAAAACAACAAUAAUACUACAUAUCUAUAAUGAGCUUCUACGAAGACCAGACAUUUAUGAUCACGUUUGGUGGGUGUCUGUGUCCCAAGAUUUCACCAUUAAUAGAUUGCAGAAUCUUAUUGCUAAACGUCUUGAUCUAAAACUUUCAAGCGAAGAUGAUGAUCGGCACAGAGCUGCCAAAUUGUCAGAAGAACUAAGAAAGAAACAAAAAUGGAUUCUCAUUUUAGAUGAUUUGUGGAACAAUUUUGAGCCUGACAACGUGGGAAUUCCUGUCUCAUUGAAAGGAUGCAAGCUGAUUAUGACAACUCGAUCAAAAAUAAUUUGUAAUCAGAUGGCUUUCCAACACAAAAUCAAAGUGAAGCCACUUUCUGAGGGUGAAGCUUGGAAUUUGUUCAUGGAGAAACUUGGACGUGACAUAGCACUUUCACUAGAAGUGGAAGGAAUUGCGAGAGACAUUGCAAGGGAAUGUGCUGGUUUGCCAUUAGGAAUUAUUACAGUGGCAGGAAGCUUGAUGGGAGUGGAUGAUCUACAUGAGUGGAGAAAUACAUUGAAGAAAUUGAGAGAAUCAGAAUUUAGGGACAUGGAUGAGAAGGUAUUCCAGGUAUUGAGGGUUAGUUAUGAUCGGCUAGGUGAUUUAGCACUACAACAAUGUCUCUUAUACUGUUCAUUAUUUCCUGAAGAUCAUGUGAUUGAAAGGGUGGAGUUGAUAGAUUAUUUGAUUGACGAGGGAAUAAUUAAAGGAAAGAGGAGAAGGGAAGAUGCAUUUGAUGAGGGCCACACGAUGCUUAAUAGACUUGAAAAUGUUUGCCUAUUGGAAAGUGUUAAAAUGGAGUAUGAUGGUAGUAGAGGUGUCAAGAUGCAUGACUUGAUGAGGGACAUGGCCAUCCAUAUACUGCAAGAGAACCUUCAAUACAUGGUUAAAGCAGGUGCACAAUUAAAAGAGUUGCCAGAUGCAGAGGAGUGGACGGAGAAUCUGACGAUAAUUUCACUAAUGCAAAACGAGAUCGUAGAAAUUCCUUCCAGCCAUUCACCAAUGUGUCCAAAUCUAUCCACUCUACUUCUAUGUCAAAAUCUUUGUUUGCGAAUCAUUGCAGAUUCAUUUUUCAAGCAAUUGCAUGGGCUCAAGGUUCUUGAUCUGUCUUCUACAGCUAUUAAACGUUUGCCAGACUCUGUCUCUGAUUUGGUGAGUCUCACUGCAUUAUUGCUCAUUGAGUGUUACAACUUAAGACAUGUUCCAUCAUUAAAGAAUCUCAGGGCACUGAAGAGGUUGGAUCUCUCUCAUACUUCACUUAAAAAGAUGCCGCAAGGAAUGGACUGUCUAUCCAACCUGAGGUAUCUUAGAAUGAAUGGAUGUGGUGAAAAGAAGUUUCCUAAUAGGAUAUUACCAAAACUCUCUCACCUGCAAGUCUUUGUACUAGAAGAGGUUUUUGAGGGAAGUUAUGCUCCGAUAACAGUUGAAGGAAAGGAAGUAGGAUCCUUGAGAAAUUUGGAAACUUUGCAAUGCCAUUUCGAAGGUCUCCCUGACUUCGUGGAGUAUCUCAGAUUUCGGGAUGUGACCCAAUCAGUAAGCACAUGCAAAAUUUUAGUAGGUAUACUGGAUGAAUUACUUUAUUACGGAAUAACUGAGUGUCCUUUUCCAAGUAAAACAGUUGGGUUGGGUUAUAUGAGUAUCAACAAAGAUAGAGAUUUUCAGGUCAAGUUCUUAAAUGACAUUCAAGGACUGGUUUGUCAUAGCAUCGAUGCAAGAAAUUUAUGUGAUGUUUUGUCAUUAGAGAAUGCACCUGAACUGGAGGUUAUCCAAAUUUGGGAUUGCAAUAGCAUGGAGAUCUUGGUUUCAUCUUCUUGGUUCUGCUCUGCUCCACCAUCAUUGCCAUCAUAUAAUGGUAUGUUUUCUGGUCUUAAAGAGUUUUAUUGUCAUGGAUGUAAAAGUAUGAAGAAGUUGUUCCCACUUGUGUUGCUGCCAAACCUCGUAAACCUGGAAAGGAUUGAAGUGAUGGAUUGUGAGAAAAUGGAGGAGAUAAUAGGAACAGCAGAUGAAGAAAGCAGCACCUCCAAUUCCAUCACGGAAUUCAUUCUCCCAAAGUUAAGAACUUUGAAAUUGUCUGAAUUACCAGAACUGAAAAGCAUUUGCAAUGCAAAACUGAUUUGCAAUUCUCUUGAAGAUAUUACUAUAAUGUUUUGUGUUGAGCUGAAGAGGAUGGCAAUUUCUCUUCCAUUGCUUGAAAAUGGUCAGCCAUCUCCUCCCCCUUCUCUUGAAGAAAUCAUAGUAUAUCCAGAAGAAUGGUGGGAGACAGUAGUGGAGUGGGAGCAUCCUAAUGCAAAGGAUGUCCUUCGUCCCUUUGUAGAGCUUGGUUUAGCAUCAUCCCCGUAGAAGAGGAUUUUGUUUCUCAAAAUAAUUAAUAUGUAUGGUUAAUCCUUUCGUUGUAAGAAUACUAAUCGACUGUAACCUUAAAUUUGCUCAUAUUCAAUAAUAUAUCAUUCUUUCAAUAUUUGUUUGUUAAAAAUCAUGGGCAAAACAUAAUUAUUUUUUAUAUGAAUGAUGAAAAUAGUCCUUUAAAUCAACAAGGAUAUUUUUAUUAAUUAUUAUUGAAAUUACUUGCAUGAUGCUUUUGGAUUAAAGAUCGAUUGCUCAAUGGGUGGAUUUGGGCUGGUGUGAAAUGGAAUUGCCAAUUAUUUUUUAUAUGAAUGAUGAAAAUAAUCCUUUAAAUCAACAAGGAUAUUCUUAUUAAUUAAUAUUUAAAUAGUCCUUUGUCCCUUUGUACCUUUUUUUUUAACUCGAAUGAUAAAUAAUUAUAAUUUGAAGUUUGAUUUAUAUUAUAUUUUCAUCCUAUUGAGUUUCUCCAAGAUGAAAAUCCAAAAAAAAAAAAAAAUACUAUAUUGAUUUAUCAUUAAAGUAACCUAAUAAAAUAAUAUAUCUAUUCACUAGUACAAAUCAUCUUAUAUCAUUAACUAGCAAUAAAUUAUUCUUUUAAAAUAUAUAAUACAGAUUAAAAAAAAUAUCAAAAUGAAGUUUUCUACUAGGGUUGAUGAUGAAUCUCAAGGUUGAAUUGGUUCUUAUGAAGUUUUCUACUAGUGCCUGGUGGUUUUGUCUGAGUAAAAGGGAUAGAUGCUAAGUUAAGGAAGAGAGACAAAAAGUGGAAGGGACAAUUGUGUCGAUUGUUCUCUUGAUCUGAGCUUAUUCUGUAUCAUUUGUUGGUUGCAUUAUACCUUCACCUCCAUACCCAACUCCUCUUCAUCUCUUAUUGUUAAUAAAAAUGUAAGAAUUUAAGAGCAUGAGAGAAUACUUUCACAAUGAAGAUUAAUUCAUCUCCAUAGCAGAAUACAGGAAAUGGAAAAUUAAAUCAAUAAAAGAAAGGUAUUUCAUCGCCAAUGAAUUCAUCUCUUCGAACAUUCUUGAAUUCUGGUCAAUCCAUAUCACAACAAACAUAGUAAACAUGUCAAAAGUAUUCUUCUACCUCAGCAUUGAGAAGAUCAAAUGAGGAAGGCUAAGAUUCUCUUUUAAAUGCCCCUGAGAGAGUAUGAACUGAACAUACAUUUUUUGUUGGAUGAGUUUUGGUUUCUAAACCUGAAACUGCCGUCAUAAGCACUGGCUAGGGAAGUUAGGAUGAGCAUUUCUUGUCAUUAUAUCACUUUUUCUGCUAGGAUAAUGCUGUCUAUAUUCUCUGAUACUAUUGCUUAUAAUCUCCUUGCCUCUGUUAUCUUUUCCAACCCGUUUGAGGAUGCUUUCUAAAUUUUUUUGUUAAAUUGUGAAUUUGUUGUUCACUUGCACAGUUGAACAGGGUUGACCUAGGAAUCCAGGAGUUAUUGGUGAGAGAGGAUUUGGAUCCUUUUCGAAGGAAAGUGAGUGGUUCAACGAUGAUAUUUAAUUAAAAAAAAAUAACAAUGUCUUUUUUAAUAUUAUAUUUUAAAAUAUUUUAUUUUAAAAAAGUUACACAUGAUUGCAAUAAAAAAGAUGUUUUAAUUUGGCAUCAUUGAGCAUCCUCGAGGAAACUAUUAUAGGGUUAUUAAUUUUUAUUAAAAGAAAAGUUAAAAGACAUGAAAGAAUCAUUAUCUAUCCACACUCAUUUCAUUGUAAAUUACAAAAUAAUUCAAGCUUUUUUUUUUGUUUUUUUUAAAUUAUUUUUGUUUAUUUCAAUAUUACACUGGUUCGUAAUUUAUUUAUUUUUAUUUUAUUUUUAUAAGAUUAACAUGAUUUAAAGAUUUAUUAGAAUAAUAUCUUUGCUACUGUAACAUUAUCUUCCACAUCCCAUCUCAUUAUACCAUUGAUUUCCCAAUUUCCCUCAUCAAAUUUCUUAAACCUUUCUGAAGAUCAGUGCUUCCUUUUCUGAUUGAAUCAAAUCAUCUGGAGUUCAACAUCUUGGAACUUUCUUGUUAUUUUUAAACUAUAUAUUCUACUCUGUUCUUGUCUUUUUUGCUGAAUAAUGCUUAAGCAAACCAGGACCUGAAGAACAACUUGAAUCCAGGUAGAUUAUUUAUACUCCAUCUUCUUCAUUUUCUUUUUCACAUGUAACUCUGGUUUGAAUCUUUCAAGGAAACCACAAGUUGUAGAAAUUCUAAUGAGAAACUUUGGAGUUAGGAUCAUCAACAGUUUCCAAAAAUAAAAAUAAUUUAAUCUUUCUCAGUUUUAACAAUCCAUGCCUUAUGGAGUUCAUACUAAUUAAAUUGACCCCAAGUUAACCUUGAAUUCAUUGUUUUUUCUUCUUAAUUUCUUUGCUGUUUGUAACUUAUUAUUUUUGCUGUUUGUAACUUAUUAUUUUUGCUGUUUGUAACUUAUUAUUUUAGUUUCACCUUCCUUUUCCUUUUCCAAUUAAUGUACUUCCAUUAAUUGUUAUUCAAUAUUUUGACCCUUUUUAUCUAUAGGACAAAAUGGGUAGAUCAGAUGAUCCGUUUUGGAAGGAAGUUGAAGAUAUGAAUGAUGGAAGCAUGAAGUGUAAGUUUUGUGGGCAUUUAUUUGCCAAUGGUACUUCCAUUUCGAGGAUCAAAUGGCAUUUAUCAGGAGAGAGAGGGCAUGGUGUUGGCAUUUGUGGUCAGGUGCCUAAAGAAGUUCAAGAAUUAAGCAGCCUUUCUAGCUAUGCAUGGUGGCAACAAAAGACAUAAAAGCAUAGCAAGUUCAAGCAAUGUUAAUGAUUAUGCCAUUUCCACCUGUCCACAAGAACAAGACAAUGCAGUACUUGGUAAUUUGGCACAAGGUGUUGGGCCUGAGAGAAUUCAUUCGCGUGUAGAAGCGGCAAAUAGCAUGGAAUACACUGGUGAAGGAUCUUUUCAGCAUGUUGACAGAAGUGUCUCUCCUUGGGGACUCAGAGUUGAUGCUCGUGAGAAUAGAGGAGAAGCAACACAAAGAACAGAUUUAGUGGAUCAUUUGCUGAUGGUACUUGGGUUCAGAUACACUCUGGCCUUUCAAAGGNNNNNNNNNNNNNNNNNNNNNNNNNNNNNNNNNNNNNNNNNNNNNNNNNNNNNNNNNNNNNNNNNNNNNNNNNNNNNNNNNNNNNNNNNNNNNNNNNNNNCUGAAUGAAAUCUCUACCUAUUUAAUGCAGGAAGAUGAGGAUGUGGAGCGUCUGCAUGAUGCAUUUGAAACUGUACCGAGAACAGAAGAAGUGCAGCAUCUGGAGAGAGGUAGCUCUUGUGAGAGGCCAUCAAUUAAUCAAGCUGAUGAGCCUCGAGGAGAUUCAUCACAACCAACAGAUUCAUUGUGUCUUGAUCAUGGAAGAUAUUAUGAUCAACUAUUUACUCCGUCAAUAAACAAUGAUGUCAUUAUGAAUGAUGUGCAGAACAUGGUUAGAGUGAGGACAGAACCAUUGGAGGAGGAGGAUGUGGAGAAUAGUGGAAGUUCAGUAGUGCAGGCUGGCGCGGGAGCUAGAUCUUCUGAAAGUCUGAAAUACAACUAGAGGAGUUCCAUUACCUACUAGCUCUACAAAGCCAGUGGGUCAAGCAUUUGAAGAGAAUAUGAAGGUGAUAUGGUCUUUGUUAAUGGAUGAUAAAGUCCCAAUCAUUGGCAUUUAUGGGAUGGGAGAAGUUGGUAAAACGACAAUACUGCAACAUAUUCAUAAUGAGCUUCUACAAAAACCAGAUAUUUGUAAUCAUGUUUUGUGGGUGACUGUCUCUCAAGAUUUCAGCAUUAAUAGAUUGCAGAAUCUUAUUGCUAAACGUCUCUAUUUAGAUCUUUCAAGUGAAGAUGAUGAUCUGCAUAGAGCUGCCAAUUUGUCAGAAGAACUAAGGAAGAAACAAAAAUGAAUUUUCAUUUUAGAUGAUUUGUGGAACAAUUUUGAGCUACACAAAGUGGGAAUUCCUGUCACGUUGAAAGGAUGCAAGCUGAUUUUGACAACUCGAUCAGAAACAAUUUGUCAUCGGAUUGCUUGCCAACACAAAAUCAAAGUGAAGCCACUUUCUGAGGGUCAAGCUUGGAAUUUGUUCAUGGAGAAACUUGGACAUGACAUAGCACUUUCACCAGAAGUGGAAGGAAUUGCGAGAGAUAUUGCAAGGGAAUGUGCUGGUUUGCUAUUGGGAAUUAUUACAGUGGCAGGAAGCUUGAUGGGAGUGGAUGAUCUACAUGAGUGGAGAAAUACAUUGAAGAAAUUGAGAGAAUCAGCUGAAUUUAGGGACACGGAAGUAUUCAAGUUAUUGAGGUUUAGUUACGAUCAAUUAGGUGAUUUAGCACUACAACAAUGUCUCUUGUACUGUGCAUUAUUUCCCGAAGAUAGUGAGAUUGAAAGGGAGGAGUUGAUAGGUUAUUUGAUCGAUGAGGAAAUUAUUAAAGGAAUAAGGAGCAGGAAAGAUGCAUUUGACGAGGGCCAGACGAUGCUUAAUAGACUUGAAAAUGUCUGCCUAAUGGAAAGUGUUAAAAUGGAGUAUGAUGGUAGUAGAAGUGUCAAGAUGCAUGACUUGAUUAGGGACAUGGUCAUCCAUAUACUGCAAGAGAACCUUCAAUACAUGGUUAAAGCAGGUGUACAAUUAAAAGAGUUGCCAGAUGCAGAGGAGUGGACGGAGAAUCUGACGAUAGUUUCACUAAUGCAAAACGAGAUCGAAGAAAUUCCUUCCAGCCAUUCACCAAUGUGUCCAAAUUUGUCAUCUCUACUUCUACGUGAUAAUGAAGGGUUGCGAUCUAUUGCGGAUUCAUUUUUCAAGCAAUUGCAUGGGCUCAAGGUCCUCGAUCUGUCUUGCACAGUUAUUAAAAAUUUGCCAGAGUCUGUUUCUGAUUUGAUGAGUCUCACUGCAUUAUUGCUCGAUGGUUGUUGGAAGUUAAGAUACGUUCCAUCAUUAAAGAAGCUCAAGGCACUGAAGAGGUUGGAUCUCUCUUGGACCAUGCUUGAAAAGAUGCCGCAAGGAAUGGAAUGUCUAUCCAACCUGAGGUAUCUUAGAAUGAAUGGAUGUGGUGAAAAGGAGUUUCCUAAUGGGAUAUUACCAAAACUCUCUCACCUGCAAGUCUUUGUACUAGAAGAGGUUUUUGAGGAAUGUUAUGCUCCGAUAACAAUUAAAGGAAAGGAAGUAGUAUCCUUGAGAAAUUUGGAAACUUUGGAAUGCCAUUUCGAAGGUCUCUCGGACUUCAUAGAGUUUCUCAGAUGUCGGGAUGGGAUCCAAUCAUUAAGCACAUACAGAAUUUCAGUGGGAAUUCUGAAAUUCUUAUAUGGCGUUGAAAAGUUUCCAAGUAAAACAGUUGCGUUGGGUAAUUUGAGUAUCAACAAAGAUAGAGAUUUUCAGGCCCUUUACGAAUUGUUCUGGCAGCGUGCUAAUAGCCUACUCCAUAUGGUUGCUCAGUUCGAUCUCAAUGAUAAAAAAAAAGGGAAAAAACAACUUAAAGGGAAUUCGAACAACAACGGCACUGCUGUAUUAUAAAAAAAAGAAAAAAAGUGAAAAAUAACUUGCUAUUAUCUUAAAAUACUGCAGGUUUUAUUAUUUGUCUCUUGUUCGGUUAGAAGAAUAACCAGGGUGGAAUUCAGCUGAUAAGAAUUGGUUCCUUCACCAAUAAACUAAACAACUAUAUAUUUUCCUGUUACUCUAUAUCAUGAGUGGAUUGGACAGGAGGAGUUCUGUAGUAAGCUGGCAUGGUUUCCAGGAAGAAUGUUGCUCUAAUUCCUUCUGCCUUUAUAGUAUAGGGAAGAUGAUGCCUGAUCCAACCUGAAAAUUGACAAAAAUAAAAAUUUAAGUUUGUCUAGGAAACUCAUGGUGAGAAUAACAGUUCAAACAAAAAAGCUUCUGAUAGUAAGAGUAAAGAAAGCUGGAGAUACAGACCAAAAUUAGUCUAGCCGCUAUGCACAUGCGUUUUGGUGUAGGAAAUGGAAGCAAUAAGCGGCCAACAGCGUAGGCAAGCAUGGCAAAGCAGUGGAAAACCAAGCUCAACGGGUCAGGGUUUAGACCAGACAGAAGAGCCAUCAGUCCAUCUGAGAAAACGCCUCCAAGGCUGAAAUAAUUGAAGAAUGCUUCUUUCAUUUCCUUCCUUGAUGGAUCCUGAUCCGAUGAAGAGAUUUCUGUGUGUAGGCAAAUGUGUUGCUUGCAAAUGCCGUUGGCUGCAACCAAUAAUAAGUUAAUAGUAUCUACCAACCGCAUAGAAAUAUGGUUAUGUUGUGUUUCACUCAGCAAUGCUUGAAAUAUGAAGUUUCUUUAAGCAAUUCCUGUUCAGAGUUUGUUCCGAGGAAGACUGGCCGAAGAAAUAUUAGCUAAGCAUAUUCAUGCAAGUGCCGAUACCAUACGCAGAAUGCAAAAGGAUUAAGAUAUUUGCAAAUGGAAGCUGCAUUGCUAAGAUCAUUCAGAGGCCUAAGAAGAUGUCGCAGUAGAACAACACCAGAAAGUCCCACGGUCAUUCCUCCUCCUGUUACAGCAAGGCGCAUUUUCAACGAAUCCCCUAUCAUAAAUGCACCAGGGGUUGGAUAGCGAGACGCAGGCAUGAUUCUGUUUGGCAUUGUUCUUAUGUUGCCCUUAUCAAUUGCACAUAUGAAAGCAUUGUAUAGCUCAGAUAUUAUUAACAACACUAAGGAGGUCCUUCUACCCUUUGUAAGUUUUUUAUAUAUAAGGAAGGAAGAUGAAGACAAAUCAAACGUUUAGAGAGGAACACCUCAUCCAUUUCUGGCCAUUUCUGAUAUAAGGUUUUCUCGAUGCCUUCACACUCCAUAUUUUUAUUUGUAUCUUCUAAACCUUAUAGCUUCUUCUUCUUUUAGUUUAUUGAUUGCUCUGUUUAUUUAUUAUUUGUAUUAAUAUAUAUUAACUAAAUGGAUUCAUGACCAUUAAAAACAACAUUUAUAUAUAUAUAUUAUUUUGGAAAACUCAAAAUACAACGGAAAUACAAUUUUGAGAUUCAUCUUAUUCAUUUCAUGUGGUACAUCAUGAGGAUUGUUUCAUGUUUGUUCAUGUUGUUCCUCAUGCUUCAUAAAUUCAGCUGAUAAGAAUCGGUUCCUUUACCAAUAAAAUAAACAACUAUUUCCCUGUUUCUCAAUCAUCAGUGGAUUGGACAGGAGGAGUUCUGUAGUAAGCAGGCGUGGUUGCCUGGAAGAAUGUUGCUCUGAUUCCUUUUGCCUUAAGUAUAGGGAAGAUGAUGCCUGAUCCAACCUCAUGCUUUAGGAUAGGCCUAAGAAGAUCUCGCAGUAGAACAACAUCAGAAAGUCCAACAGUCAUUCCUCCUCCUGUUACAGCAUGGCGCAUAUUCAAUGAAUCCCCUAUCAUAAAUGCACCAGGGGUUGGAUAGGGAGAUGCAGUGUAGUUUUUAGCAGAAUAGAGACACAAAAAACAGAGAAAACCAGCACAUAUAAAGGGUUGUUUUGAGACUUCAAAAUCAUUACUAUUUUUAUUGAUUGAAUCACUCUUUUAGACAAGAGUUUUGAUAACUAAUUUCAGAAAAAUAAUGACAUGAUUUAAUGGAAUAAGAGUUGUUCUACAGCAGCUUUAUUUGCUACUAACUUCCUAACUUGUUGGAGCUGAUCUUGACUCAAUCGUUUCAGCUCCAAAAACCGCUUCUUCAGCAGCAAAUGAGGCAACCAGCAACACGCAGGCAUGAUUCUGUUUGGCAUUGUUCUUAUGUUGCCCUUAUCAAUUGCACAUGUGAAAGCAUUGUAUAGCUCAGAUAUUAUUAAAACAAAUCCGUGAUCAAGCGUGCUCUAUAAAUUAAUCAGAAUAUGCUUCAGUUCAUUAACAGUAUAGCUUCUUCUACUUUUAGUUUAUUGAUUGCUCUGUUUACUUAUUAGUUGUAUUAAAAAUAUUAAUUUGUCUAUCAAAGUGCUAAUGAGUAAUGCAACUCAAAGUCGUUCGAUUUACUGUGCUCUUGGAUAUUGAUAGCUCUUAUUUAAGGACUUGGAAAGAAAGCAUAUCUCCUCCUGCUGAUUCGUUGCCAUCAAAUAUUGAUCCAAAACCCUCUUUAACCAUGUUGGUGAUUGAUUAGCUAGUAGUUUUGGUAUAAUUCACGAGCAUUUUUGUGCUAUAAUGGGCCCAAACCCUCUUUAACCAUGUUGAUGAUGUUUCUAAUUUGCAAGUGCUGAUACACACACACCACAAAACGUAAUGUAUAUAGCUCACAUAUAUUGACACAUGAGCAUAAACUACCCAUGAAUAGGAGGAAAUUAUCAUAACAAAUAUUAGGAGCUCAAUGUUUCUCAAAAAUUGAUUUGUGAUUUAAGUAUCACCGGUUAAGGAUUAGAAAUGAUGAUAUUCCUAAAUCUGUAUUUAGAACUUGUUAUGGACACUAUGAAUUUCUAAUAUUGUCUUUUGGGUUAGCAAAUACACUAGUAACCUUUAUAGACAUGAUCAACAGUGUUUUUAAGCCAUUUAUUGAUAGAUUUGUUAUUGUAUUCAUUGAUGAUUUUUUAGUGUAUUUGAGGAGUGAAGAGGAAUAUGAAGAGCAUUUGUUACUGGUUCUUUAAACUCAGAGAAAUCAUCAAUUGUAUGAGAAAUUUUUGAAAAGUGAGUUUUGGUUGGAGAAUGUUGGGUUUUUGGACAUGUGAUGUUGAAAAAUGGGAUAGAGGUUGAUCCACUAAAGGUGAAGGCAACUAAGAAGUGGCCUAGACUGACUAUAAUAUCUAAGAUUAGGAGUUUCUUGAGUUGAGCACGAUACUAUAAGUGGUUCAUGGAGAGCUUUUCACAAAUUGCAGCUUCAUUGACCAAGUUGACAGAAAAAAAUCAAGUUUUAGUGGCCAAAAUAGUGUAAGAAGAGUUUUCUAGAGUUGAAGGAAAGGUUAAUUAAGACUUUGAUUUUGAUAAUACCUUCAAAGUUCGGUGGCUUUACUGUGUAUUGUGAUGCAUUAAGAAUUGGAUUGAGUUGUGUUUAAAUGCAAAAUGAUAAUGUAAUUGCUUAUGCCUCAAGGAAAUUGAAGAAAGAUAAACAAAAUUACCCCACACAUGAUUUAGAGAUGGUUAUGGUAGUGUUUGCUCUUAAGAUUUGGAGACACUACUUGUUUGGAAAGACAUGUGAGAUGUUUUCAGAUUAUAAGAUUUUUCAAUAUAUCUUCCAAUAAAAGAAUCUGAAUAUAAGACAAAGAAGGUGGAUAGAAUUUUUAAGUGAUUAUGAAUGCAUGAUUCAAUAUCACCCGAAAAAAGUGAAUGUUGUUGCCGAUGCCUUGAGCAUAAAAUCUAUGGUGGUUUGGCUUAUAUUCAAGAGGUGAGGAGGCUAUUGAUUAGGGAGUUACACAAGUUAUUGGAUGAAAAGGUUAGUUUUGAGAUUGGGGAACUAGGAGCAUUGUUGGCUCACUUUCAAACUAAAUCGAACUUGUUAGACCAGAUUGAAGCAAUUGACGAGAGAUGAGCAGCUAUAUAAGAUUCAAGAUGAGUUAGAGUUAGGAAAGGCUCCAAGUUUUGUUGAUGGUGAGGAUGGUUUGUUGAGAUUAGGUUUUUGUGUGCUUGAGGUGAAUGAUUUGAACAGAAAUACGAUGACGGAAGCAUAUCAAACCACCUAUAAUGUACAUCCUAAUUUUAACAAGAUGUAUAGACUUGAAACAAUUCACUAAUGAAAUGGCAUAAAAAACAUUAUUGAGAAUACUUAACCUAUCAAAGAAUUAAAAGCGAGCAUCAGAAGUUAUUAGGGUUUUUACAACCAUCGUUAAUUCCUGACAUUUUCAAUCAUUAUUGAUUUUUGAAUGGAAAUGAUAUAAACUCAUUAUAGAUUUUAUGUCAAGUUUGUCUCGGAAGAGUUAUAAUUCAAUUUGGGGGAUAGUUGAUUGUUUCACCAAGUCAGCUCAUUUGUACCUUUCCCAUGAACUAUCUGAAUGAAAUUAAUUAUCUGGUGGAAUAUUGUUGGUGGUAUCCGACGUGAUUAAAGUUACGUAACAUGAUCCAUCAUCACUAGUCUCUCCUCAUUGCUGCUAUCCGACAUGAUCAAGGUUUCCAAAGGGAGAACCUUUAAUUUGGAAAAUUUUAUCUUCAUCUGAAACCAUUUGAGCCCAUGAUCUGGACUUUUGUUCUACUUUUUAAGCCUUUGUCUUUGUCUUUCUGUUUAGAUGGCAUUGGGUCGUCUUCCCUGCCAAAAAAACCUCUUAUAAAGGUAGGAAAUUUGAAUUUUCUUUAUACAUUUAAUAUAGAAUCGAAAAUGCUUAAAAUAGCUUGUUUUUUUGGGCAAAAGAUAUCCCAUUUAUUCUAACUCUUCUCCAAAUAAUCAUAGGAUUUAUGCAUUUUAUGCAUUCAGUCACGCUUUUUCUAGCUAUUGAAUGGAUUAAUUAUUUUAAUACACUUGAAUCAUUUAUUUAUCUGUAUUGAUUUAAUUUUUUUGCUGUGAUAUUGCUACUCGUGUAUAUUGUUGUUGUCAUUAAAUUUUAUUGAUAGGAACAAUUAUUAAUUUUAUAAGAUUUAAAGUUAAUGACUAUAUAAACAUCUAGUGAUCUUGAUAUUUUUGAGAUUUGAACUGAUGAUAUUUAAGGAGUAAAUCUAGAAGCUGACCAGUUAAAGAUGAAGAUUGUUAGGAUACAAAAAAGAUAUAAUUUGUUUUUUUAUUUAAAAUUGUAUAUAUUUUAAAAAUUUAUUUGUCUUGAAAAAAUAUAUUUUUAAUAUAAUAACAUUAAAAAUAAAAAUAAAUUAGUUUGAUUAAUCAAAUCUCCAAGCAACUUUAAUUUUCCAGGCAGCUUCUUCAAAGUUUCAACAUUAGGGGGGUCCACACGUUAACUUUCUAUAUCUUAUAAUAUAAUGCUUGGUAGGUAAGCGGAGGGUUCCUUCCUAGCAACUUCCUUCCUUCCUAUCAAACAAUACAAUAAUUAUUUAUUUAUUAUUAUUAUUACCAUUCUCUGUUUUCCUUUCCCUCUCAGCACUGCAACUUUAUUAUUUUUCUAAAUCAUAUAAUCUUCUCUGAUUUGUGAUUUCUCCUCUUUUAAUCCUCAGGACGUACUAAUCAUCUUCUACCUAUUUUCUUUUCCACAUAUCUUAUAUUCUUCUCUGAUCUGUGAUUUCUCUUCUCUUUUUUUGGCUGAUUACUGCUCAAGCAAACCAGCCCUUGAAGAACAUCUUGAAUCCAGGUAAAUUAUUUGUACUUCAUCUUCUUCAUCUUGUUGGUGUUUUUGUUUUUAUAUUUGUAACUAUGGUUUGAAUCUUUAAAGUAAUCCAUGAUAAAUAAAUUGAUCUUUUUCUCAGAUUUGUCAUAUGUAUAUACUCUUCUCUGAUAUGUGCUUUCUCUUCUUUUUUCACCUCCUGUACUAUUCAUCAUGUACUUGUGGUGAGAUGGAAGGAGUUCCCACCAUCUGUAAAAAAGUUUAUUUUUUCAAUCAGGAAAGAAACAUCAUAGCUUGAACAUGAACCCAGCAAACUAAACAUAAGUUUGUAAUGCUUCAUAUUGUUUGCGAAUGAUUUUGGAUUCAGGAGUCAAUAUUUUUGUAAUCAAGCUGCUGUAAUUCCUAAUAUAGACAAUAUACAACAAGAGAACUUCGUGCCUCGGCACUUUGGAAACUCUACUAGGUACUGAUUGACUUCUAGCUGUUGUGUUUUAACACAAUAUUAAUACCUUUUUGAUAAUUAGAUACACCAUUGAUUUUUGGUUUUAUAAUAUGAUCACUUCAUUUUUAUACAGGUCACAUAUGGAUAACCUCAAACUCAGAGGAUUGCAAAAUCAAACUACUAGGUCAAAUGCCUCAAAUCCUGGCCUUGACACUGCCCUGCAAAGUCAUAUUAGGGGUUUAAAUGCUCAACAAGUCGGAUAUGAUUCAUUUUGGAACUAUGUUGAAGAAAGGGCUGAUGAUGGUAGAAUGAAGUGUAAGUUUUGUCCACAUACAUAUGCCAUUAAAACUUCCAUUUCAAGGAUCAAAUGGCAUUUAUCAGGAGCAGAAGGGCAUGGUGUUGCCAUUUGUCGUGGGGUGUCUAAAGAAGUUCAAGAAGCAGCCUUUCUAGCUAUGUGUGGUGGCAACAAAAGACUUAAAAGGACAGAAAGUUCAAUCAAUGUUAAUGAUUCUGGAAUUUCAACUUGUCCACAAGAACAAGACAUUAAGAUUGAAAAUAUGGGAGGAGGUAUUGGAAGGGUACAAAGAGAAGUUCAGGUUGUAGAACCUGGAGCAGAGGAAGAGAGGAUNNNNNNNNNNNNNNNNNNNNNNNNNNNNNNNNNNNNNNNNNNNNNNNNNNNNNNNNNNNNNNNNNNNNNNNNNNNNNNNNNNNNNNNNNNNNNNNNNNNNNNNNNNNNNNNNNNNNNNNNNNNNNNNNNNNNNNNNNNNNNNNNNNNNNNNNNNNNNNNNNNNNNNNNNNNNNNNNNNNNNNNNNNNNNNNNNNNNNNNNNNNNNNNNNNNNNNNNNNNNNNNNNNNNNNNNNNNNNNNNNNNNNNNNNNNNNNNNNNNNNNNGUUUCUCAUCCAUCCGGAUAUGGUGUAACCUCCAUCAAUUUUAAUUUUUAUUUUGACCCUCUUUUUUUUUCUAUAGGUUGAAAUGGUUGGAUCAAAGGAUCCAUUUUUGAAUUAUAUUGAAGAUAUGGCUGAUGGUAGCAUGAAGUGUAAGUUUUGUCCACAUACAUUUGCCAAUAAAACCUCCAUUUCAAGGAUCAAAUGGCAUUUAUCAGGAGCAGAAGGGCAUGGUGUUGCCAUUUGUCGUGGGGUGUCUAAAGAAGUUCAAGAAGCAGCCUUUCUAGCUAUGUGUGGUGGCAACAAAAGACUUAAAAGGACAGAAAGUUCAAUCAAUGUUAAUGAUUCUGGAAUUUCAACUUGUCCACAAGAACAAGACAUUAAGAUUGAAAAUAUGGGAGGAGGUAUUGGAAGGGUACAAAGAGAAGUUCAGGUUGUAGAACCUGGAGCAGAGGAAGAGAGGAUUUCUUCACAAGCAAUAGCAAGAAACGACGAAGUAAGCAUGACCGGAGUGAGAGCACAUGAAGAUAGUGUUUCCAAAGAGGCACUCGAGAGUAGACUGAGGACAGAACCAGUGGAUCGAGCGUUGGAACAAAGCAAUGCAGUACUUGGCAAUUUGGCAGGGUGUGCUGGAAGGAUACAAGUGGGAGUUCAGGGCAUGGAACAAGGUCCCGGAGAAGAGAGAAUUCAGUCACAUUUACAAGCAGAAAAUGACAUAGAAAACACUGGUGAAGGAUCUUUUCAGCAUGAUGCAUUUGAGAGUAUACCAAGAACAGAGCAAGUGCAGCUUCUGGAGCCGCGAGGAGAUUCAUCCCAAAUUUGUCUUGACAUUGGAAGAUGUUAUGGUCAACCUUGUGCUUCAUCAGUAAACAAUGAGGUAACUAUGCAUGAUGAGCAGGACAUGGUUAGAGUGAGGACAGAACCAGUGGAGGAGGAGGAUGUGGAGAGUAGUGGAAGAUCAGUAGUGCAGGCUGGCGCAGGAGCUAGAUCUUCUAAAAGUCUGAAAUACAACAAUUCUACAGGAGUUCCAUUACCUACUAGCUCUACAAAGCCAGUGGGUCAAGCAUUUGAAGAGAAUACAAAGGUGAUAUGGUCUUUGUUAAUGGAUGAUGAAGUCCCAACUAUUGGUGUUUAUGGGAUGGGGGGAGUUGGUAAAACAACAAUACUGCAACAUAUCCAUAAUGAACUUCUACAAAGACCAGAUAUUUGUGAUCAUGUUUGGUGGGUGACCGUGUCUCAAGAUUUCAGCAUUAAUAGAUUGCAGAAUAUUAUUGCUAAACAUCUUGAUCUUGACAUUUCAAGGGAGGUUGAUAAUCUGCAUAGAGCUGCCAAAUUAUCAGAAAAACUAAUGAAGAAACAAAAAUGGAUUCUUAUUUUAGAUGAUUUGUGGAACAGUUUUGAGCUCCAAAAAGUGGGAAUUCCUGUCCGGUUGAAAGGAUGCAAGCUGAUUAUGACAACUAGAUCAGAAACAGUUUGUCAUCAGAUGACUUGCCAACACAAAAUCAAAGUGAAGCCACUUUCUGAGGGAGAAGCUUGGACUUUGUUCAUGGAGAAACUUGGAAGUGAUAUAGCACUUUCACCAGAAGUUGCAAAAGCUAUUGCUAGGGAAUGUGCUGGUUUGCCUUUGGGAAUUAGUACAGUGGCAAGAAGCUUAAGGGGAGUGGAUGACCUACAUGAGUGGAGAAAUGCAUUGAAGAAAUUGAGAGAAUCAGAAUUUAGGGACAAUGAAGUAUUCAAGUUAUUGAGAUUUAGUUAUGAUCGGUUAGGUGAUUUAGCACUUCAACAAUGUCUCUUGUAUUGUGCAUUAUUUCCUGAAGAUUGUGAGAUUGAAAGGGAGAUGUUGAUAGGUUAUUUGAUCGAUGAGGGAAUAAUUAAAGGAAUGAGGAGCAGGAAAGAUGCAUUUGACGAGGGCCACACGAUGCUUAAUAAACUUGAACGUGUCUGCCUAUUAGAAAGUGCUCAAAUGACACAUGUCAAGAUGCAUGACUUGAUUAGGGACAUGACCAUUCAUAUACUGCUAGAGAACUCUCAAGUCAUGGUUAAAGCAGGUGCACAAUUAAAAGAGUUGCCAGAUGCAGAGGAGUGGACAGAGAAUCUCACAAGAGUCUCACUAAUGCAAAACCAAAUUAAAGCAAUUCCUUCCAGCUAUUCACCUAGGUGUCCCUAUCUAUCAACUCUAUUGCUUUGUCAAAAUCGUUGGUUGGGAUUUAUUGCAGAUUCAUUUUUCAAGCAAUUGCAUGGGCUCAAGGUCCUCGAUCUGUCUUGCACAGGUAUUAAAAAUUUGCCAGACUCUGUCUCUGAUUUGGUGAGUCUCACUGCAUUAUUGCUCAAUGAUUGUUGGAAGUUAAGACAUGUUCCAUCAUUAAAGAAGCUCAGAGAACUGAGAAGGUUGGAUCUCUCUUGCACUACACUUGAAAAGAUGCCUCAAGGAAUGAAAUGCCUAACCAACCUAAGGUAUCUUAGAAUGAAUGGAUGUGGUGAAAAGGAGUUUCCUAGUGGGAUAUUACCAAAACUCAUUCACCUGCAAGUCUUUGUACUAGAAGAGUUUUUUAAGGAUUUUUAUGCUCCAAUAACAGUUGAAGGAAAGGAAGUAGGAUCCUUGAGAAAUUUGGAAACUUUGGAAUGCCAUUUCAAAGGUGUCUCUGACUUUGUGGAGCAUCUCAGAUCUCG